This 91506-nucleotide long non-coding RNA is filed under the name Triticum aestivum (bread wheat). RNAcentral describes it as "long non-coding RNA (TAES_LNC025774)". The record is from RNAcentral. Lineage: Eukaryota; Viridiplantae; Streptophyta; Magnoliopsida; Poales; Poaceae.
GAGCUUUGUCUACUAUGUUCGGCCUUGCUGAAUUUAUGGCCGGCGUGACGGUUACCGUCUCGAGCCGUGGGGCGCCCACGCAAUCCGUAGAUCGAUCUUGUUUGCCUUGUCUUGUCCUCCAACAUAUCACGUAAGUCUGGCGCAUAUUCCCGUGCUUGGUACGGGGUGCGGCUUGAGUGGAGGGCCGAGAGGCCUCUCUGUCGCGGCCACGAGGUGGCCGGUCGGCCGCAUCGAGUGCUUCCUCCUCUAAUCGGGGUAGCAACAUGCGCUUUGGGUAGCUCUUGGAGGGGCGUUCGAGUUUAUGCUCUUCGGCCGCAAGGACUUCAGUCCAUCUAUCGACUAGCAAAUCUUGAUCAGCUCUAAGCUGUUGCUGUUUUUUCUUGAGGCUUCUUGCCGUGGCCAUAAGCCUGCGUUGAAAACGCUCUUGCUCGACGGGAUCCUCUGGCACGACGAAUUCGUCGUCGUCGAGGCUUGCCUCGUCUUUAGAGGGAGGCAUAUAAUUAUCGUCCUCGACCUCUCUGUCUGCCGCUCUCUCAUGAGGGCUGGUUUCUCCAUCCUCCCAUGCUAAAUCUUGCUGGAGGGGGUUUUCUUCGGCACUUUCCGAAGUAUUAUAUCUCCCGUGCAGGAAGCUCCGCAUUUGUUUUGGUGGGAUUUUGAGCGGCGCCGCUGACGCCGGCGCUUAGGUUGUUUCUUGGAGGGGUCAUCCUCCGCUGUUCCAUCGCCAUCUCCUUCUUUUGGGGUGUCCACCAUGUAUAUGUCAUAUGACGAGGUGGCUUUCCAGGGCCUGAUAGGCGCUGGUUCUUCAUCGUCUCCUUCAUCGGCGUCCAUAUCGUCGAUGUCUUCGGAGUCGAAGUCGAGUAUGUCGGUUAGGUCAUCGACAGUGGCUACAAAGUGGGUGGUGGGUGGGCUUUGAAUUUCUUCAUCGUCUGAAUCCCAACCUUGCUGACCGUUGUCCGGCCAGGGCUCUCCUGAUAAAGAGAGAAACUUCAGUGUCUUCAGAAUAUCACCGAAAGGCGAGUGCUGAAAGAUGUCCGCGGUAGUAAACUCCAGAAUCGGCGCCGAAUCGGAUUCGAUCGGCAAGGGCGCGGAGGGUUCGGAGUCCGGAGAGGAGUCCGGCUCCUUGGAGUCACGAGUCUCGCAGAGUGCGAGGCUGGUGUUCGGCUCGAUCGCCGUUGGGAUCGCAGCCCCCGAGGCGGCGUCCAACCACCUAUCCUCGAUCGGCGCGGUUGGCUCCGAAUUAAGGGUCGAAGCCGAUGCGGGUGUGGCCUCCAGGGCACUGUUCGGCGGCAGAGCUAGAUCAUGCUCAUCGGGACAAUGCGGCGCGCUCGGCAGUGGCUCGAAUUCGUCGAAGAUCAAGUCCCCGCGGAUGUCAGCCGUGUAGUUUAAACUUCCAAAUCUGACCUGACGGCCAGGGCCGAAGCUUUCGAUCUGCUCCAGAUGGCCAAGUGAAUUGGCCCGCAGUGCGAAGCCGCCAAAGACGAAGAUCUGUCCGGGGAGGAAGGUCUCACCCUGGACUGCAUCGCCAUUGAUGAUCGUAGGAGCCAUCAAGCCUGACGGUGACGCACAGAGGAACUCUCAAUGAAAGCACCAAUGUCGGUGUCAAAACCGGCGGAUCUCGGGUAGGGGGUCCCGAACUGUGCGUCUAGGCCGGAUGGUAACAGGAGGCAAGGGACACGAAGUUUUACCCAGGUUCGGGCCCUCUCGAUGGAGGUAAAACCCUACGUCAUGCUUGAUUAAUAUUGAUGAUAUGGGUAGUACAAGAGUAGAUCUACCACGAGAUCAGAUAGGCUAAACCCUAGAAGCUAGCCUAUGGUAUGAUUGUUGUUGUCUAUGUUGUCCUACGGACUAAAACCCUCUGGUUUAUAUAGACAUCGGAGAGGGUUAGGGUUACACAAAGUCGGUUACAAUGGUAGGAGAUCUGCAUAUCCGUAUCGCCAAGCUUGCCUUCCACGCCAAGGAAAGUCCCUUCCGGACACGGGACGAAGUCUUCAAUCUUGUAUCUUCAUAGUCCAGGAGUCUGGCUGAAAGAAUAGUCCGGCUAUCCGGACACCCCCUAAUCCAGGACUCCCUCAGCGAGCUUUGCUGUUAUAGUUGGAUUUUAUGUUUCUCCUCCCCCUCUACUCUCUUGUAAUGGAUUGAGUUUCCCCUUUGAAGUUAUCUUAUCGGAUUGAGUCUUUAAAGAUUUGAGAACACUUGAUCUAUGUCUUGCCGUGCGUAUCUGUGGUGACAAUGGGAUAUCACGUGAUUCACUUGAUGUAUGUUUUGGUGAUCAACUUGCGGGUUCCGCCCAUGAACCUAUGCAUAGGGGUUGGCACACGUUUUCGUCGUGAUUCUCCGUAAGAAACUUUGGAGUACUCUUUGAGGUCCUUUGUGUUGGUUUGAAUAGAUGAAUCUGAGAUUGUGUGAUGCAUAUCGUAUAAUCAUACCCACGGAUACUUCAGGUGACAUUGGAGUAUCUAGGUGACAUUAGGGUUUUGGUUGAUUUGUGUCUUAAGGUGUUAUUCUAGUACAAACUCUAGGGCUGUUUGUGACACUUAUAGGAAUAGCCUAACGGAUUGAUUGGAAAGAAUAACUUUUAGGUGGUUUUGUACCCUACCAUAAUCUCUUCGUUUGUUCUCCGCAAUUAGUGACUUUGGACUGACUCUUUGUUGCAUGUUGAGGGAUAGUUAUGUGAUCCAAUUAUGUUAGUAUUGUUGAGGGAACUUGCACUAGUGAAAGUAUGAACCCUAGGCCUUAUUUCCUAGCAUUGAAAUACUGUUUACACUCACUUUUAUCAUUAGUUACCUUGUUGUUUUUAUAAUUUCAGAUUACAAAUACAUUUGUCUACUAUCCAUAUACCACUUGUAUCACCAUCUCUUCGCCGAACUAGUGCACCUAUACAAUUUACCAUUGUAUUGGGUGUGCUGGGGACACAAGAGACUCUUUGUUAUUUGGUUGCAGGGUUGCUUGAGAGAGACCAUCGUCAUCCUACGCCUCCUACGGAUUGAUAAACCUUAGGUCAUCCACUUGAGGGAAAUUUGCUACUUUCCUACAAACCUCUGCACUUGGAGGCCCAACAAAGUCUACAGGAAGAAGGUUGUGUAGUAGACAUCAUUACCUUCGAUCCUCAGACGCACAGUUCGGGACCCCCUACCCGAGAUCGGUCGGUUUUGACACCGACAUUGGUGCUUUCAUUGAGAGUUCCUUUGUGUUGUCCAUAGAAGGAUCGAUGGCUUGCCUUGUAAUCAAUGACGAUGUCACUUCUGGAGGGGCCCUGACUCCUGGACAGGUCCUCCAGCUCAGCGGUUUACACUUAGGCGCUCGCUCGGCCGUCCAGCCUAUAGCGGCCCCCGUAACUGCCAAACAUCAUCUUCGUAUCGGCCUUGAACACUUCAAAAAGAUGGAUCUAAUAGAUGACUCGUCCUUAAACGAGCUGCUAGACUACAUCGCCGUCCUAGGGGUCGCAACAGACUACGAUCAUAUUGGGAUUAAACCCAACCAAAGGGAAAUCAAGUCCCCACCGGUCACCCAUCUGGUAGCGGUCGUUGAGGAACAGGCCGAGAGUGACUCCUCCCCUAAGUUAAAAACUAGCUAUGUUUGGAUUUCCGAGCCCCGCGAGUCGGAUACCCAUCCUCGGGAAGAGACCUCAGGUCCUUCGAACACGGGAUCGGGCAUUAUGUCCGAAAGUCUUAAGGACCUUACUAAGCCUGAACUGGUGACCUCGGAGAUUCUUCAAACUCUGGAUCCAGUAGUGGGUCAGGGUUUGGAUUUCAGCCUGCCCACCCACCACAAGCAAUAUUCACCAAGCAAUUCAGGUCCUCCGGACAUAUGUGACCUCAUGUAUGUAUGACAGCAACCUCAAGAAAUGGUCCAUCACUUCUGGGCCAGGUUCCUCCUUGUUAAAAACAAGAUUGAAGAUUGCUGCGAUGACGACGCGGUUUCAGUUUUUUGCUGCAACUAUACGGACAAGGGAAUACUCAAUGCCCUCUACCGUCGCCGCAUACUGCACUUUGCAGAUUUGGCACACAUAGUACAAAAGUAUUGCGCAAUGGAAAGCGCUUGGAAAGUCCAGACAGCCCGGUGGGAACCUCCUGCUUUAAGCAGCCCUCUGGACGAGAAAAAAGGAUGCACCCUUACGGGGCACCUGAUCAUCAGCCAAUUGAUAGGAAAAUCAAGCCCUUCAUGGGACAUAGAACUGUCCUCGACGAAUUGCUCAACAAGCCCUGCUAGAUACACACAACGUCAAAUACCGAACCAACACAUAGCCUUCGGGCAUGUUGGGUACUCCGGAAGGUGGCUAAGCGGUGAAGCCAUCCUCGCCAAAACUACUCCAAAGAAGCACUCUUCGGAGGACGACGAUCUCAAUGUCUUUACAGUCUUUGAGACCUUUUCUUCAAAUAAUCGGCACAAAAGGGCACUACACGACUUCGCCAAAGUUAACCAAGUAGCCGCAAUAAAUCCUUGGAACGAUACGGUGAUAACUUUUACCACUGACGACGAACCAAGGGCCCGGACAGUCCGAGCACCAGUCGCCUUGGUCUUAAACCCAAUUGUGGAUGGCUUUCGACUUACCAAAGUACUCAUCGACGGCGGUAGCGGACUCAACCUCAUCUACAAAGACACGCUCAAUAAAAUGCAAAUGGACAAGAAUCGCAUCCAGCAAAGCAGUACCACCUUUCGAGGCAUUAUCCCCAGUCGAGAAGCAUGAUGCUUGGGGAAAAUUCAGCUCGAUGUAGUAUUCGGCACGCCGGAGAACUACAGGUCUGAAGAGUUGCUCUCCCACGUGGCACAUUUCAAUAGCGGAUAUCGCGCCCUGUUGGGGCGAGACGCCUUCACACGCUUUCAAGCCAUACCCCAUUACGGGUACAUGAAGCUCAAAAUGCAUCCAGAUAUCACUAUCACCAGUGAUCCAGAUAUAGCACUCCGCGCCGAAAAUAAAACCGCAUCCUUGGCCCUCAAGGCACUAUCCGAGGCCCUCGCGGCCAAAGAGCUAACCACUUCGUGUUCCACAGUGGACAAGGAUGAUGUAAUCCUCGACAAGAGGCCCAAGUCCACUUCUUUCAAACCAGUAGAUGAAAUAGUCAAAUUUCAAGUUCACCCGACGAAUACUAACAAGACAACCUCCAUUGGAGCACUGCUGGACCCGACGGUCAACGUCGCCUUACGAGCAUUCCUGCGCGAAAAUUGGGACAUCUUUGCCUGGCACCCUUCGGAUAUGCCAUGAAUCCCAUACAGAUUGGCCGAGCACAGCCUCAACAUAAUAAAGGGGUUCAAACCAGUCAAGCAAACAUUGUGGUGAUUUUCUGAACCGAAACGACAAGGUAUGGGGGAGGAGCUAGCCAAACUACUGGAAGCCGGGUUCAUCAAAGAGAUUAAACAUCCGGACUGGCUAGCAAACCUGGUCAUGGUACCGAAGAAGGAUAAAUCCUAGCGCCUUUGUGUCGAUUUCAAGGAUCUCAAUAAGGCUUGCCCUAAAAGACCCCUUCCCACUGCCCCGCAUUGAGCAAAUCAUUGAUGCAACCGCAGGACACGACUCACUGUGUUUCCUCGACGCAUAUUCCGGAUACCAAAUUAAGAUGAAAGAGUCCAACCAGGCCGCAACGACAUUCAUUACCCCAUAUGGGCCUUUCUGCUUCAACACUAUGCCUUUCGGACUCAAAAAUGCCGGCACCACUUACCAAUGCAUGAUUCAAACAUGUCUGGAAAAGCAAAUUGGCAAGACAGUGGAGGCAUACGUAGAUGAUGUAGUCAUCAAGACUAAACACGUUGAAUCAUUGGUGGACGAUCUAUGCCUCACAUUCGACGACCUCCGAACAUAUGACAUACGACUCAAUCCGGAAAAAUGUGUUUUCGGCAUUCCAGCCGGAAAACUGCUCGGGCUCAUUAUUUCCAAUAGAGGAAUCGAAGCGAACCCAGCCAAAAUCCGAGCCUUGUUAGAAUUGGCAAUGCCAACAGACCUAAAGCAGGCCCAAAAACUAGCUGGUCGCGUGGCGGCCUUAAGGCGCUUCAUCUCCAGAUUAGGAGAAAAGGCGCUACCACUUUACCGACUACUCCGGCGCACCGACUACUUUCAAUGGACAGAUGCGGCUAUAGCCAGACUGGAAGAAAUAAAAACCUUAUUAGCAGGCAACCCAAUCCUAGCUGCACCGGGGGUCGGCGAACCUAUGUUGCUCUACAUAUCUGCAACUCACCAGGUAGUAAGCGAUGUACUCGUUGUUGAAUGAGAAGAGGAGGGACAUAAAUGCCCCAUCCAGAAACCGGUGUACUACGUAUCGGUGGUCCUUACACCGUGCAAAUCUUGGUACUCGCACUAUCAGAAGAUAGCGUAUGCGGUCUUCAUGGCAUCUCGGAAGCUGCGACACUAUUUUCAAGAGUGUUCGAUAACGGUGGCGUCUGAAGUACCACUCAAUGACAUCAUAAAUAAAUAGGAGCCACUAGCCGCAUAGCCAAAUGGGCCAUCGAACUAUUACCAUAUAACAUACAAACCAUGUCGAACUAUUAAAUCUCAGGUGUUGGCCGACUUUGUCGCCGAGUGGACGGAAGCCGAACUCCCUAAAGAGUACAAUACAUACUCCAACUGGAUUAUGUACUUCGACGGCUCCAAAAUGUUAGUCGGAUUGGGGGCUGGUGUCAUCUUGACAUCUCCUACAGGGGAUACAGUCCGCUACGUACUACAAAUCAUGUAUACGGACUCCAACGACGCGGUCGAAUAUGAGGCACUACUGCACAACCUCCGAAUGGUUGUUUCUAUGGGCAUUCAACGCCUAGAGGUGUGUGGGGAUUCGAAUCUUGUGAUAUCCCAAAUAAAUGGAGAAUUCGACGCAAAAGAUCCAAAGAUGGCGGCAUAUCGAAAUGUCGUACUCAAAAUAUCAGCUCGGUUUGAGGGGCUCGAGUUCCAUCACGUUGCUCGAGACAGUAAUCAGGCAGCGGACAUCCUUGCUCGAAUGGGCGCUAAACGCGACCCUGUCCCAUCUAACACCUUUGUGGAAAGGCUCUUCAAGCCAUCCGUUGUCUGGCAGGACGAGAGAGGAAAUACUAGUCCGGAGCCGUUCAUACCCCCAAAUGCCGAACACAAUUCUGAUAUCAUCGGCGGCUCGGGCACCGAAAUGACACCUUCCGCCCAAGUAAUCAUGGUUAUCAUUGCUCCAUGGACCGAACCUUUCCUGGCCUACCUUAAUAGGUAGGAGCUCCCUGACGAUCAGAAUGAGGCCCGUCGCAUAGCCAGACACUCUAAAGCCUACAAAGUUCAUGAAGGAGAACUCUACAAGAAAAGUACUAUGGGAGUUCUUCAAAGAUGUAUCUCCGAAGAGGAGGGAUGGCAGCUCUUGGUGGAAAUACAUGCUGGUCUUGGUGGCCAUCAUGCCGCUGCUCAGGCCCUCGUAAGCAAGGCCUUCCAUACAGGUUUCUUUUGGCUAACGGCCCGAGCAGAUGCACAGGCCCUGGUACAGCGUUGUGUGGGAUGUCAGCUUUUCGCCAAUCAAAGUCAUAUGCCGCUCGUCCUAAGAACAAUCACCAUUCCAUGGCCCUUUGCGGUCUAGGGGCUAGAUAUGGUCAGACCCCUUAAAGGGGGAAGCCACAAGAAGAAAUAUUUGGUGGUUAUGGUGGAUAAUUCACUAAGUGGAUAGAGGCCAAACCUGUAAAAAUGACAGAAGUUGGGCCUGUGAUCGAAUUUAUAUACGGCUUUGUACACCAUUAUGGUGUCCCGCACAGUAUUAUUAUUGACAAUGGCUCUAACUUCAUAGCCGAUGAGGUCAAAAAUUGGUGUGCUAACCUGGGCAUUAAGCUCGAUUACGCCACUGUAUAUCACCCUCAAACAAACGGUCAGGUCGAACGGGCUAAUGGCCUGAUAAUGAGUGGCAUCAAACCCAGACUAGUGUGAUCCCUACGGGAGUCGGAUAAACACUGGGUCGAGGAACUUGAUUCCAUACUCUGGGGACUACGGACCACGCCCAAUCGCAUGACCGGAUACACACCCUUUUUCAUGGUGUAUGGCGUAGAGGCUAUCCUGCCCUACGGCAUUAUUCAUGUCUCACCUCGAGUGCGCAUGUAUGAAGAGAGAGAAGCCGAGCUCGAUCGGCAGAACGACCUAGACGGCCUGGAGGAGGAGCGCGAUAUUGCAAAAGCCCGUUCCGCAUUUGAUGACCCACAAGUGUAGGGGAUCUAUCGUAGCCUUUUUGAUAAGUAAGACUGUCGAACCCAACGAGGAGCAGAAGGAAAUGAUAAGUAGUUUUCAGCAUGGUAUUCUCUGCAAGCACUGAAAUUAUCGGUAACAGAUAGUUUUGUGAUAAGGUAAUUUGUAACGAGUAGCAAGUAAUAAAAGUAAAUAAGGUGCAGCAAGAUGGCCCAAUCCUUUUUGUAGCAAAGGAUAAGCCUGGACAAACUCUUAUAUGAAGUAAAGCGCUCUCGAGGACACAUGGGAAUUAUCGUCAAGCUAGUUUUCAUUACGAUCAUAUGAUUCGUGUUCGGUACUUUGAUAAGUUGAUAUGAGGGUGGACCGGUGCUUGGAUGUUGUCCUUACUUGGACAAGCAUCCCACUUAUGAUUAACCCCCAUUGCAAGCAUCCGCAACUACAACAGAAGUAUUAAGGUAAACCUAACCAUAGCAUGAAACAUAUGGAUCCAAAUCAACCCCUUACGAAGCAACGCAUAAACUAGGGUUUAAGCUUCUGUCAGUCUAGCAACCCAUCAUCUACUUAUUACUUCCCAAUGCCUCCCUAUAGGCCCAAAGAAUGGUGAAGUGUCAUGUAGUCGACGUUCACAUGACACCACCAGAGGGAUGACAACAUACAUCUCAUCAAAAUAUCAAACGAAUACCAAAUUCACAUGACUACUAAUAGCAAGACUUCUCCCAUGUCCUCAGGAACAAACGUAACUACUCACAAAGCAUAUUCAUGUUCAUAAUCAAAGGAGUAUUAAUAUGCAUAAUGGAUCUGAACAUAUGAUCUUCCACCAAGUAAACCAACUAGCAUCCACUACAAGGAGUAAUCAAGACUACUAGCAACCCACAUGUACCAAUCUGAGGUUUGGAUACAAAGAUUGGAUACAAGAGAUGAACUAGGGUUUGAGAUGAGAUGGUGCUGGUGAAGAUGUUGAUGGAGAUUGACCCCCUCCUGAUGAGAGGAUUGUUGGUGAUGACGAUGGUGAUGAUUUCCCCCUCCCAGAGGGAAGUUUCCCCGGCAGAACAGCUCCGCCGGAGCCCUAGAUUGGUUCCGCCAAGGUUCCGCCUCGUGGCGGCGGAGUCUCAUCCUGAAAGCUUGCUUAUGAUUUUUUUUCUAAGAUGAAAGACCUCAUUUAAAACUAUACAAAGGCUGGGCAACUCGCUCCCAGGGCACUCCCUCGAUGGCAAGCUUCGUCGGCCGUUCAAUUUUAGUCAACCCGGUCUUUUUUUUUGUUCUUGUCCGUUCGAUGGUCGCUACGUUUUGACUUGUGCGUUUUCACCGGUGGUAGAUCUUGGCCAGCGGAUGACCUAUGGGCUCGGGCCGAAUUUCAUUGGUUGGGUGCCAGCUUAUCGGGUGCGUGGGGCAGCUGUCGGAUUUCGGGUUCCGGCAGACCCUUGAGGUUCGAACACUGGGGUGCGCGUGGAGAUUUCGCCUCCUACCUACCUGCACCCCUCCGCCUUGCUAGGAUCUAAACUAAGGAAAGAUCAACACAAGAGACACAGGGUUUAUACUGGUUCGGGCCACCGUUGCGGUGUAAUACCCUACUCCAGUGUGUGGUGUGGUGGAUUGCCUCUUGGGCUGAUGAUGGUGAACAAUACAAGGAAGAACAGCCUCGCGAGGGUCUGUUCUUGGCUGGGGCGAUGAACUGCUGGGAGGAGCUCAGUCACCCUUCUCUCUCUCUCUAUCUGAUCUAAACCCCUCUCUCAAGAGACUCCUUCUCCGAACCCCUCAGCUCUCUCUCUCUUGCGGGUGGCUGAUCCUAUUUAUAGAGGCCCUGGUCCUCUUCCCAAAUAUCGAGCGGGAAGGGAGCCAACAACGGCGGGCUAAUUUGAAGGGGGACAGCUAGUAUCAGCUAUCCUGACAAAAGUAGUCUUCGCCUGCGCAAAGCUCUGGUGAUGACGCCGUCUUGGGCUCCACGGUGACCUUCAUCUCGUAGUCCUCAUGGUCUUGGUCUCGUUGCACCGAAAUGGCAACCUUUGCCUGAUGCCUCGGUACUCCGCGGUUGCGCUUGCCCCCUUUGCACCAAAGAGGAAAGGAGGACACUACGCGGGCUGGCACCCGCCUGGCGCCCUUGGUCGUCAUGGCUUGCGUCAUGGGCACCUCGUGAGGUACCCCGCCUUGAUCUCUCCGCCUCCUCGUGAGCCAGCCUGACGAGGCCGUUCCUGAGGAAGCUCCGCGUCGUCCGCCCCGCGAGGCUUGGCCCCCCGCGAGGGUCUUGGGUUUGUGUUGGUGAAGAUGGGCCGCGCUGGGCCCCCUUUUGAGCCACGCCGCAGGCCGCAGGCAGGCAAGUCUGGGGACCCCCGUUCCCAGAAUGCCGACAGUAGCCCCCGGGCCCAAGGCGCGCUCGGACUUGGCCGUGCAGGGAGGCGGAAGGGCAAGAGAAAAGCGCCGCGGGCCCUAACAGCCUGCGGCCUUGGGCGCCGCGUGGCAGCUGAUUGGACGUGGGCGGCACUGUUCCCCCACGCCCUCCUUAUUUUGCGCCAUGCUAGGCGGACCCGUAGUUGUACACAGCCGUUCCCCUUUUUGGUUGCUCGAGCACCCUCUGUCCUUCCUUCGCUCGAACUCUGGUUUCUGUUCUCAACUCAAUCUUGAACCUUCCCCCCCCCCAUCUUCCCAUCGCCAUGGCUCCGACAAAGAAGGGAAGAGGGAAGAAACCCUUGUCUCCGCCUUGCCCGCCGCCGUUGGCGGCCCCCGCCGAGGGUUUGAGCAAGGUCAGCUUGGCCCUGGCCACCAUCUUCAAUGAAUGCGGGAGGACGACGGCCUGGCCCGCGUCCCACUUCUCCAUCGAAAGGAUAGCCACUGAGGUCCCGUAUUUUGCCGACGCCCUAUGGACGGGUCUGGUUCCUCCCUUUUCUGAUUUCUUCAAUGCUGUGCUUUCCCACUAUCAGAUCCACAUGAUGCAUCUGGGUCCUGAAUCCAUCACUCUCCUUUCGGUCUUCGCCUUUGUUUGCGAGGCAUGAUGGGCAUCCUUCCUUCGGUCGCCUUGCUGCGCUACUUCUUCUCGCUGCGCCUUAUUGACCCUACCCAAUGCUGGGCGUGUGUGAGCUUCGUUGCCGCGCCUGAGACGGCGGCCUCUGGGAUUGACUUCAAGCUCCCUCCGCCCGCGGCUGGGUUCCGCGAGCGGUGGCUGUAUGUGGAUGCUGGGGUGCCCAGCCCCCUGUUGUCGGAGCCAACUUCGCCUGCUAUCCCCAAUUCGGGCUGGGGCCAGGAGACGCUUGAGAGCCCCCGGCUCGUCUUCGUCUGGCACCGCUUCGCGUUCUUGAGGUCGCUUGGCACGAUAGCACCCAAGGUGGUGAAGGAGUUCCUGCUACGCCGCGUUGCUCCUCUCCAGCGCCACUCCCGCCGGAUGUGGGCCUUCAGCGGGCGCGAUGAUCGUAUGAGGCUUCAGGAAGAGGACCUGACGCCUGAAGUGUUGAGGACGGCGCUCUUGACCCUAACGGGGGACCCCAACCCUGGCAGUAUCCAGCAGGGAGGGGCCUUGCUGUACCUCUGCCAGAGCGGGGGCGAUUUUGUGAGGCAGAUGCCUAUCUUCGAUGAGUGGGGGCCGCGCCCUGCUGGCCUUCAGGGGCCUUGCGAGAACCCAGUGGUGGUGACUGCCCUUCCAGUCGGCCAAGGCGACUCUUCCUCAAGUGGAGGAGCAGGGAGGCACGAGGCGCCAGAGGCCGAGGGGGCUCCCGGCGGGGUGACAGCGCCGGGCGAGGCUCAUGAGGAAGCAGUUAUCGGGGCCCGUGCCGCUGAGGCUGAGGGUGACAAGCAGCUGCCCUUUGCGCCUACGACCGAGGCCGCUGAGGCUCCGGCGGCUUCUCUUGGCGAGGUGACUAGCAGCGCACGUCAGGCAGGCACCCCUGACGCACAUUGCCUUGACACUCCAUCUUCGUCGCAGGUUGAUCCCUGCGCCCGACUCUUAGGCCGCUUCCGUGUGGACUUUGAGGCCCUCUAGAAGAGAAGGGAGGCCCUGGGCGACAAUUACCCUUGUCACCUGCUGAAGCGUAGGAAGUACUUCGCCACUGACGAGUAAGCCUUCUCCUUUCCCAGCUCCCGAUCCUUCUGUUGCAAUUACCGACCCUUGCUCUGCAGGCCCCUUCCAGCCGAGCUUGCGGAGACAGCUAAGGAGUCAUCCCCCUUGGCUUCGCCCCCUUCAUCGUCUUCAAGCGCUCCAAGUGGUGGAGCCCUUGUGGUGAGGGCGAUCAAUGAGGCGAACCAUCCCGAGGCAUAUCGUGGCCCCGCGCACCUCGCGAUCUUUCGCGGGCCUUCUCGUGGCAUAGCCAGCCUACCGUGGGCUUCUCGCCUGGUCGUGGACUGCGAUUGGCUAAGGCGCUUCCUGUGCUCUUCACCUGGGGACGGGCUGGCCCCCGGCCGGGCUUCUGGCGCGGCGUGCCCGGCCGUCGCGAGGGUGCCAGCCCCCAGCCCCCAGCCCGGAGGGGGAGUGCUGACUUGCGGCCCCCGGCGCUUGCUUGGGGCAGAUGAUGGUGUGGAAGACGUGCUCGAGCAUGCUCGGGAGCGUCGCGCUCUCUGCCAAGGAUUCCUUCGAAGGGCGGCUGACACGGUAAGCCUGCCUGGAGAGCAGCUUGCCGAUGAAGACGCGCGCCUUGAGGCCGAGGGCCUGCGCUUGGCUGCAGAGAGGCGCGAGCUGGAGGGCGCCAUCGCCCUCGCACGCCGUCAGCGCGAUCUUGACGAUGCAGAGGCCAAGGCGUCGCUAGUGGCCUCUCGAGAGGCCCGAUCUUGGGCCGCUGAGGAGGCUCAGGAAGCUGACCGGCGGCGAACGGCGGCCGAGGAGCGGGCUCGGGAGCUCCUGGCCUGGUGCCACUCACUGGAGGAGCAGGUGGAGUUGCAUGAGGCAGCCCUCGCGUCGAUGAAGGUGGCCUCCGGCGACUCAGCGGAGCUCCAGAAGCGUGAGGAGGCGCUGACGCUGGAAGCCGCCGAACGUACCCGAGAGUACGAGCGUCUGGAGAUGAGGGAGCGCUUGGUGACGCAGGCGGAGGAUGAUGUUGUUGCACAGGAAGCCCGCGUCCUGGAGGAGGUCGGACGCCGAGUGGCGAUGGCGCAUUUGAACCUCGAGCACGAGUUCAAAGAGAAGCUGGGGUUGAUCCGGGCCGAAGCUGAAGGCAGGACUGCUGCCUUGAGGGCCAAGCUGGAGAAGGCGACGCGGCGGGCCGACGCCUUCCGGGCCGCUCUUGAGGUGGCGCAAGGUGAGUUAACCGCCUCCUAGGCCGAGGUGCUCCUUCUCCGCAAGCGGGUGGAGGAGGCUGAGGUCGUCGCGGGCCAGAACGCGGACGAGAUCCGUCAGUGGCGGAUCCUGGAGCACGAGCACGGCCCCAUGCUUGCCACGCUCCGGGAGAGAGCCAACGCAGCCUUGGGCAACAUCUGCGAGGCGGCUAUUGGCGAGCCGCAUGCAGUUAACUAUGCUGGCAAUCUUCAGUUCUUUACUAACGUGGUGACGCAGCUGGAGGCGCGGUCGGUCAGGGCUGACAGGUUGGUGGAGGAGAGGAGUCGCGCCCUGCUCGGGCACGUCUUUUCUCGCGUCUUCAGCCACCUCCGGAACAUGGAUCCCCACUUCGAUUUUGACGCCGCCAUCGCCCCAGUCCCCCAGGCCGUCCGAGGCGACUUGGCGCACUGGGUGGAAGACAAUGAGGAUGCUCUUAUCAGGGCCUUCGCUUCAGACAAUGACGACGUGAUCGUGGCGGCCGAAGAGGGCGGCGUGGUGAACGGCCCUGACACCGCUGGCGGCGACGCGGACAGCGAUGGCGAGUUUAGCGACGCCAGCAACAGCUCGGGUGGUGCUCCUGAGAAUGCAUUGGGGGAUUCAUCUGACUGAUUGUGCAUCGCUCCUACUUCAUUGCCCUGUAUGAAUAGAACUCAGGUUUUGGCCUGAUUGCAGUGAGAGCAUUUUGGAGGGGGAUCCCCUUAUGUAAAACUUGUGUUCAUCGUAUUAGUAGACGCUACAUUGCCCAUGCGCCCGUGCCAAGUGGUUGGCCCAAGUGACGCGCUCGUCGGGUAGUUUACCUUUGUCCCGCACUGGCCCUGAGGCAGCCCGCGGGGGGUCGUGGUGCCUCGAGUGUUCCCUGAUUGGGUUCAUAGGAUCUGCAGUAAAACACCCUCCUGAGAGGUCACGUCGGCGGCAGUCUGGGCUGCGUGCAAGCUAGGCCUGACCCGGCUCGCGAGGGGCUCGCGAGGGGAGGCAGCUGAGGCGAAGUGGUAACCAAAACGCGAGAAAUUGCUCGAACGAGACUAAGCACCCCUUUCCCGAACACACGCAAAUCUCAAAUUUGAAUCCAACUUGAAUCCAGCGGGGGAAAGCGACAACCAAAGGGAAGAGCAACGAAAGCAAACAAAAGGCCGCGUCCGGCACCUAGUCUAGUCUUGGACGUCUUCUCACCAGCGCGGAGCUAAGUGCUGCCACUGGGCGUGGGAGGGAGCCCCAGGGCCUAAGGCCGGCACCCCUGAGACUCCGGGGCGUGUACAGCCCCACUCAUUAUUACGUGAGAGUGUCACGGCGCGGCGAGCUUCACAGGCACUGGGCCUUCUUCACAGGUACUGGCCUUGCUUCAUAUCGCCGGAUGAGGGCCCCGCCUUGCGCCACACUCUAGUGCCAUCAACGACGACCAGAAACCAGGACGCCACCGAUGGGGUAGAGCGGUCGACAGCGGUUCCCCCGAUGACCACGGGUCCUCCGCCGGGGGUAGGCCCUGAGCCACCUCCCCAGCGGAGGGCCUACCUCCUGAGAACACCUUGCUCCGAACGCCGCGGUGGUGAUGUCGGAUCCCGGCCCCUCUCCUGCAGCCCCCUGCGCCCUACUCCCAAGGGGCAGGAGACUGUGGGAGCGGGGCAGCUGCUUGCUGUGGCGACCUACACCUCCUGUGAUCCAUGGUUAGCGUAUGCCUGCUCCUGAAGAUUUAGCGGUACCCGAUAAUCGUUGCCCCCUGUGUGGCCAGUGGGACCAUCCCGGGGCUCCCGGAAAGGCUCAGCUUCUGGCGCCUCGUCCCCCCAGCUUGGGCUGAGGAGCGAGCCUUGUUCGCUCUCGUGUGGGUGUCCUUGGUCCAUCAUGAGGGGCACGUAUUCCUCUGGCAUCGUCAUCCCGAAUGCCGCGUCGUAAUGCCCCGCAUGCCACGCGGUCCUGCCUGACGCGCCCACCGUGGGGUGGCAGCGCGGCUGUCCACUGGGUCUGCGGGUCGCGUCGAGUCCUUCUUCUUCGCGGACCGGGAGCGGCGGCAGCGCCGCCGCCGGUCCGGCGCUGACAGCUUCGCUGGCGUUGGAGUAUCCUUGGAGCCUGCGGGCGCGCGCGGAGCCCCCGCACGGGCCGCCCUGGGCUUGAGAUGGGAGCUGGGUGGAGAAGGGGUGAGCCCCCGAGGCGGUGAAGCCUAGGAGCUCUGCCACUCGCUCCAACAGCAUGUUGUGGCCGCCCUCCAGCAGCCUGCACUGCAGCAGCUCUCGGGCCACUGUGAGCGCGGCCCUCGAGUUCGCCUGCUCCCUGCGGGUGUACGGCAUCGUGGUCGCGGUGUAAUUGGAGGCCCUUGCUGCCGACCACGCCUGCCGCGGUGUGAGAGCUGUCGAAGCCUGUCCACGUCGCCCGCGGACCGCGAGCUGCCUGGGGCACGGGGUCGCCCAAGGCAAGCGGCUCUGUGCAGGCGGGCCACGCCGCCCACGGUUCUGGGUUGCCCGCCUGGUCGCCGGACAUGGUGAUGACGACACGACGGGGCGCGAAGCGAUAGAAGGGAUUCCGGCGCACCCCUACCUGGCGCGCCAAAUGUCGGAUUUCGGGUUCCAACAGACCCUUGAGGUUCGAGCACUGGGGUGCGCGCGGAGAUUUCGCCUCCUACCUACCUGCACCCCUCCGCCUUGCUAGGAUCUGAACUAAGGAAAGAUCAACACAAGAGACACAGGGUUUAUACUGGUUCGGGCCACCGUUGUGGUGUAAUACCCUACUCCAGUGUGUGGUGUGGUGGAUUGCCUCUUGGGCUGAUGAUGGUGAACAAUACAAGGAAGAACAGCCUCGCAAGGGUCUGUUCUUGGCUGGGGCGAUGAACUGCUGGGGGGAGCUCAGUCACCCUUCUCUCUCUCUCUCUCUCUCUCUCUCUCUAUCUGAUCUAAACCCCUCUCUCAAGAGCCUCCUUCUCCGAACCCCUCAGCUCUCUCUCUCUCUCUCUCUCUCUCUCUCUCUCUCUCUUGCGGGUGGCUGAUCCUAUUUAUAGAGGCCCUGGUCCUCUUCCCAAAUAUCGAGCGGGAAGGGAGCCAACAAUGGCAGGCUAAUUUGAAGGGGGACAGCUAGUAUCAGCUAUCCUGACAAAAGUAGUCUUCGCCUGCACAAAGCUCUGGUGAUGACACCGUCUUGGGCUCCACGGUGACCUCCAUCUCGUAGUCCUUCUGGUCUUGGUCUCGUUGCACCGAAAUGGCAACCUUUGCCUGAUGCCUCGGUACUCUGCGGCUGUGCUUGCCCCCUUUGCACCAAAGAGGAAAGGAGGACACUGCGUGGGCUGGCACCCGCCUGGCGCCCUUGGUCGUCAUGGCUUGUGUCCCGGGCACCUCGUGAGGUACCCCACCUUGAUCUCUCCGCCUCCUCGUGAGCCAGCCUGACGAGGCCGUGCCUGAGGAAGCUCUGCAUCGUCCGCCCCGCGAGGCUUGGCCCCUCGCGAAGGUCUUGGGUUUGUGUUGGUGAAGAUGGGCCGCGCUGGGCCUCCUUUUGAGCCACGCCACAGGCCGCAGGCAGGCAAGUCUGGGGACCCCCAUUCCCAGAACGCCGACAGCAGCCUGUCCUGACGCGCCGCAUGCAUGCGAGGAAGCUCGGGUCGCGGGCGCUGUGCGCUGCUCCUCGCAUUUUGCGCCUGCGCUUGUGCUGUCCUCAUGACGGGUGGCCAGUGCUGGCCGCGGUCCCGUUCAUCAGCUGCGGUGACUACAUGUCUCGUGUAUAGGAUAUUUCCUCGUUACCUCGGUCAACUACUCCUGGCGCGGCACUCCUCACGCGUUGCCCGCGUCAUGUGUCGUGGGGAGUUUACUGCCUCCUGCGUCAGCUACAGAGGGGUGGGUCGAUGCAUGUGCACCCAGAUUGUGCACACGCGUUUGUACUAGUGCGAUGACGUGUGGGCCGCCGCUGCUCUAGUCCCGCUCGUCGGCUGCUACUACUGUGUCUAGUGCGCAUGUACGCCUUUCCUGUGCGCGGUGUUGCGUCUCGUCUGCUUUGGACUUUGGAGAGAGAGGAUGGACUGCAGCUGCCCGAUGCAUGUGCUUGUGGGGCCUGGCUGACCGAUGCAUCGUGCGUGCCUCACCUCCAUCUGAAGUUGGAGAGAGAGAUGGAUUGGUGCCUACGACGCGCUGGUCAACACGGCGGCCGCUGCAGUCCGCGAGCCCAGGUGCACGGUGGCGCUCACGGACCUCCACCACAGCCUCGAUGCCUUCAGCGAGUCCAACGACCGAGCCGAGGGCCUCAUCCAGGCGGCCACCGCUGGCCUCGGCCCCGCCGCCACCCGCCACGACGAGCUGUGUCGCGUCGUGCGCGCGGUCGACAAGGAUCUCCGGGCCACCGAGGAGAACAAGGUGGAAGAGGAGAAGCAUCGCCCUCUGACCACACCGCUGGCAGCCGAGGACAAAUAGCCCAAUCGAUCUACCUCUUCUCUUGUUGAGGUGAUGUUCAUCGUUCUUGUUUUUUCCAUGUGAUGUUCAUCGUUCCUUUUAUUUUCUUGCUUGAUGUGCUAAUCAUGUUAGUCAUCUAGAAGAUGAAUGAAACUGUGACGGGAAAGGACAGAUGGACUGGGAUAUAUUGCCUCGUCGUGCCGCAUGGUGGCCGAGAUGCGGCAGCCCCAUGCUCUGUUCCGAUGGGCCUCCUCUGCUCGAUGUUGCCGCUGGUUAAGGUUCAUCCUUCUUUGGUUCGCAUGUUCUUCGCUACUGCUUUCGAUUUGUCGUGCUAAUUUUGCAUGUUUGCCUUCGUUUCCUUCAUGGGCAGUUUCGUACGGUUUCCUGUUGUCGCUUUGCGUCGAGCCUUGGGUCCGUCUCUCCUUAUCAUUGAGGUUAGUACACUCCUCUUGUGCUUGCCUAUAGAAUGUUCGAUGAAAUGCGUGUGUGCUGACGCUUGUUCUACGGUUCAGCCUACUUCUCAUGUCGUUGGCGCUUCUUAUUCUCGUCGGUUCUCCUGCUUACCCAACCUUUUGCUUGCUGCCUCGGGUAAAUAGGCCAUUCUGUUGCUUCUAUGACCAACGAGUGUUCAUUGCAUGCCUGUGUGUUGUUGUGCUCUGAUCGGUUGUUUUUUGUGUAUUUUGCAGGUUGCAUGAUCUUUGUUGUAGCUGCGUCGUUCGACUCAUCAAGGUUUUCUUCUUUCCUUUCUACUACAUGUGUGCGUGUUUUACUUUCAGUAUCUUCUAUGUCAUGCUGUCUGCCUUGGUGAUCUUUUAAAUAUCUGUAUGUCGUGUUGAUCGUGUAAAUGUUCUGGAUAUGGUUGCGGCUUCUUUAUUUAUGUUGGACUGUUCUGUCAAUUGCCACCAUGACACUUGUUGAAAAUAGUGUUGUCGGGCGAUAAUCAUUCUUGGCAGUGAUUCUUGUUGUGGAUGGGAUAUUGAUGCAGAUAUACCACGAACGGAAGAUCUGCCUCACUGUGCACUUCAGGCGCGCGCACACUAGCGAUGGUACAGGAUUGGCUUCCUGGUGGAAUCAGGUGCGCGUCGUCCAUGGUGGCCUGUCGUGGGUGUUGGUGGGCGGCUGGAGGCGGCUGUAGCAGGUCGAUUUAUCUGACUAUUGAAAAUGAGCUUCAGAAUAUCUGUAGAACGUAGCCCACUUCCAGCUCUCCACGCGUGGAAGUCCAAAGAGUUCACCUUGGACAGACUCCUUUAUCUUUGAACAACUCAAUCAGUGGCUUGGUGUGCUAGGAUAUACAUAUGGAAUGAAGAUGAUCAGUCUAACAGACCACAAAAUUCUUUGCAUGUGCAUGACUGACUUGGGAUGAUUCCAAAGGAGGUAAAACAAGCCUUCUCAAAUUCAUGGCGGCAACUUGCAUCAAGUGCACAUGAAUUAGAGGGACUCACUUCUUUUGUCCAAACAUAUGCUUCACGAACGAGUCAUGAAGAUAAUGCUUACAUAAGUUUCCAACACUAGCUUAAUGUUCAACAAAAUCAUGGAGGAGAUAAGGAUGUUGUCAAUGGGCUCAACAACAAUUCAUCCAGGUUUCCAUAUUAGUGGAAUUCCACAAUUAUGUGAACAAGGUGAUAGCAUUGGUCAGACCCGAAAGAUAUAAUGGUGUAUGCUCGAGGAACAACCACGAGUAAGACAACAUUACGAAUAUCAUUGGUUCUGAUUUGAUUUGACGAUAGCCCAUAUUCAAAUCAAAGGUUUGGGUAAGAUAAUAGAUCCAACAAUUGAUCAUGAGGAUCAACCAAUAAAGAUAUCAUCUUUCUUCAACACACACACACAAAAAAAAUAUCCCUUAAAAUGACUAAGCCAGACAAUCUUUUAUCUUCCAACUCUCCAAGUUGUUGUUUGGCUUAACCAACUAGCUCAGGAGUAUCCAACACAGAUUUUUGGAGAAGGGGGUGGUUUACAGGAAUAAACCAACUUGUUCAUGAACUGAACAUAGCGGUCAGGUGACGACCUGGUGAUACUUCCGAGAAGAUAUUCAGAAAAUCACGAGCCACCGGUAUGUUACUAAGCUUGAGAACAAUCUUGCUUUUUAGGGCAAGACGAUAUGAUCAACAGAGCAAGGUAUUGACACAAUCCUAACUCAUUGAUCAGAGGGUGCACCAGAAAUAAGGACUAGGUAGCACAAUCAAUCUUAGAAUGAUGACUCAAUAAUCAGCAUGCUAAGAAUGAGGUUGUUGUUCAUUUAACUACCAAGCAACGGAGUUGCUAGCAGUAUUGAUUUCACACAUCACGAUUCACUUGUCGACAUUCCGGUUGCAACAACACGGGAACUGAGAAAUGAAUAAUGAUGGAGAGAAGUAUCACUGUGUCAAGAGUUCAUAGGAUGGUGUGCAAUUCCCAUGACAUUCUUGAUAUAAAGAUGGUAAUACUCCAAGGUAGAACAGAGCAAAAGCAAGAUUAGCAAUUUGGUCUAUGGAGUACGACUGCUUUGACCCAAUCCUGGAAAUGGACAGGAUACUGGAGUUUGUUUCUCCUAGUCAUUCCGGAUAGAAUGGCUUGACGGACCACAAGAAUAAUAGGCAUCGAUGAAAGAAUGCAUGCAUACUCUUGACUAUCAAAUGAUAGACGAGGGUCAGAAGUCAACUAAGAGGGACAACUCAAAGAACAUAUAAUUUUCUGAGUUGUGGAUGCAUAGAUUAGUAUGUCGAACCAAGUUCAACAUGUUUCUUCCGGAUAAGCCAUGCAGAGAGGUAGGACUGGCAGAGUCACGAUUUAUGAAUGGAGAACUCCUCAAGAGUACUCUAAUUGUGAUCUAUUGAUCCAAUAAACAUCUGCCAUAAGCGGUUCAUAGUAUUUGGAAGAAGGAAAUACCACGGACCUCGAGGACUAUCGCAAAGUUACUAAUAUCCCAAAGGAGCUAGCAAUUGCUAACAACAUGAAAUAAGUAGGGUGAAUCUCGGGUUCAAGAACCCAGAAAUAGAAUGCCUACUAACUAAUAACAUCACGGGAUGCUUUCAAAAAUAAUGGCCAGAAUCAUCACACUGGGGAUACAAAAGCAUUGCUAAAUUGCUAGGUGACUUCCUAAACACCUAAGGUCAUAAUAAUAGCUCCAACAUCUACGCCGAGGCAACAAAGUACCUCAACCUACCGAUUAGUGUGCUUAUUCCGACCAAAAGGGACAUCGGAGAUGGAAGGAAAGGAUUUGCAAAUGCAUUAGACUGUUUAGAGACCUGGGAUGACUUGGACAGCAUAACGGCUGUAAAUGCUCAAAAAGAUUUGAGACAUGCUACAAAAAUGGUGGCAUAGCCACUCAGAAGCACAAUACCAAGGUUUCGAGAUCAACAGUUAACAUACAGAAGUAGUAGAAACUGAACAGAGGCUUAAGUCCAACAAUUCUAUAAGUCUACGGAUUAGUAACACGUGAUCCUGAUAGAAAGAAGAGAAAGCCUAGUUCCUUAACCCCGUAGGAAAGAUAAGAUGACUCAGAUCAGAAGGGCAUAAGGUAUAAGGAGUAAAAAGAGCCUUAUGUUCCAUCCCACAAUCAAUUCCCUUAUAUAACUAAAGCAUUUCUAGACUCAACUUCGACCAGUUUGGCUUGGUAAUCCUACAGGCAGUCAAGCUCUGAUACCAACGUUGUCAGGACCCUGACUCAAUGCCACAUCGAUCUAGCAUGUAACACCUCAUAUCACUUUGCGGCCUCACGCACGGUAUUCCCACGGGUGUCGCCUUACCUUUGCCCGGGACUGUUUGCGCCUUUUGGCACACGUAUAUGAUAGUGUCGCUAGCAUCCAUAUGAUAAGGAGCCCGGGCUGACAUGGCUAGUCGUAAACCCAAAGUGGCACAGACUUACAGGGACAGGCAUCCAUGACCCAGCACCGAACGUGUCGGUCAUCAGCAAGUGGGUCCGGGCUGUAGCUCUGGGCUAGCAGGACUCCGGUAAACCGGGCUGUAGCGGGCUAACAGGACUCCGGUACUCAAUGCGUGACAUUUCCCCGAAGGGACAGACACUGGAACGAAGAAGGACACAUGCCGGCCAGCCUAAGUAUUGCGGAGCAGUAGCAAGCUACCAUGGCUCAAUGGAAACACUAGGAGACAUUUCCCGGUAAGAGAGGCUACUAAAGAUAAACAACUAGAUAGUCAGAUCCCACACAUACCAAGCAUUUCAAUCAUACACACAAUAUGCUCGAUAUGUGCAAAUACAACAAGGCAUCACAACAUGACUCUACGACACAAGUAAGUAUUCAUUAGGCUCCGAGGAGCGGGAUAUUACAAACAUAGUCUCAUGACCCAACAUUCAGAGCAAACAAGUCAAGCACAAGCGGAAGCCUAACAUGUCUGAGUACAGACAUCUACAAAUGAAAAAGUCUAAGAAGCCUGAUUAUCUACCAGAUCCUGCCGAGGCACAAGAUCGUAGCUGAGGUAACAAGCUAAACGUCGAAGUCCACGCGGUACUACUAGCGAGACUGACGUCUCUCUGCAAAAACAUAAAUUAAGCAACGUGAGUACAAAUGUACCCAGCAAGACUUACAUCAGAACUAACUACAUAUGCAUCAUUAUCAACAAGGGGAUGGUGGGGAUUAACUGCAGCAAGCCAGCUUUGACUCGGUGGCUAUCCUGAACUACGACUGCAAGUAACUCUUUUGAGGUGGCGCACACGAGUCCACAUAUUCACCAUAUCAAUACACCACUAUGGAUCCUCUCCCGUCUCCCUACGAGAACGCCAUCCAUAGCACUCACGCUUAUCUUGCGUAUUUUAAAGUAUCCACUUUCACUUGUCUAUGAACUAUGCAAGGGGUCCAAGUUUCCAUAUCCGAGGAAUCCGGCUAUUCGAAUAGAUAGUGAUAACCUUGCAGGGGUGUACUUCUUCACACACUUAGCUCACACACAGUAGGACAUGUUCACAUGCCUCUGAUUCAUUCCCGAUGAAUCAGACCUGACUCAACUCUAAGCAGUAGCAGGCAUGACAAACAAACAUGAAUGAGUAGGCACAAUAGGGCUCAAACAACUCCUACUCAUGCUAGUGGGUUUCAUCUAUUUACUGUGGCAAUGACAGGUCAUGCAGAGGAUAAAGGGGUUCAGCUACCGCAGCAAGUAACAAAUGACUCGUUGUUGUCCUAAUGCAGUAAAAGAGAGCAGGGCGAGAGAGUAGGAUUGUAUCGGAAUGAACAAGGGGGUUUUGCUUGCCUAGCACUUCUGAAGAUAGUAUAGCUCUUCAUCGGUGUCAUCGAACUCAUCGUCGAACCACGUCUAUCGAGAGGGGACAAACACCGGCAACAGAGAAAGAACACAAUCAAUGCAAUGCAACAAUAUGAUGCAUGAGUGUGACAUGGCAAUAUGCUGUGGUUUGAGCUAAUGCAGCUAGCAACAAAGUUAAAUGAAGUUGGUUUGAACCCUAAGUUCAAAACCAAACUCCAUAUGUGAAAUUCAAAUGUCAUUUAUAUGAUUUGUGCUAAACAGCAGCUAUAAGUUGUUCUAACAUGCAUGAAAAUAGUACAGAUGGAUAGAUUGGAUUUUUCUGAUCAUUUUUCAUAUAUAAUUUAUUUGAUUUGGAGUUACGGUUGAUUUUAUAUGAUUUUUAGAAGUUUGGGGUAUUUUCUGAAAUUUAUAAAUCAUUUCCUGAUUUAUUUUAAUUCCAGAAAUACUUUACUGCAUCAGCAUGACGCCUGUGUGACGUCAGCAAGUCAACAGGGUUGACCAGAGUCAAACCUGUGGCACGGGACCCACGGGUCAGAGUCAUUAGACUAACUAAUCUUAGUUAGUCCUAAUCCUAGGUUUAAUUAGCAGGGCGGGCCCACACGUCAGUGACCCAGGGGGGUCAAAUCCCUGGUCAACCGGGGCUAAUCCACUGGCGUCUAGCCGCCGGCAACGACUAGACGCGGCGGAGGCUCGGGAAUCGCCCACAGGGCACAAUUCGAGCUGCGGCUAGGCGCGUCGGAGUGCCCUCGCCGGCGCGCGUCGUUAGGUGGUGCUAGCCGGGCCUGUGGUGGCCGGAGGCGACGGCUACGAGCUCGGCAGCGGCGGCCAGAGCUCGGCUAAGUGCGGGCGCGGUGCUGCAACUCGUAGGUGAGUGAACGGAGGUGCUAGGCAGCACCUAAAGGGCAGCAGGAGCAUGUCGGAGCUACUAUGCGAGGCAGAGGUGCUCGGGGGCACGGAGCUCGCCGGCCAUGGCGGACGGCGGCUUCGGGUGCUCGCGGGGCGGCGGCUACAGGGCGCGCACGAGAGAGAGAGAGGUGAGGGGAAACGACAGCAAGCUCACAGGGAGGCAGCAGGGUGGCUCAGUGGGCUCGGGGACGACCUCCAGCGCGCGAACGACGGCGACGGCCGGCGAGUAGAUGCGGCAAUGGCGAGCUCGAAGACGAUGGUGUGGCGAUCCUUGGCUUGCGUGGCUCGGCGAAGAGGGAGAUGGAGUCGCGCCGGACCUUCCAAACACGGGGGAGGUGCGAGGAGGUGGCUGUGGCCGCGGUGGUGGCGAGCGGCGGCGACGGGCGUGUUCGGUGGCGUCGUGGGGAGAGAGAGCAGAGGAGGGAGAAAGGUCCAGGGAGAGGGGGGAGGAAUCAGGGGGAGUGUCGUGGCGUCUCCACGCGUGGACAGGCUCGAAGGGGAGGCCUCCAGCGCGAAGCAGGAGGUGGCCAGCGUCGACGCGUGUGCGUCCAGCACGCAGCUGCUUCGGGGCGAGGGGGAGGAAGAUGACUGGCAGCUGGGCUGCACAGUAACGGGCCGCGCAGGAGCUGGGCUGGUUGGUGGCUCCAGGUAGGUAAGGGUCCAGGUGAGUCUCUGUUCUUUCUAUUUUUUUUGUUUCUGUUUUCUAAUUUUGCAGUUUUGUUUUAAUUUGGUUUCUUAACCAAAUUAUUUUUGCAGCUCUCUUGGAAUUAUUGUGGAUGCAUUAAGGUUUAUCCUAGAGCUCCACAAAAUAUUCCAGGAUUAUUGGAGCAAUAAAAAUAUUUAUAGAAUUUAUUUGCUCCAACUCAAAUACAAUUAUGAAUUAAUUCAAAAACCAUAAAUGCAUUGGAAAAAUGUGCAUGACCUCUGAUUAAGGUUUUAACCUUUUCCCAGAAAUAAUGAACAUUUUUGGAGGGCAUUUUGGGUCCAAUGAAAAUAUUUGAAUUGAACCUAGUUAAAAUUACUAUCUGCUAGGGUUUGAACAUCCCCACUUCAAAAUUUCAUUUGAAUUUAGACAUGAUGCAUGGAUGCUUACGCAGAGUCAGGCAAGGGCUUAGCUAGGGCUGUGACAGCAGAUUCCAAAUGGAGAUGCAUUUUCAUGCAUUGGGGGAAGAAGUAGAAUAAAUAGUAAAUCUUGAUCUUAUGGAGUGAUGAUUUACAUUCUUUGUGUGAUGAGAUAAUACACAACCUAGGUGUUAUUUAGCUUGCUAUCGUAGAACAACUGACUAUCAUGAUGUGUAGUUUCUGAAUAUUGAGUCCUCGAGUUUUGUGGAAUGGUGCGCUCUAAUUUGGAAGUGGUAUUUCCUAAUGUAUUUGCAUAGUUAGAUAUCAUAUUAUUUUUUUUCUCUUACUUGAAAUUUCUGCCAUGUAAAGCUAGGUUGUCUUUGAUUUGUUGUUGUGUUAGGUAUUGAACAGACUGGCUUGUUUGGCUAACCUUCCUUUCCUUUUAUUUUGCAGGCUCUAGAAUCGCUAAGGUUGCUCCUUCUCUGUUCCUUUGGUUAAGGUUUGUCCUUGUCAUUCUUUUCUAAGCACUGCACUUUUCUACCCUAUUUGUUUACUGCUUAUUGUCAUGUUAAUUCCUCUGUUCCUGAUUUUUCCAGGUGUCGUGUUUGUGUGUUUGUUUUUGUGGUGCUGCUUAUAUGUGUGACUACCGUAUGAUCGUAUAUAUAUGCUAAAAAGUAAAACUAUUUUUCCUUGGCACGAUACAUAAUUUGUAAUGAGAUGGUAGUACAUCAGUGUAUUUGGUGAAACUCGAGCUUCGACGAAUAUGAAGGUCUUUGUGUUGGCAUACACUCCUUUAUUCCAAAUGGUGCUGAUAUAGAAACACCAUCAGGGAUUCCAUGUGUACCAUGUAUGUCCAUAAAAACAGCAUCGAUAUAUCAGCAUACUAAUGUGCUGAUCUAAAAACAUUCUUUUCUAAGUGAUGGUUUCGAGUCGGCAAAAAUACAGUGUAUGUCCAUAAUGUGAUGGCAACUGAGUAGCCAUGUGUACAGGGAAGGCAUCAGUCUAUAUCGAAAAACACCAGCGAUUUUAUCCUAAUUGUUAAUGAAAUUGUUGUUUACUGCUUCAUAUUACCAAUUGCACCUGCUUACAGAUAUCCUUAAGUUUACUACCUCCUGUCCUUAGGAGCAUUAGUUUGUCCUUAUUUUUUGUAUGCUUUGUUUCAUCGAAAUUGCAUACAUCCAUUUCCAACAGAACUAGGGGAGUCCGUAUAAAUUAGAUAUGUUCCUUUUCUUCUCAACAUGUGUCUAUUAUGAGUACUGCAAUUUAGACAUGAUUAAGAAUGGUACUGGAGUUUGCUUAUCUAUCAUGAUUUUUUAGUUCUAAUUAGUUGAUGGCCUCACGUAAAGUGCCUCCAUGGAUGGAGCUUUCCGUGUCUGCCUUGUUGAAUGUUCUACCAUGGAUGGAGCUUUUGCUGAUACCCUUUCUGAAUAGCUAAUAUUUAUUGUACCUCAUCUUCGCUCCUGGUUGGCGGGGAACCCCUCCUGGUCGAGCCCCUAGCCCCCCACCUUGGCAGUUGCCUGGAGAGGAGGAUAGCUCGAGGACAACUCCCAAUGUGCCAAGGAGAUGGGAACAUGUGAGAUUCUUUGUUUCUUUCUUCCUUCUUUCCUCAUCUUCCCAACCUACAAUUUGUUUUCUAAUUUCUCUACAAGUUUUUCACGAGGUAUUUUAGGCUAUAGCUUGACUUGGCACUAUCAUGAAGUGGGGUAAUUUUCCAUAUUGAUAUGGUUGGUAUGCACAUCCCACUAAGAAGCAAGGCGCAAUAAAAGCUCAUUUUCCAUUUUGCAAAGGUUCCUUUUAGUAACCGAUGCGUCCAUGUUGAUGCAGCUACAACUAUGGUAAUGCAGGUUAUACUGCAGGGUCCAUGAUGCCUUUCUAAGUAAUUUUACCGCAGAUAUUGUAGGGUGUUAUGUCGCUUAGCAAACUUUACUCCAGUAUAUGCAACUUUCAGAGUUCUAAUUCGUCUGUGUUAUAACAGAUUUGGUUUGAUCAAUUCAAAUUUCUUAUUCAGGCAUGUAUACACAAAUUGCAGGGUGUAUUGCGCUUAGGAAACUUGCUUUUAGUAUGCAUUAUUUUCAAGCUUCAAGGGGUAUUAUUAUUCAUUUUAUGUUAGUUGUCUGUACUUGGCCUACAUUUUUGUUUUCAAAUAGUUCUGCCUCUCAAUUUGAUAUUUCUAUUUGCUUUUGCUUAGUAAUAUGAUGUAUUGUUUUCUUGCUCUAGGCCUACUUGUGUUCAAGGUUUAGUUGAUUGUGUUUCUUAAAGGUGUUUUGUUUAAUGGCAUCAACAUGUGCCAUUAAUUCCAUUCUGCAUUGUACUGUGAUUUUUCCAAGCAACACCAUUAUGGCAAUUUUUUGCUCCAUUUUAAGUUUCACUUGGAUCACUAGCCUACUUGUUCUCACCUCAUCAUCAUGGCCUUUCUUAAGGGUGUUCAGGCAUUUUUGUCCUUCUGUAAAUUAGUGGCAUUAAAUUAGUGGUCUUCUAUUCGUGUUGCGAACCCCAAUAUGGCAUCUCACCAUUCCCCACGAUCCACAUGUUAACUAUGGAUUUAUUUAAUGAUAAUAGGAUAUCAAUUGCCUUUUCUUCGGGAUAAGCCGACACCUAAUAAGGAUCAGGAGAACAACAAAUAUGCUAAGAGACAACCUUUUGGGGUUAAGGAUAUAAACAACAACAGGGCUUAUGAGGCCGAAGAGAGCUCGAGUGGUGUCUUUUGGUUCUUGAAGACCUGCACGUUCCUGGUGGAGUAGAGCAAAAUAAUUUGGAGGCUUUAAAGCUACUGCACUUCAUGUAUUUAGGAUCAAUUCUUUGUUUUAGUUUGAAAUAUUCCCCAUUUCCUCCUAUUUGACUGAUUCAUCUGAUGGACAUUUUGUCAGGCAAAUAAACAAAAGGCAUAUAUAUUGUUACGAGUGAAGCCAUCCAUACUCCCAUGUGGAAUUCAAGAAAUAGAGAAAUGUUAUUGUUCUUGUACUAAUUGUUUGCUUGGCCAAAUGUACUGUAAAUGAUUUAUUAUUGUUCAAGCUAUAGAGAAAUGUUGUUGUUCUUCAUUGUAGUGGAUGAUAUCUAUCCCAACUAUUGAGGUGAUGGAAGUACUACUGAGGAGUUUUGUCUUUGACUGAAUGAAGCUGUCAAGGAAGAAGGGAUAAAUAAAUCGCUUGAUUCAUGGGCCGAACUAGCUGCCAUACGACUGCUUGGAAAUAUACGUGUGUCUAAGAGACACAUGAAUACUUUUUUUUCAAACACACAAAAACAAAGUUGAUAGAAACACUACUCUUUUGAAAUGUGUUUUUAAUACAUAUUUCAUAAUGGGUGUAUCUACACCUAGGAGCACCAAAACCCUCUCUCCUUAACUGGUUUUAUACAUGGUGUUUAGUAUACAUAUAUUCUUAGGUUUUUCAUCUUUUUCCCUCUUUUUUGUAGGAAAAAUAUGCAUGGCCAGGUUUCUCAUCAUGAUAACCAUGUUUCCAGACUUGCCAAAAAAAUACAACCAUGCCAACUUUACUCUCUCGUCAUAGUGCCCAUAUUUUCAAACUAAACCUAUUCAUAUUAUGCAAAGUUUCCCUUUUCCCAGACUAUUAUUUAACAACAUAAUAAACAUGUUUAAAAAAUAGCAUGAUUUAGUUGAAGGUUCUUGCGUCAUGAAACUAUUUUCAUCGACGACAUGUCUUCAGCAGGUCUCUGCGCCAUUUGGCGCAAUGGGUCAACUAGUAUAGCAUAAGAUGGGCAUCGGAGGGCCACCAGGGAGCCCACGAGGCAGGGGGGUGCGCCUAGGGGGGUAGGGCGCGCUCCCUACCCUCGUGGCCACGGUGUGGCCCCCCUCUGGUACUUCUCGCGCCCAAUAUUUUUUAUAUAUUCUGAAAAGUGCUCCCGUGGAGUUUCAGGAUUUUUGGAGAUGUGCAGAAUAGGUCUCUCAUAUUUGUUCCUUUUCCAGCCCAGAAUUCCAGCUGCUGGCAUUCCCCCUCUUCAUGUAAACCUUGUAAAAUAAGAGAGAAUAGGCAUAAGUAUUAUGCCAUAAUGUGUAAUAACAACCCAUAAUGCAAUAAAUAUCGAUAUAGAUGCAAAAUGGACAUAUCAACUCCCCCAAGCUUAGACCUCGCUUGUCCUCAACCGAAAGCCAAAAUUAAAAAAUAUGUCCACAUGUUUAGAGAUAGACGUGUCGAUAAAAAUAAAAUACGGACAUGAGGGCAUCAUGAUCAUUCUUAGAACAGCAACAUAUAUAUAUAUAUAGGGUGGGUCUAUUAUAAUAACACCCUUAAGAGUAUUAUUAUGAUAACAGCGAAGCUUAUUCUGAUAACACCCCCAACCCACCUCCCGCACUACCACGACCCCAAUCCGACUCCACCUUCUUCCGCCGGCAGCACCCGCUACGCCCGUGGCCACAAAAAAGAUGCCCGACGACCCCUCCUCACCACCACUCAUUCCCUUUCCCUUAUCCUCUCCACCUCCUUCCUUCAGCCGGGGUCGCGCCCACCCCACACUGCCCGACGCCCCUCCUUAAGGCCAGGAGCGAGCAGCACCCCGGCCUCCCUCCCGCGGCGACGGGAAGCACCUAGACACCCCUCCCCCAGCGCCCUCACCUUCUGCCUUCGGGGGUCACCGGAUCCCGACGAGAUCUAGUCAAGCCCUGCUCGCCAAAAGACGGCGUCGGAGCGACGGCUGCACCCCGGCCCCCCUCCCCCAGCGGCUUUACCCCGGCCCCCCUCCCCCAGCGGCUGUACCCACUGCUGCCCCGACCAAAUCACAUCCCCGGCGGAGUACGCGCCGGAUCGGCCGAUGGGGAGGGCCGUCGCUACCAUGUCUCCCCUCCAGAUGGCCUUCUUGCGACGACCAGCUGCUGGCGAUUUGGCCGUGACGGUGAGCCCAACCUCGGAUCUGUCCAUGACGGUUAACCCCCGGAUCUGUCUCCAUCUUCCUCCCCCUCCAUUAGUUGCUGGCCGUGACGGUGAGCCCAACCUCGAAGAGGAAGGAGCAUGAGCUGCGGCAGAGUAAGCCCCCGCAGAUGUGGCUCUGCCGUGGUCGAUCCAAGGGCUCCCGUGCAGUCCACUACCUUGGUGCACGCAGCACGUCGGCACCCCCCCUCACGAGAUUCGGUGGGCUGUAGGUCGUCGCUUGCCACCGUGAGGUCGGCUUCCGAGCGGCAUGGCACAGUGCCACAAGUUCCCCUCCCCUCGUCACCUCCACCUCCAUGGCCGGUCCCCGGAUGUGCGUCUGCGAGCUACUACAACUAUUGAAGUUCAUUUGAUGUUUUAUUGAAGCUCACUAAAAUUUGUUUUGUAGUUCACUAUGGAAAAAAUGCGCCAAGUUUCCUGGAGUUGGCUCAAUUCCUCUCCCCCGACGAGGAGUCCGUGCUCCCCUACCCGAACCACGCAUCCAGGAGCUCCUCCCGGCCCACGGCGAUCUCCUGUGCGCGGCACCACCACUCUUCCUUCGAAUCAAGGCAUAAAGUUUGGAGCAUGUGAACAAGCAGUGCAAAUGGUGCAUUUUUUGUUUGAGCAUUUUGUGUAUAAAAAUUACAGGGACUCAUUUUGUGUUUGGGAUGAGACUAUUCAAAUAAUGUAGUUUGAAGUAUGUACACAUGCAGUGCAGUCCGGGCUUUUUGUGCUUGGGGAUUUUACGUAAAGCAUGAAAAUUGCAGUGACUCAUUUGAAUGCAGUUCCGGGGGAAACAUGGUGCUGUUGAGACUUUAGCAUGCAGUUUAGACCAUGUGGACAUGCAGUGCAAAAAUGGUGUGUUUAGAAACGUGUAUUUUUCGUAGUCUUUGUAAAGUUUUUGCCUAUUUGUGGACUCCCAUUUGAUUGCAGCCCAUGCACGCGACGCGUGCUGUCCUGUGGUGUGGACUUGUAGUUCGCCAGGAACUACGGAAGUAAAUAAAACAUUCUUAAAGUUUAAUUUGCUAUUAUAAAAAAGUGUGAGAAAAAAAUAAAAAUAUAUAAAAAUUGAUGCAGUCCAUUGGGGCACUGCGUACGGUUCUCAUGGCUUGUGUGUGAAGUUUUUUUUCCUCGGGUUCACACAACACGGUUCAAUAUCAGGUUGACUUUGGUCACCCCCAAAAACUAACCCUCUCGCUGCAGUACAGUUUGUGGUUGCACGAAAUUCUAUUUAAUUUUAUGUAGUGCACUUUUAAUCCUUGUGUAGAAAAAACACUGAAAAGAAAAUAAAUUGAUGCAGUCCGCUUGCCUUGUCACAACAUUACAUACUCGGUAACAAAGUUUUUGAAGUUCACUAGCAAAAAAUAAUGUGGUUCACUUUUUAGAGUGGUUCACUUAUACCGAAUGUGAAGUGCAAAAGGAAAAAGGAAAUUUUCAGAAAACGAUAAAAAAGUAAUGCGGUUCACUUUUGAUAGUGUUGCGGUUUCAAUUGCACUCGUCUCUGCGGUCCACUCGUUCAUAAAAAAUAUUGAAAAAAAACAAAAAAACUCGUUUGAGAAAAUUUACGUAUGACAAAAGAAUUCAUGAAGUUCAUUUGACUAUUUGAUGCAGUGCGGUUUUUAGUCUCAAGCAGUGCGGUUUUCUGUCUGAUACAGUACGCACGUCAAUUUUGGUGUCACGAAAAACAGAGUGUCCGCAUUUCGGUAAAUUCGAAAUUCCUCUUAAACCAUAAGGAAUUAGAAAGAGUGUUCAACAUGAAAACGUUGCGCCUCGUCGAUAUCUUUCCAACGGCGUAUCGUUUGAAUCAUUCCGACCAGCGCUCUGAGAAAGUUUCACGAAAAACGACCGCUGCCACUCAUCGUCAGCCACACGAUUUUCAAAAAUAACUAAAAUUCGUAAGGAAUCUCAAAAACAUGUCAAAAUAUGAAAGUUGUGCCUCGUUCGUAGCUUUUCAACAGUAUAUUACACGCCUUGUUUCGACAAACGGUUAGAAACCUGGAGCGAAAACAGUACCGAAAAUUUGAUUUUUUUUAAACAGAAUUCCGCGAUUUAGUAAAGUUGAAACUGCUCUUAAACUGUAACAAAAUAGAGAAAAUAAUAGCUAUGAAAAAUAUGCGCCUCGACGAUAUCUAUCCAACGGUGUAUCGUUUGCUUCAUUCCGACGAGCGGUUUAGAAAAAAACGCGAAAAAACACUCGCUGCCACUCGUCAUGGGCCGCACCAUUUUCAAAACUGCUCUAAAACUGUGAGGAAUCUCGAAAAGUGUUCAACAUGGAGAAGUUGCGCCUAAUCCAUAGCUUACCAACGGUAUAUCAUACGCCUUGUUCCAAUAAAUGGUUAAAAACCUAGAGCAAAAACAGUAACGGAAAAACACUGCGUACAGUUUUUUACGACACGAAGUUCACUAGUCUCUGUAAUGCAGUGCUCUUGCUAAAGAAAGUGCAGUGCCCUCGCGUUGAGCAUGCAGUGUGGAAGUGUUAUCAGAAUAGAUCGGCUAUAUAUAUAUAUAUAUAUAUAUAUAUAUAUAUAUAUUGUCAUAUGAUCUCUUAUGCUAAAGUAACAAUUCAAUCACAAUUUCAAGUAUGAAUCAUAAACUUCAUUGAGAACCAACAAACUCUAACCUCAAUCAUUGAGGCAAUUGCAAUUUAUCAUAACAUAGGAAAGAUUCAAUAUAAGAGCUUUUCAGCAAGUCCACAUACUCAACCAUCUUUUAGUGUUUCAUAAUUGCUAACACUCACACAAUAUUUAUGGGUAUGAAGUUUUAAUCGGACACAGAGAAAGAUAGGGGCUUAUAGUUUUGCCUCCCAACUUUUUACCUCAAGGGUAAUGUCAACAAUAAUAGUUCAUGAAGACUCACAUCCAAUUAGCUAUAUAUAUCAGAAUCUUUCCAACACAUUGUGCUUGCCAAAGGAUAAAAUGUAAAAAGUAAAGGUGAAGAUCAUCAUGACUCUUAUGUAAGGUAGAAGAUAAAAGUAAAAGAUAGGCCCUUCGCAGAGGGAAGCAGAGGUUGUCAUGUGCUUUUAUGGUUGGAUGCACAAAAUCCUAAUGCAAAAGAAUGUCACUUUAUAUUGCCACUUGUGAUAUGGACCUUUAUUAUGUAGUCCGUCGCUUUUAUUUCUUACACAUCACAAGAUCGUAUAAAGCUUAUUUUAUCCACAUUAAUAAGUCAUACAUAUUUAGAGAGCAAUUUUUAUUGCUUGCACCGAUGACAACUUACUUGAAGGAUCUUACUCAAUCCAUAGGUAGAUAUGGUGGACUCUCAUGGCAGAACUGGGUUUAGGGAUAUUUGGAAGCACAAGUAGUAUUUCUACUUGGUGCAGACAACUUGGCUAGCAUGAGAGGGAAAGGCAAGCUCAACAUGUUGGAUGAUCCAUGACAAUAUAAUUUAUCUCAGAUGUAAGAAAACAUAACCCAUUAUGUUGUCUUCCUUGUCCAAUGUCAACUCUUAGCAUGCCAUACUUUAAUGAGUGCUCACAAUCAUAAAAGAUGUCCAAGAUAGUAUAUUUAUAUGUGAACCUCUCUUUCUUUAUUACCUCCUAUUAAUUGCAACAAUGACCAAAACUAUGUUUGUCAACUCUCAACAACUUUUAUUCAUCAUACUCUUUAUAUGUGAGCUCAUUACUCUCCAUAAGAUCCAUAUGAUCUCUUUUUAUUUAUUUUUAUUUCUUCUCUUUUAUUUUAUUUAAUUCCCUCAAGAUCAUAGCAAAAUAAUCAAGCCCUUGACUCAACACUAAUCUUUAUUAUAUAUAGCUCACGGACUCGAUUACAUAGAAGGAUCAUAAAGCAAAACUCACAACUAGAUCAUACAAAAACUUUAUUCUACUAGAUCAAGAUAUUAUCAAAAAGGAUCGAACUAAGAAAACGGUAAAGAUAAAAGUGAUGGUGAUACGAUACCGGGGCACUCCCCCAAGCUUGGCAAUUGUCAAGGGGAGUGCCCAUACCAGAUACUCAGUUCUUCUUUGUUGGUGAAUAAGGUGGAGUUGUUGAUGAUGGAUAGUCGCACAUCGAGCGUAGGAGGUCCUCCAACUUGCGGAUGAUGCCCUUGAGUGCGAUGAUAUGCUCCUUCAACAAAAUAUUUUCAUGUGUGACAUACUUGUUUUGUAUACGAGCUAACUCAAUCAUCUUGAAAGCUUCGAUCUCAGUUGGGGUAAGAAGAUUAUGAUCAAGUUGAAGGAUGGCUUCUGCUGCCGGAACUUGGUCCUCCGUGGCCUUCUUGAUCCCUUCAUCCUUGUUGAUCUCCAUAGGUUCUUCCCUCCUCAGUUCUAUCUUUAUUAGCCAAGCAUCGUUGUCACCAUUGUUGGAGGAGGGGGACGACAUGAUGCCUGGCCUUGACAACCCUGACAGAAAAUAGCUCGAAACAAGAACAGAGGAUAUUUGCAUGGUACGGUGGUCAAAACCUUCGGGAGAUUAUAUAAUGAAUCUUUACCGACCAAAAGAAGUAUCUUGCAAGAAAACGGAGCCCGAAGAGCACACGAGGUGCCCACGAGGCAGGGGCGCGCGCCCAGGGGGUAGGGCGCGCCCUCGACCCUCGUGGAAGCCUCGUGUCCUUCCCGGACUGCUUCUUGUUUUCCUAUUUUCUUAAAUAUUCCAAAACAAAGAAAUAUUGCCAUUAGAACUGUUUUGGAGUCGGUUUACUUACCGUACCACGUACCUAUUCCUUUUCGGAGUCUGAAAUGUGACAGAAAGUGUCCCUUAUGUAUUCCUCCGGGGUUACGGUUUCAAUAAUAUUAGUUUCAAUAUUUAUGCGAUUACCUGAGAUAUAAUGUUUGAUUCUUUGACCGUUCACCACCUUCAGAUUUGUGCCUUCGAAGUUGUUGAUUUUUAUGGCACCAGAACGAUAGACCUCCUCGAUAACGUAAGGACCUUACCAUUAGAGAGAAGUUUUCCUAUAAAAAAUCUUAAACGAGAGUUGUAUAACAAUACAUAAUCACCUACAUUAAACUCAUGCCUUUGUAUCCUUUUGUCAUGCCAUCUUUUAACUUUUUCUUUAAACUGUUUGGCAUUUUCAUAAGCCUGGGUUCUCCAUUCAUCAAGUGAGCUAAUGUCAAAAAGCCUCUUCUCACCAGCAAGUUUGAAGUCAUAGUUGAGCUCUUUAAUAGCCCAAUAUGCAUUAUGUUCUAAUUCAAGAGGUAAGUGACAUGCUUUACCAUAAACCAUUUUAUACGAAGACAUACCCAUAGGAUUUUUAUAUGCAGUUCUAUAGGCCCAUAAUGCAUCAUCAAGUUUCUUGGACCAAUUCUUUCUAGAUCUAUUAACAGUCUUUUGCAAAAUUAAUUUGAGCUCUCUAUUACUCAAUUCUGCUUGACCACUAGACUGUGGGUGAUAAGGAGAUGCAAUUCUAUGAUUAACAUCAUACUUAGCAAGCAUUUUACGAAAGGCACCAUGAAUAAAGUGUGAACCACCAUCAGUCAUGAAAUAUCUAGGGACUCCAAACCUCGGAAAAAUAACUUCUUUAAGCAUCUUAAUAGAGGUGUUAUGAUCAGCACUACUAGUUGGAAUAGCUUCUACCCACUUAGUAACGUAAUCAACAGCGACUAAAAUAUGUGUAUACCCAUUAGAGGAAGGAAAGGUCCCAUAUAAUCAAAGCCCCAAACAUCAAAUGGUUCAAUAACAAGUGAAUAAUUCAUAGGCAUUUCUUGACGUCUACUAAUAUUACCAAUUGUUUGACAUUCAUCACAAGACAAGACAAACUUACGAGCAUCCUUGAAGAGAGUAGGCCAAUAAAAACCGGAUUGCAAUACCUUAUGUGCAGUUCUAUCUCCAGCAUGGUGUCCUCCAUAAGCCUCGGAGUGACACUUGCGUAGGAUCUGUUCCUGUUCAUGCUCAGGUACACAACGUCUAAUAAUACCAUCUACUCCUUCUUUAUAAAGAUGUGGGUCAUCCCAAAAGUAAUGUCUCAAAUCAUAGAAGAACUUUUUCUUUUGCUGGUAUGUGAAACUAGGUGGUAUAAAUUUAGCAACAAUAUAAUUAGCAUAGUCAGCAUACCAUGGACUAGUUCGAGAAGCAUUUAUGACAUUUAAUUGUUCAUCAGGAAAGCUAUCAUCAAUAGGUAGUGGAUCAUCAAGAACAUUUUCUAACCUAGACAAGUUGUCUGCAACGGGGUUCUCAGCUCCCUUUCUAUCAAUAAUAUGCAAAUCAAAUUCUUGUAGCAGGAGAACCCAUCUAAUAAGUCUAGGUUUAGCAUCUUUAUUUUCCAUAAGGUAUUUAAUAGCAGCAUGAUCAGUGUGAAUAGUUACUUUAGAAUCAACAAUAUAAGGUCUGAACUUAUCACAAGCAAAUACAACUGCUAAGAAUUCCUUUUCAGUAGUAGCAUAAUUUCUUUGGGCACCAUCUAGGGUUUUACUAGCAUAUUGGAUAACAUUUAACUUCUUAUCAACUCUUUGUCCUAGAACAACCCCUACAGCAUAAUCACUAGCAUCACACAUAAUUUCAAAGGGUAAAUUCCAAUCAGGUGGCUGAACAAUAGGUGCAGAAAUCAGGGCUUUCUUAAGUAUUUCAAAUGCUUCUACACAAUCAUCAUCAAAGACAACAGGAAUAUCUUUUUGUAAUAGAUUAGUCAGUGGCCGAGAAAUUUUUGAGAAGUCCUUAAUGAACCUCCUAUAAAAAACAGCGUGACCGAGGUGUCGGUGUUCUGGGAACGGGGGUCCCCAGACUUUUCUGCCUGCGGCCUGCAGUGUGGCUCAAAGAGGGGCCCAGCACGGCCCAUCUUCACCAACACAAACCCAAGACCCUCGCGAGGGGCCAAGCCUCGCGGGGUGGACGAUGCGGAGCUUCCUCAGGCACGGCCUCGUCAGGCUGGCUCACGAGGAGGUGGAGAGAUCAAGGCAGGGUACCUCGCGAGGUGCCCGUGACGCAAGCCAUGACGACUCAGGGCGCCAGGCGGGUGCCAGCCCGCGCAGCGUCCUCCUUUCCUCUUUGGUGCAAAGGGGGCAAGCGCAACCACGGAGUAUCGAGGCAUCAGGCAAAGGUUGCCAUUUCGGUGCAACGAGACCAAGACCAGGAGGACUACGAGAUGGAGGUCACCGUGGAGCCCAAGACGGCGUCAUCGCCAGAGCUUUGCGCAGACGAAGACCACUUUUGUCAGGAUAGCUGAUACUUGUUGUCCCCCUUCAAAUUAGCCCGCCAUUGUUGGCUCCCUUCCCGCUCGAUAUUUGAGAAGAGGACCAGGGCCUCUAUAAAUAGGACCAGCCACCCACGGAGCAAGGUCUCAGGUCUCAGGGGGGUCGGUCGGUUGGUUGAGAGAGAGAGAGGGAGAAAGGUGACUGAACUCCUCCCAGCAGUUCAUCGCCCCAGCCAAGAGCAGACCCUCGCGAGGCUGUUCUUCCUUGUAUUGUUCAUCAUCAUCAGCCCAAGAGGCAAUCCACCACACCACACACCGGAGUAGGGUAUUACACCACAACGGUGGCCCGAACCAGUAUAAACCUUGUGUCUCUUGCGUUGUUCUUUCCGUAGUUUAGAUCCUAGCAUGGCAGGGGGUGCAGGUAGGUAGGACGCGAAAUCUCCACGCGCACCCCAGUGUUCGAACCUCAAGGGUCUGCCGGAACCCGAAAUCUGACACGAGGAAGCUUCUUAUACCUUUAAUGUCCUUGGGGCAUGGCAUCUUUUCAAUACCAUCAACUUUAGCUUUAUCAACUUUGCCUCUUUUAGAAAUUUUAUGCCCCAAGACAAUACCUUCAUUAACCAUAAAGUGGCAUUUCUCCCAAUUCAGAACAAGAUUAGUUUUUCACAUCUCUGCAAAACUCGAUCAAGGUUGAUUAAGCAAUCAUCAAAAGAGGAUCCAUAAACGGAGAAAUCAUCCAUGAAUACCUCACAAAUCUUUUCGCAAAAGUUAGAGAAUAUAGCCAUCAUGCAUCUUUGAAAGGUAGAAGGUGCAUUACAUAAACCAAAAGGCAUACGUCUAUAAGCAAAGGUACCGAAAGGGAAAGUAAAAGUGGUCUUAGCUUGAUCAUCAGCUGACACAGGUAUUUGAGAGAAACCAGAGUAACCGUCUAGAAAGCAAAAAAUGUGUAUGUUUGGAUAAUUUUUCUAGCAUUUGAUUGAUAAAAGGCAAAGGGUAAUGAUCUUUUUAGUAGCUUUAUUUAAUUUGCGGAAAUCAAUUACCAUCCUAUAACCUGUAAUAAUUCUUUGUGGGAUCAAUUCAUCUUUAUCAUUAGGAACAACGGUAAUACCUCCCUUCUUAGCUAGGGACACAAUGGACAGGACUUACCCACUGACUAUCAGCAACGGGAUAAAUUAUACCUGCCACAAGGAGCUUUAAUAUUUCCUUUCUUACCACUUCCUUCAUCUUAGUAUUUAGCCGUCGUUGGUGAUCAAUAACUGGUUUGGCAUCCUUCUCCAAAUUUAUUUUGUGUUGACAUAGAGUGGGACUAAUGCCCUUAAGAUCAUCAAGAGUAUAUCCAAUAGCAGCACGGUGCUUCUUCAGAGUUUUCAAUAAUUUAUUUUCUUCCUGCUCUAAAAGAUUAGCACUAAUAAUAACAUGAUAUAUCCUCUUUUCAUCAAGAUAAGCAUAUUUAAGAGUAUCAGGUAACGGUUUAAGCUCAAACACGGGAUCACCCAUGGGUGGAGGAGGAUCCCCUAGGAUUUCAACAGGCAAAUUGUGUUUCAGAAUAGGUCCUUGUUUAAAGAAUACUUCAUCUAUUUCCCUUCUUUCAUUCAUGAACAUAUCGUUUUCAUGGUCGAGCAAAUAUUGCUCUAAAGGAUCAUUAGGAGGCACAGCAAUAGAAGCAAGACCAAUAAUUUCAUCCUUACUAGGUAAUUCCUCAUCACGGGGUUGUCUAUGAAAUUUAGAGAAGUUAAACUCAUGAGACAUAUCACCCAAACCAAUAGUAAUAACUUCCUUUUCGCAGUCUAUCCUAGCAUUAAUAGUAUUUAAGAAGGGUUUAGCAAAUAUAAUGGGGCAAAAGCUAUAUUGUGGGGAACCAAGAACAAGAAAAUCAGCAUGAUAUUUAACCUUCCCACAGAAGACUUCAACAUCUCUAACAAUCCCAAUCGGUGAAAUAGUAUCUCUAUUGGCAAGCUUAAUUGUAACAUCGAUAUCUUCUAUCUCAGCAGGUGCAAAAUCGUGCAUAAUUUCUUUGUAUAAGGUAUGAGGUAUUUCACUAGCACUAGCACCCAUAUCACAUAAGCCAUGAUAACAAUGAUCUCCUAUUUUAAUAGAAAUAACAGGCAUGCCUAUAACAGGUCUAUGUUUAUCCUUAGCACCAGGCUUAGCAAUUCUAGCAGUUUCUUCACAGAAAUAAAUAACAUGCCCAUCUAUAUUAUCGGCCAAGAUAUCUUUAACCAUAGCAAUAUUAGGUUCAACUUUAAUUUGCUCAGGGGGUUUGUGUGUCCUAAUAUUACUUUUACGAACCACAGUUCAAGCUUUAGCAUGAUCCUUUAUUCUAACAGGGAAAGGUGGUUUCUCAACAUAAGCAGUAGGAACAAUAGGAUCAUUAUAAGUGAUAGUCUUUUCUUCAACUUUAAUAGGUUCAACUACUUUUACUUCUAUGGAAGGAUGAUAUUUAAACCACUUCUUCUUAGGGAGAUCAACAUGAGUAGUAAAGGAUUCACAGAAAGAAGCUAUUAUCUCAGAGUCAAGUCCAUAUUUAGUGCUAAAUUUAUGGAAAACAUCGGUAUCCAUAAAAGAUUUAACACAAUCAAACUUAGGUGUUAUACCUGACUCCUUACCUUCGUCGAGAUUCCAAUCUUCAUAGUUGCAUUUAAUUCUCUCCAAUAAAUUCCAUUUGAAUUCAAUAGUCUUCAUCAUAAAGGAACCGGUACAAGAAGUAUCGAGCACAGAGCGAUUGUUGUCAGAAAGUCGAACAUAAAAAUUUUGAAUAAUCAUUUAUCUUGAGAGAUCAUGCUUGGGGCAUGAAUAUAACAUUGACUUAAGCCUCCCCCAAGCUUGAGCGAUGCUUUCUCCUUCGCGAGGCCAAAAAUUAUAUAUAUAAUUACGAUCACGAUGAACAAGAUGCAUAGGAUAAAACUUCUGAUGGAAUUCCAAUUUCAACCGUUUGUAGUCCCAUGAUCCCAUAUCAUCACAUAGCCUAUACCAUGUCAAUGCAUCUCCCUUCAAAGAUAAAGGGAAGACCUUCUUCUUGAUAACAUCAUCAGGCAUACCUGCAAGCUUAAAUAAUGUCACACCCUAGCUGGUUCAUGCAUUAGAGUGUUGCAACAUGUCUACUUUUACAGAAACUUGAAAUGGCGAUGACAGAACCCCCAGCACCCCCUGGAAACAACUAGGGUUUACUAAAAUUAUUUUCAACGAACCCAAAAUGCCCUUCACAAAAUGUUCAUCAUUUCUGGAUUGGGUUAAAACCCCUGGCAAAAAUGGUGCACUCUUUUCUAGGACAUUCUGGAUUCUUUGAAUUAAAUCAUAAGUAUUUGAAUUUGGGCAUUUAAAUGCUAUAAAAUAUUUUAAAUGCCCAAAUAAUCCUGCAUUUAAGUGAGGGUUGUUAGGAAUAAUCCCAACAGAGCCCAUAAUUAUUUUCAGGAUUUUAGUAAGUGCCUAAGUAUUUUUAAUAAAGCCCUAAAGUUACAGAAAAAUAGAAAAAGAAAACAAAACAGGAAAAAAGAGAAAGAGAAAGGCUUACCUGGAGCCCACCCAGCAGGCCCACCUGCCGGCCCAGCCCAGCCACCGCUCCAGCGAGCUGCUUGGCUUGGCCAGGCAGGCAAGUAGCUACUCGACGGCGAGCACAGCAUGCAUGCCACACAGCUGCCCGCCGCCUCACCGCUCCCCUCGUCGAGCUGUCGACGUGGGACGAACCCCCUCUCUCUCCCCGACCUCGCAGACACUCGCUCUCCCCUCUGGCUCCUCUCUCUCGCCCUCCCCGAUGAUGCCCGAGCCGUCAUCGUCGCCGCCGCUCGUUGCAGCCGCGUCCAACACCGUCGCCGAGCCGCGCCACCGUGUCUAGCAGCGUCGCCGUCGUCGACUAGCCAAGCCGCACGACGCCGGAGCCCCUGCAACGUCGUCGUCGCCGUUGUCUUCAACCUCGGGCCGCCCGAGAUCGCCGUCACCGUUCCGACCGCACCGAGCCUUCCCCGAGCACACUGACCCUCCCUGCGGCUUCCCUGUGAGUUGCUGAACCUCCCUGUGCUUUCUGUUUCGCCCCUAAAAUACCGUAGACGCCGCGCCUCUUGUGCCCGAAUGUGCUGCCGCCUGACCACGUCGUCAGCGAUGCUCCGGUGACCAUUUGGUCACGGGCUUGUGCCUGUCACACUCCCCGCGCGGCGUAGAUGAUGUAGGUGCUUUCGCCACGCCGCCUAGGCCACUGCAGCCACGUGCACGAGCUGACCCGAGCUUCGGCCUCCGCCAAGCUCGUCGCCGGCGAUGCUCCGGCCACUCCCCGGCCAAGCCAUCACCACGGCUGGAUGUGGGCGAGCACCAGCUGCCCGUAGCUGCUCUCCGUGCAUCAAAUGGUGCCCUAUGGGCGAUUCCCGCAGCGCGCCCCCGUGUCUGGCCUCACCCGCGGCUAAACGCCGGCAGGCUUUGACCCGCUGACCGGCGAGGUUGACUCUGCUGACACGGGUUGACCUCCCCCUCUAUCUCACUGACAUGCGGGCCCAGCUCGACUAAUUACUCUGUUAGUGCUAACUAACUAGGUUAGUUUAAUUAGUAUAGUCACUAACUAGUGGGCCCUGCCUAAUUAAUUAGGCUAACUAAACGUAGUUAGUGCACAGAGUCACUGACCAGUGGGCCCCACCAGUCAGGUUUGACUGGCCCUGGCGCCUUUGACUCGCUGGUGUCAUAGUGACGCAGUGCUGACGCAAUUAUUCAUUUUCUGGAUUUAUUUUUAUAUAGGAAAUUCCAGAAAAUAGCCAAAACUUCUAAAAAUCAUAGAAAAUCAACCAUAGCUCCAAAUCAAACAAAUUAUAUAUGAAAAAUGAUCAGAAAAAUUCAAUCUAUCCAUCUUUAGUGGUUUCAUGCAUGACAAAACACUUUAACCUUGUUGUUUAGGUGAAACAAGCUAAUACACUUAUUAUGCAUAAGAACUUUAACCUUCAUUUGAAUCUUUGAAUCAAAUGGACCCAUUCAACUUGUUUCACAUUGCAUUAGGCAGGACACAUCAUUUUGCCAUGUCAUAGCAUGCAUCAUAUUGUUGCAUAUUGUCAUGUGUCGAUUAUGUUCUGUGUGUCCUUCGUGGUAGGUUCUGCCUCCGAGGAUAUCUCCGAGUAUCCAACUGAAGGGCAGUACCCUACUACCACUCCAUCAGGCAAGCAGCCCCAUUGAUCAUAUCGAUACAAUCCCAUGUUCUCGCCUCUGCUCUCAUUUACUGCAUUAAGACAACAACAUUUCAAUCUACUGUGUGCUGCGGUAGUUGAACCCUUAUCCUCUGCAUGACCUGUCAUUGCCACAGUAACUAGAUGAAACCCACUAGCAUGUGUAGGAGUUGAUUGAGCCAUGUUUGUGUUUCCUACCUUGCUAUGCCUGCUAUGCUUAGAGUUGUGUCAGGUCUGGUUCAUCUGGGUGAUGGGCUAGAGUGAAAUUAUUAUGACGGUAAUGUGAGUGGUGUGUUGAACAUGAUUUGGUAAAGGUAUCGAUGAGAGGCCAUGUAGGAGUACAUGGUGGGUUGUUUCAUUGAGGCCGUCCCUAAGAACUGAGAUCUGUAUGUGUGAUUUUAAGAAUCAGCUACUACCAUGCAUUGGGAUCCUUACUUGACCCUCUCGGCUUCUUAAUCACCCUAGUACUCUGUCCAGUAGUUGCAAAUAGUUUCUGGUGUUUGUAGGUUAUGUGUUGGCGGCCGUGCGUAGCACUGACCCUAGGGGUGGGCUAUGAUGCGAUAGAUACACCGUGGCACGGUGUACCGAGUCACCCAUUUGGUGUCUCGGGAACCCUGUUCACAUCGUUCGGGGCCGUAUGUGGAAACCUCGGCCGGACUCCCUGCGGAUGGAACCUGGAUAGGCGAUAAACCUGGACUAGAGACUUGAGUGUUUAGGUAGGCCGUGGCCGACACCCUCGUUGGGCUUUCGCUUGAAGGUUGCCGAGUACAUGUCGUCUAAACGAGGUAAGUGGUGAGAGCGUGUAUGAAGAAGUACACCCCUACAGGGUUAACAUCAUCUAUUCGAAUAGCCGUGUCCGCGGUAAAGGACUACUUGGUUGCCUAUACAGUUCAUAAACAAGUUAAUGGUUACUACUAAAAGACUCAAGAUAAGUGUGAGUACCGAGGAUGGCCCUCUCGUAGGAUGACGAGGGAGGAUCCCUGGUAGAGUAUUGUGUUGGUGAUUAGUGGACUCGUGUGCGAAAACUAUUUUACUAGUGGUGUCUCGUAGGAUAGCUUAGCCAAGAGUCAAAGCUGGCUUGUUGCAAUAACUCCACCACCUUCUUGAGAAUGAGCAUGUAUAGUAGGUUCUGAUGUAAGACUUGCUGAGUACCUUUGUACUCAUGUUUGCUUAAUUACUAUUUUCAGACGAAAACACCGCCCCCUCCGAUGAGUUUUAUGUAGACCUCGACGUCGAUGAGUGACUUGCCACCCAGGUGGUGAUCCUGGCCAUGGAGGGCCCUAUGUAGAUAGACAGGCUUCGGGAAGCCUUCGUUCUUUCUAGUGUCUGUACUCAGACUAUUUGCUUCCGCAUGUGCUUGUAUGCUUGUAUGACUUGAGUGUCGGGUCAUGUGACCCCUACCUAUAUGAACAUGUUAUGUAUGGCUCUCUGGAGCCUUUAAAUAAAGUACUUGAGUUGUAGAGUUUUGUUGUGAUGCCAUGUUGUAUUUGCACAUAUCGAGCAUAUUGUGUGUAUGAUUGAAAUGCUUGGUAUGUGUGGGAUCCGACAAUCUAGUUGUUUAUCCUUGGCAGCCUUUCUUAUGGGGAAAUGUAGUCUAGUGCUCCUCGAGCCAUAGUAGUCCGCUACAGCCCGGUUCACCGGAGUCCUGCUAGCCCAGCACUACUGCUCAGGACACUUGACUGGUCGGCAUGUGUUUCACUUCGUUCCUAUGUCUGUCCCUUCGGGGAAAUGUCACGCGGUGACUUCCGGAGUCCUGCCUAGCCUGCUACAGCCCGGGUUCCCCGGAGUCCUAUUAGCCCAGUGCUACAGCCCGGAUUCACACGCUGAUGACCGACAUGCUCGAUGUGAUUCAUGUAUGCCUGUCUCCAUAGGUCUGUGCCGCUUUGGGUUCACGACUAGACAUGUCAGCCCGGGUUCUCUGUCAUAUGGAUGCUAGCGACACUAUCAUAUACGUGAGCCAAAAGGCGCAAACGGUCCCGGGCCAUGGUAAGGCGACACCCGUGGGGAUACCGUGUGUGAGGCCGCAAUGUGAUAUGAGGUGUUACCGGCUAGAUCGAUGUGACUUGGAAUCGGGGUCCUGACAAAUAAUCCACAAACUUCAUCCACAUAGAUUAAGUGUAAGUCGGGAUGUAAUGUUCCAUCUCCUGCAAAAGGAUUAGCUAGCAGUUUCUCUAUCAUACCCGAAGGAAUUUCGAAGUAAACAUUUUCAUUUUCAGUAGGUCCAGUAGGUUGAGGAGCAAUUAUUUGCUCUACCGGUCGGGGUGAACUUACCCCGAACAAGCCCCUCAAAGGAUUACUUUCCAUAGUAACAAGUGACAGUAAAUUUCAGCACACUAUAUAAAAUUUUCCUUACCAAAUUCCACCUACCAAAGGCGCUUCACUCCCCGGCAACGAUGCCAGAAAAGAGUCUUGAUGACCCACAAGUGUAGGGGAUCUAUCGUAGCCUUUUCGAUAAGUAAGAGUAUUGAACCCAACAAGGAGCAGAAGGAAAUGAUAAGCGGUUUUCAGCAAGGUAUUCUCUACAAGCACUGAAAUUAUCGGUAACAGAUAAUUUUGUGAUAAGGUAAUUUGUAACGAGUAGCAAGUAAUAAAAGUAAAUAAGGUGCAGCAAGAUGGCCCAAUCCUUUUUGUAGCAAAGACAAGCCUGGACAAACUCUUAUAUAAAGUAAAGCGCUCCCGAGGACACAUGGGAAUUAUCGUCAAGCUAGUUUUCAUCAUGAUCAUAUGAUUCGUGUUCGGUACUUUGAUAAUUUGAUAUGUGGGUGGACCGGUGCUUGGGUGUUGUCCUUACUUGGACAAGCAUCCCACUUAUGAUUAACCCCCAUUUCAAGCAUCCGCAACUACAACAGAAGUAUUAAGGUAAACCUAACCAUAGCAUGAAACAUAUGGAUCCAAAUGAGCCCCUUACGAAGCAACACAUAAACUAGGGUUUAAGCUUCUGUCAGUCUAGCAACCCAUCAUCUACUUAUUACUUCCCAAUGCCUCCCUCUAGGCCCAAACAAUGGUGAAGUGUCAUGUAGUCGACAUUCACAUGACACCACUAGAGGGAUGACAACACACAUCUCAUCAAAAUAUCGAACGAAUACCAAAUUCACAUGACUACUAAUAGCAAGACUUCUCCCAUGUCCUCAGGAACAAACGUAACUACUCACAAAGCAUAUUCAUGUUCAUAAUCAGAGGAGUAUUAAUAUGCAUAAUGGAUCUGAACAUAUGAUCUUCCACCAAGUAAACCAACUAGCAUCCACUACAAGGAGUAAUCAACACUACUAGCAACCCACAGGUACCAAUCUAAGGUUUGGAUACAAGAGAUGAACUAGGGUUUGCGAUGAGAUGGUGCUGGUGAAUAUGUUGAUGGAGAUUGACCCCCUCCCAAUGAGAGGAUUUUUGGUGAUCAUGAUGGUGAUGAUUUCCCCCUCUUGGAGGGAAGUUUCCCCGACAGAACAGCUCCGCCGGAGCCCUAGAUUGGUUCCGCCAAGGUUCCGCCUCAUGGCGGCGGAGUCUCGUCCCGAAAGCUUGCUUAUGAUUUUUUCUCGGACAAAAGACCUCAUAUAGCAGAAGAUGGGCAUCGGAGGGCUACCAGGGAGCCCACGAGGUAGGGGCGUGCCCCCAUCGUCGUGGCCAGGGUGUGGCCCUCUCUGGUACUCCUUGCGCCCAAUUUUUUUAUAUAUUAUGAAAAGUGCUCCCGUGGAGUUUCAGAACUUUUGGAGAUGUGCAGAAUAGGCCUCUAAUAUUUGCUCCUUUUCCAGCCCAGAAUUCCAGCUGCCGGCAUUCCCCCUCUUCAUGUAAACCUUGUAAAAUAAGAGAGAAUAGGCAUAAGUAUUAUAACAUAAUGUGUAAUAACAGCCCAUAAUGCAAUAAAUAUCGAUAUAAAAGCAUGAUGCAAAAUGGACGUAUCAGCAUUCCAUCAACAACAAGCUCGAAGAUACCAAAGCAAGAAGUGCGGGCUAAGACGUAUAAUGUAGGUGAACUCAUUUUACGCCUCCCAGAGAAGAAGAAGGACAAGCUCAAACCAAAAUGGGAGGGGCCCUUCAUUAUAGAUGAAGUUCUCACAGGAGGAGCCUAUUACCUUCGUAAUGUAUCAGAUAAUCGCCUAGAGCCGAACCCAUGGAAUGCUGCUCGGCUCCGAAGAGUCUAUGCAUAAGUUUGGCCAUACUUCUUUUUCGUUCCUUGUUUUCUCCUCUCCAUAUUGUUUUUUUAUACGAUUCCCAAAAAUAUGUUCGGAUAGACCGAACACUUGAGGGGUACACAUCCUAAUAUGUACACACCCCACCAUGACUGGGGGCUUCUUUAACGGAAGCUUAUUAUUAUUCCGAGCCUGGAGCUCACAAUAUAUGUGUCGUUUGCUCUUAUAUAACCUUUUUGCCAUUAUAUGCACCUCUAUGACUUCAGUUUUUGCCAAGAUGGGUUGCCUUGCUCCUGUGUUUAUGCCCUACAUUCCCGAUUGUUCGGCUAGGGCAUAAAGGGAGCACCUCUGCGAUUGUUACAGCCGGGUCAUCCGGACAUGUACCUCAGACGGGUGAAGCCGAAAGCUAGCGUUCUUAAGAGAAUAUAAUUGGUUGGCAAUCAAACUACAGAUUGUUACAUUCUGGUAACUCUUCAAACACGCAAACGGUUUUUCCAUAUUGCGGACCAAAGCUAUGGCGCGCAUAAUUUCAGCACGCUGACCCAAGGAAAGGAACCCUUAACAGAACUAUUCUCCUUCGAAGAUGUUUCUUACAUAUGUAAUAUAACAUACAUCCCGAACUAAACAUUUUUGUCUGUUAGAGCACAAUGACUGGGUUACCUGGUUUCCGGACGGAGUGAAUGCUUCUUUUCAUUCCAAACAGUAUCCGGAAACACUCCAACAUUUUGGUUCAGAGGUUAUAGCCGAAAGCUUGCAAAGACAAUUUUUUUACAUGUUCGGAUAAAGGUACAGGUCAAUCAUAAUGUACAUUAAUAGAUCAAAUCAAAUACCUAUUCCUUAUAUAUUCCAUCUAUAAGACUGUCUAACCUACAGUCUUCCUGCGAAUACUUCGCGGCUAUCAUUACUUGGUUAUAUACCAAAUUUACUGGAAUUUAUUUCCUGUCUGGUCCCUAUGGUCCUACUCGGGCCAUAUGAUUUGGAUCCAGCUUGGUGAAAUGCGUUUUCACCAUGGCCCAAGCUUCUCGUGCACCUUCACGGCAGGCGGAUGUCUUCCAUAGCUCAAACCGGCAUCGAACACCUUUGAACAAGUUUGCUAGGCCCUCCAUACUUUCUGGAGGGGUAUCAGAUGGCCAUAACGCCUUCACCAUACUCCUCAUGGCUUUCCAGACCCGAGCAUGUACGACGAACAGUUCCUUUAGCACAUCGCCUUGAAAUCCGGAUACUUCUUCCUCCAGUCGACCAGUUAAUAAGCCUGCAGCAACAGAGUCAUGACGUUCCGAAUUAUGAACUAAAGACAAAACCCCUAGGGUGGUUUUCAAUAAGAAAGGAAAACAUACCGAACAUGCCGCCCUUUAGCCUCUCAUUUUCUUUCCGUGCGGCUGAUAACUGAGCCCUUAAGCCCUCUAUCUCUUUGGAUUGUUUGUCUUCUCCCUCCUAGUAUUUGUUCUCCUUGGAGGUGUUCAUUGCGGCCUUUUUCAUUUCCGCUAGUUUGGUAGUAACAAUAUUCAGCUGCGUUUGGUUUGUUUUCAGCUCCUGGGCUAGCGCAAUGUUCUUCUCUUUAAGAACCUAGAGGUAGUAUCGAUCCUUAAAUCGGUUUGCCUCACCGCUUCAAGUCUCGGGGGAUAAUGGAAUAUGCCUAUCAAAAUUGCAUAAACUCUUACCUGUAUAUCCUUUGAGAAUAACAAAGUGACUCCGGCAAGUCUGUCCUAGGCAGCUCAGAUGUAUGCAUCCACUGAGCUCAGUGCAGUGAACUCUUGCUCAGAAAAGGCCGGAGUGCACAUGGCCUCCUUCAAUAGACGGUGAUUCAUCACGCUCUCCACUUCGAAAUUCGUGACUGACAUGUCGUCUGAGUCCUCAUGAGGAUCCAGACCUGGCAUUGCAUUGGUUCUCGUCCUAGUUGACGAGUCUGGCACCGGAUUGGCGGACAUUCGACUAACAGGGCGUUUUCCCACAGUCUACCGCGUGUUUCUCCUGACAUAAAGGAUAAAAGGAGACUUUAAAACAAUUCGGGCUCAUGCCCAGGCAUGUAUUGAACAACCAUACCUCUUGGAAGACUUUGAGGUUUUUGCAGCGCUCCUGGUCCCUUUUCGUUUUGAACAAUGACCUUGUGUAGGGGCCGCCCUUGAGGAGGCAUGGUCCGCCGAGCGCUGAUCCUAGUAAAAUCCGGAUAAGUAUAAUUGAUAAAGGUGCAAGUAGGGAUUUCCUUUUAAAGAUCCCUCCGAAUAUUUACGAUGAAGAAGGGAUAGGGACGAGGUAGUUAGCUAUAAUAGCUACUUCUGAGUCGUCAAGGCUCGCUUGGUAAAACACCCCAUCCUCGAAUUCUAUGUAUAUAUCCGGAUCUUCACAAAAACCAGGGUCUUGGUCGCGAUCGUGAUCCUCUGGCUGUGGGAUGGGCAGUGAAUGUCAUCGAUCAUCUUCCUCCAUGACUGUUGCAUAAAUACCAAUGGACAAAACUUGGUCAGCAUCCUGUGACAGCAAUAAAGUGACACGGGUAGUCGAAAUCUUACCCAUUCGAUCGGGUUUUACAUGGAGUAACCUUCCCUGCAGUUUAGAUGGAGGAAGUGUUCCUUUUCUCCCUUGUACAAAUCUACCAAGAUCAUGGCCAGCUCGGCUAGGGUGUCCGGACCCUUGCGUCUAUAGCGGGACACAUUGUCUUCUCCAUUGUAGCACCAUAAGGGAGUUACUCUAGAUUGGAGAGGCUGGACGCAUCUUUUUACGAUGAUAGCCAUAACCUCGAUUAUCGUGAGCUCGGCAUGGGCAAUUAAUCUGACCUUGCUGACCAACCUUUUAACUUCUGCACUGUCCUCCUCCUUGGGACUUCGGGGACACCAGUUGAAGUGUUUCUUUAAAGGGGCGCUGGAAAACUCAGGAAGGCCGCGCCGAACUGGAUCCGGCAGUGGGACGUCAUCCAUGUAGAACCACUUCGAAGACAACUGUGGGUAUACUUCUUUCGGAGUUCCUAUGGGGUAUCUGGAUCCGGCUAUACACCACACUUCGACACCGCCCACUUCAAAAAUAGAGCCUCCUCGAUGGCGGGGAACAAGGCAAAAGAACUUCCUCCAUAGUUCAAAAUGGGGCUCGAUGCCUAAGAACAGUUCACAGAGGGCAAUGAAACCUGACAUGUGCAGAAUCGAACCUGGGGUGAGGUUGUGCCGUUGGAUGCCAUAAAAUUCCAAUAGGCCCCUGAGAAAGGGAUGGAUUGGAAAUCCUAGUCCCCGCAACAGGAAUGGGACAAAGCACACCCUCUCCUCCUUAUUUGGGUUGGGGAAGCUCUCAGCCAUCACAUCGUUACUGAUUGAGGCCAAUCCCAUUCUAAUGGGGAAUAUAUUCGCGAGGGGAAGAUAGCCCUGCGUCUGGAGUCGGCUCAGCUGAAGAUGAGGCACAGAGAAACUCUGCCGAUCACCCUCUCGAGGGCCAUGGGGGCGCGAAGAGGAGCCUGAGGCACAGGCCAUGUUGGAAGGCUUUUUUCAUGGCUAUUCUUGACGGUUUUCCUUUUGUGCGAUGUGAGAUGGCAUUGGGGGAUCUAAAUCUCCUUAUAUAGAUGAUGUCCGAGCGCGAUGAGGGGCCUAUUUACAAAAAAUCAUGGAACGUUCGUAUUCAUCUAGCGUGUGGAAAUCGAAGCGGCAACAAGAAGAGGCCAUAAAGACGAAACAUAGAGGUCCGAACCGGACUGUCGUUGGUCUAAAGUAUAAUGAAGAACCCGCCUUGCAAAGCCGAAGACAUAAGCCAGAUACUAUGUCAUCAUUGAAGGCAAGUCCGGGGGCUACUGAGGGAGACCUGGAUUUGGGGGUCCUCAGGUGUCCGGCCUAUCCAAGCAUGGGUCGGGCUGAUGGGUCAUGAAGAUAGACCGGUAGAUUGUUCCCCGUGUUCGGAUAGGACUCCUGGAUGCGUGGAGGUCAAGAUUGGAGACCGGAUGUAUUGUUUCCUUCCCUUGUAAACCGCCUUUGUACCCCUCUGGUGUAUAUAUAAACUAGAGGGUUUAGUCCAUAGGGGAGAUCAGAAUUUAUAUAAGCUAGACAUCUAGGGUUCUAGCCAUUACGAUCUCGAGGUAGAUCGACUCUUGUAACCCCUACUCAUCAAAUACAAUCAAGCAGGACAUAGGGUUUUACCUCCACUAAGAGGGCUUGAACCAGGGUAAACAUCGUGUUCCCUGUGUCCCUUGUUACCUUCGAUCCUCAGAUGCACAGUUCGGGACCCCCUACCCGAGAUCGGCCGGUUUUGACACCACAUCAGGUCCCGCCAGCCCUACAACAACUCGGAGCGCGUCCCUGUUCAGCCUGGUCAGCUUGGCAAUGGUGUUGAUGUCGUUGUCAGUGAGGGGCUCGUCGAACCUGCGGAUGAGGGCCUUAGCUACCCUAACCAUCAUCUUUUCCUUAGGCCCUAGCCCCUUCACCAUACGGAGCAUGGCGCACUAGGCCACAAGGGUUGCAUUGUUCUGCGCGGCCUGGCACGCACUCUGGCAUGGCGGCGGCACCGAUGUCGCAUGGGACUUGGGAGGGGCAGAACAGCGCUUAGACGGCGGUGGGGGCAGCAGUGCCGAUGGGGGGGUUGGUGAAGAGGCGGCGAGGCGCAGCACCAGAGUCUUUGAUCUCCAGCUGAUAGACUUGUUCGGUCACUUCUCCAAGCUGCACCACCACAAUGGAUGCAGCAGUGGGCGUGCGGCAACUGAAGCUCGUCGGGUUUGGCCCGGAGAGGGUGGGGCCAAAGAUGUCCGGGAUCGCCACAGCAGCGUCAUCCUCUAUUGCUUUGGCCUUAUCGGAGAAGUCGAGCGGGGCUGCCAGUGUAGCCUCUAAGGAGCAUGUCAUCGGCGCGCGCCUGCCCCUUGGCAUUGAUUGGCCUCUUGGCGUUGGAGAAGAACUGCUCGAUGUUGUCACCAUGUGCAUCGGGGGCGAGUUGGGCAGGUGGUGAACGGGUCACCGUGUUGCGUUCGUUGGCGCCGCCCUUCUUUCGUCCAUGGCGCGCACCCUAACGCCUAUACCCCUUGGAGCUGCUGGAGCGGUGUCGCGUCGGAGGGGAGCGACUUCGAUUGGGGCUCUCCAUGGAGGUUGCCUCGCCCUGCUCGUGGUGAGCACAGCCACGGCCCAAGAGCAUAUCCUUCUAGGAUCUCCUUUCGGCGCCAUCAUUGUCGUGGUCAUGCAUGGGGCCGUCGAGGGGCAUUUCCCGGCAGCCUGUGACCGCCACCAGGGUGCGGGACUGCCGCCUAUGCCGCUCUUCGCGCUGGCCAUCUUCGACGUGCAAGGUCCAGGUCCCCGGAUGGAUGCGCGGCAGCGCGUCGUCGCCGAAGCCAAAGGAUAGCAGGUCGCUCUGUGCCAAGUGGGAGGAGUGUAGUGAUCUUUGUAAGUGCAUCUAGUGCCCCUUAGUGAUUUUGGUGUAUUGAAGACUUAUCAGUUAAGGGUCUAAUGAGUUUGUGAGUGUACACAGGUCUAUAAGUCUAUGAGGAGUUUGAUAUUUACAAUGAAAGUCGCCCCCUAAAAAUGAAUGUCUUCAGUUGAAGACUUUGGUUUUCUUGAAGACUUUGAAAGUGAGGAAAUUGGUGUGACCAUGUGAUGUCCCUUGAAGCUACAUCGGUAUUUCCCCAAAGAGAAAGGGAUGAUGCAGCAUAGCGGCGGUAGGUAUUUCCCUCAGGUAUGAAACCAAGGCUAUCAAACCAGUAGGAGAACGAAGCAACACAACGUAAGCAGCCCCUGCACACAGAUAACAAAUCCUUGCAAACCGACGUGUUAAAGGGGUUGUCAAUCCCUUUCGGGUAAUGGUGCCAGAAAUUGGUGCGUUGACGGGAGAAAGUUGUAAAAGAUUGGAUAAAUAGAUCGCAAAUAAAAUAAAUUGCAGCAAGGUAUUUUUGGGUUUUUGGUUUAGUAGAUCUGAAAAUAAAAGCAAAUAAAAAUAGAUUGCAAAGGCAAAUAUAUGAGAAAGAAGACCCGGGGCCCGUAGAUUUCACUAGUGGCUUCUCUUGAGAAAAAUAGCAAACGGUGGGUAAACAAAUUACUGUUGGACAAUUGAUAGAACUUCAAAUAAUUAUGACGAUAUCCAGGCAAUGAUCAUUAUAUAGGCAUCACGUCCAAGAUUAGUAGACUGACUCCUGCGUGCAUCUACUACUAUUACUCCACACAUCGACCACUAUCUAGCAUGCAUCUAGUGUAUUAAGUUCGUGGAGAAACGGAGUAAUGCAAUAAGAAUGAUGACAUGAUGUAAACAAGAUCUAUCUAUGUAGAGAUAGACCCCAUCAUUUUAUCCUUGUAGCAACAAUACAUACGUGUCGUUUCCCUUUCUAUCACUGGGAUCAAGCACCGUAAGAUCGAACCCACUACAAAGCACCUCUUCCCAUUGCAAGAUAAAUAGAUCAAGUUAGCCAAACAAAACCCAAAUAUCGGAGAAGAAAUAUGAGGCUAUAAGCAAUCAUGCAUAUAAGAGAUCAAAGAAACUCAAAUAACUUUCAUGGAUAUAAAAACAUAGAUCUGAUCAUGAACUCAAAGUUCAUCGAUCCCAACAAACACACCGCAAAAGAGUUACAUCAUAUAGAUCUCCAAGAGACCAUUGUAUUGAGAAUCAAGAGAGAGAGAGAGAGAUGAAGCCAUCUAGCUACUAACUACGGACCCGAAGGUCUACAAAGAACUACUCACGCAUCAUCGAAGAGGCACCAAUGGAGGUGGUGAACCUCAUCCGAGAUGGUGUCUAGAUUGGAUCUGGUGGUUCUGGACUCCGCGGUGGCUGGAUGAAUAUUUUGUCGACUCCCCUAUGGUUCUGGGAUUUUUGGGGUAUUUAUAGAGCAAAGAGGCGGUCUGGGGGGCACCUGAGGUGGGCACAACCCACCAGGGCGCGCCUCGGCCUCCUGGCGCACCCUGGUGGGUUGUGCCCCCCUCGGGGCACCCCCCGGGUGCAGCUAGUGCCUGGUGUGUUCCUUUUGGGCCAUAAAAAAUCAUCAUAAAGUUUCGUGGCAUUUGGACUCCGUCUGAUAUUGAUUUUCUGCGAUGUAAAAAACAUGGAAAAAACAGGAACUGACACUUGGCACUAUGUCAAUAGGUUAGUACCAAAAAAUGAUUAUAAAACAUCCAAGAUUGAUAAUAUAACAGCAUGGAACAAAAAAAUUAUAGAUACAUUCGAGACGUAUCAGCAUCCCCAAGCUUAACUCCUGCUCGUCCUCGAGUAGGUAAGUGAUAAAAAGAGAAUUUUUGAUGUGGAAUGCUGCCUACCAUGUCAUAUCAUAUUCUUUUCUUUAUAGCAUGGACAGUUGGACUUUUAGUUCUUCAAAGCAAUAGUCUAGUUUUGACAUGAUAAUUUAGAUACUCAAGCAUAUCAACAAGCAACCAUGUCUUUCAAAAUAUCAACGCUAAAAUAAGUUAUCCCUAGCCCAUCAUGCUCAAACAUUGAUCCAUUCAUGAAACACACUCGAAUAUUAGCUACACUCAAUACUUAAGUAUGAUCAUAUUGCCUCCUAGUUGGUGCGUUUACAAGAGAAGAUUGAAAGCACAAGUCCUCCCUGGGUAGUUUUGGUAAUUAAUGUCAACAUAUCUCUUGUUGGACUAAUACUUUUAUCUAGUAUAUUUCAGAUGAGUUCAAAAAUGGAGUGGCUUGGACAAGAGGAUGUGGAACCCCCUUCUAGAUGCUAAGGAGAGAAGAUUGGAUAAAUUUCAAAAGCUCAAGACUCUACAUUUUCAUUUUAGUGAUCCAAGAUCACAUUGAGUCCAUAGGAAAGCCAAUACUAUUAAAAGGGGAUGAGGUGUUGCUUAAUGGCUUGCUUGCUCAAAGUGCUUAGUGAUAUGCUCCAAAUCCCUCAACCACUUUCUCAUAUCCACAUAUGUCACAAACCAAAAGACAAACUCGGCCCCACCAAAAUGUUCUAUCCAACACCAUUGAGUUCACUUGACAUAGCCACUGCAAGUAACCCUAGUAAAUUCGGUCGCACCGAUGGGAUUCCGGUCUCAUUGAGAUGGGCUUGCAAACUCUCUGUUACCUGUUGCAAUUAUUUCGGUCCCACCGAGAUAAGCAAUCGAUACCACCGAGUCUGUCUGGCAAACUCUCUGUUUUGCUCAUUACCAAAAUCGGUCCCACCGAGUUUGUGUAAUCGGUCAAACCCAGAUGAGGUUUUACCCUAACCCUAGCACAUCGGUCCCACCGAGUUGAUCAUAUCGGUCCCACUGAAAUGCCUAACGUUCACAUUUUGAACUGAAUCGGUCUGAUCGAGUUUUCUGAUUCGGUCCCACCGAGUUUGGUGAAUUGUGUGUAACGGUUAGAUUUUGUGUGGAGGCUAUAUAUACCCCUCUACCCUUCCUUCAUUAGUAAGGAGAGCCAUUAGAACGUGCCUACACUUCCAGCAUUCAUUUCCUGAGAGAGAACCACCUACUCAUGUGUUGAGACCAAGAUAUUCCAUUCCAACCAUAUGAAUCUUGAUCUCUAGCCUUACCCAAGUUGCUUUCCACUCAAAUCAUCUUCCCACCAAAUCCAAAUCUGUGAGAGAGAGUAGAGUGUUGGGGAGACUGUCAUUUGAAGCACAAGAGCAAGGAGUUCAUCAUCAACACACCAUCUAUUACCUUUUGGAGAGUGGUGUCUCCUAGAUUAGUUAGGUGUCACUUGGAAUCCUCCGACAAGACUGUGGACUUGAGCCAAGGAGUUUGUACGGGCAAAGAGAUCACCUACUUCAUGAAGAUCUACCCUAGUGAGGCAAGUCCUUCGUUGUCGUGGAAUUGUCACGAUAGAUGUCCUAAUGUGAGGACUUAGUUGUGGAGCCAUCGCGACGAGGUUAGCUUAAAGGGGUUAAUCAGGACAAAGGACACGAGGAGUUUAUACUGGUUCGACCCCUUGCGGUGAAGGUAAAAGCCUAAUCCAGUUGAGGUGGUAUUGCUAGGGUUUCGAUGAAUGGGGAGCGAAUAUGCUUAACCUGGCUCUCGAUCUGUUGUUUCUUGUCCUAAGCUGCUGCUGGGUCAUCCCCUUAUAUACACGGGUUGACGCCCUGCGGCCUACAGAGUCCCGGCCGGCUCAUACAACGUAUCCGGCUUGGUGACCUUUCUUACAUACCUUACAAUACAAGUUUACAUACAUGGCGGUUUAUAUCUGUGGGCCUUAAGCUGCCUUCGGGUUUGGGCCCUCUACUAAGCAUAUCUAUGAACCGCCAUUGUUAAUACGCUCUUGGGCUUCAUAGAGAUGAAUCGCCAUAGGGAUGACCCGGCCCCUCCUGGGCGGGUCAUACCUAAUAGUCAUAUCCCCAACAUUAGGCCCCGGGUUGAUUUGAACUUGUUCGUGUCAAUCUUCAACACUUAGAAAAAUCCUUCCUCCUCUUACUAUGAAAUAUUGUAACCCGCCAUGACGUCGUGUCCAAAAGUCGCGAUAACCCACCAUGACGUCAUCUAUGAUUAAUGCCACAUAGAAUCCAAAUCUUAAUAAAUCUCUUUCUUUACUGACCCUUCGAAAAUCGAGGCGCCCGUGUCGUCACAUAUCCAUUUUACCGUUCCUUGAUUCUCGUGCCUGUCGUUCGUGCUUCCAAGCCUAUAAAUAGGACCACAGAGUCUCCUUUCAUUCUUCUCCUUUUCCUUCUCGCUUUCUUCCUCCUCGCGACGCACCAACCUGUAUGAACCCUGCUGCCGUCGACCUUCGUCUCCGACCUCAACUCCGGUCGCCGCAUCACCCUGAACGGACCAGAAACCCGCGGCGCCACUCUGCUGUCCUAUCAGCAUCAGUAAGCCCUCUUUCUUUUAUCAUAGAUCUAUCAUUAGGUUUCAUCGGUGUUCGUCGCCGCCCUUCUUUCUCCUUGUUUAGAUCCAUGGAUUAGAUCCGAAAACCACAUAAAUCUUGUGUGGUAGUAGUUUUAGCACCUGUUUCUGGUACUAGAAUAUAUCCUCAUCGCGACAGAUCUUCCUCUAAGGCACCUCUGCUUUUCCACUGUCGCCUCUGUAGGCUUCAAAUUUAUUCCCUUUUCUGAACAGCAGUAGAUCCAAAUUUAUAGCCCCAAUCUGUGGAACCUGUUUGUUCUAAUACUUAGCAAAUUUUACUCUUGGUAGAUCUUGAAUGUCUUCAAUUAUGGCGGCUUAUUCUACCGGCUUGUCGUUACUUCAUAUAUCAUUAGCCCUUGCUUAAGCCGCCAUUCUGAACAUGCACUGCAAUUGUCAACUUGUAAUCCCAUCAACUAACUUGAGCCGGCAAAUUAUUUCCUGUCUUUAGGUUAUCCUUUCACCAUGCCGCCAAAGACAAUUACGACCUGUAACUGGGUUCCUUCCACCGUCACCGAGAGCACGUUGAAGGAUUUUGUCACCGUUGGAUUUUUGCCAGAGAAAAGUGUCAUGCAUUACCGUGCUCCUGACCCGGGCGAAGAGAGACCUCAGCCAAAGGACGGUGAAGUUAUUGUCUUUACUGAUCAUAUGAACCGGGGCUUCUCGCCGCCCGACUCUAAGUUCUUUGGGGAUGUCUUGCGCUUCUUCAAGCUCCAUCCGCAAGACAUUGGACCCAAUUCCAUAUCAAACAUCUGUAACUUUCAAGUUUUCUGUGAGGUAUACCUUCAAGAAGAGCCUAGCGUUGAGCUUUUCAGGGAGUACUUCUACCUGAACCGACAAAAUGAGUUCACAAACGGUCCCAGCUUGGAACUUGGUGGAAUUUCAAUUCAACGCAGAAGAGAUGCCAUUUUCCCUCAAGCAGCUCUACUGAGUCACCCCAAGGACUGGAACCAAGCAUGGUUCUACUGUAAAGAUAUCUCGUCGUCUGAUGAGAAUCCAUUGCCGGGUUAUCGUGCUGAACGUCUCGACUCAAGUUGUCAACUUCAUGAUAAACUUACCACCGCCGAAUGCAAGAAACUUGUCCCUACAAUCAUAAGAGUCCAAGCCUUGCUAGGAAACGGUUUAACCAGAGUCGAUUUAAUCCGUUGUUGGGUCGCAUGGCGGAUCAUACCCUUAAGCCGCCGAUCCGGCUUAGUGUGUACUUAUACCGGAGGAACAGACGAUCCCUUACGCCACAACUCUAUGCGUCUGACUAAAGAGGGCAUCAUUAAAAUGGCAACAACGCUUGUAAAUAGCAAAUUUGAAGACUGCAUCAAAGUGGGCUUGAAUCCUUUCUACAAGCUUAACCCGCCACCAGAUGUAAGUCUCUUGAUUUCUUUUACCUUACUUCAUCACCCAAACAUUGCGUGAACUCAACUGUGUUAUUCUUCCGCAAGCUAAAUCUGACUUCUGGAAGGCCAAAUAUGACCAUGAGGGUGCCAAAAAGGCUAGGGCUGCCGCGAAAGCCGCCCAAAAGACCAUCAGGAGGUCUAGGAAGAAACCAAGCGCCUCUGAUCUGCUUAAGCUGGACGAAACCUCUGAGUCGGAGGUAGCCCUUGACUCUCUUGGCUUGUUUUUUAACCACCUUAUUGACACUGACUAUUGCCAGGAUGACACGGGAGCCAGCCAAGCAGUCGAAGAAGAGGUAACUAUUAUUUCCUCCGACUCACAACCUUUACCAAGGCAGAAACUUCGGCGGGUAAUCAGGAAAGUAAGGUUUUCACACCCCUUUGCUUAUUUAGAUCCUCAUUUCCUCUUAAAGCGACAACAACAUGAGAGCCGCCGCCAGACUCGGACUAGUGGAGGUGAAGAUUUAUCCUCCGGUUUACCAAACACCCCUCGGAAACGCCAAAAUGAGGUUCUUUUUAACCUUAACUCUUUUAUUUACCGACGGGUUUUCUUUUGUUAACCACUCAAUUCUUUUGAUUCCAUUUUUGCAGGAGAUUUCCAGUUCUUCCUCUGGCGAUUCAUCGCAGACUCAACUGCCGGCUUUCAAGACUGCCCCUGGGUAAGAACAAUUAUCUCUCUUCUGUACCUUUGUAUUUUCAUCAUUAUGCCAACUUGUCCAAAUUCCUUUUUAGCGGUCAAGCAAAGCCCAACAAGAAAGCGAAGGUGACCAAACCGGCCGAGGAUCUGAAAGCCGCUGAACCAGACCAGCCAACCUUUGUACCAGAACACCCUGGACAACCAGAAGAUCCUGCUCCCAAUGCUCAACCUGAGAUACCUGAGUCAUAUGUUGAUGGAACCACUAUUGAUCCGUCAACUACUGAACCGUCAAGCUCAGUUAACCCCCCAGAAACCAUGAUGACGUUUUAAUCACUAGCACCGGAUUUACUGAAUCGGGGAAUCCAACUGUACUAGCGAGACAUUCUGCCAAACAAGAAGUCAUGGAAAGACGGAAAGUGAGGUUCGAUGUCUCCCACUAUGCUCAAUUGAGUAAUAGUGAAGUACUAUCUGGUUAUCUCAGUCAAGUACACUCCAGCCGUGACUUAGAAAUUAAGAUGGUCAAACAGAUGCACCAGAAGUACGAGGUAUGUUCUCCAGCUUAUAUAAGUUAUAUAUCCUGCCAGCCCCCGAGUCUUCUGAUUAUGAUAAGAUUGAAUAAUCUGUAGACUUAAAAAAUUUACAAGCCUCUAUCCUAGACUCCCUCCAAGUCUGGUUUACAACUAAACCGGAUGUUGAUAGUAUCACAAUUUUGCAUGUAUAGUCCCCAAGGGCCGGUUUAAUCAGUAUGAAUGAGCCGGUCCUAUUGUUCACUGUAAAAGAAUAGAACUGAACUGUAUAGCCCCCAUGAGUCGGUUGAGACUAUUGAUAGCUCACCCGGCUCAUCUUUAGGAAGAGACAAGCAAUAUGCAUUAGCCCCCAAGUGCCAAGUGUUGUUGCUUGCAAAGCACUUGGGACUUUAGAAAAGCCAUUUCCGUUGAAAAAUUAUGUUGACAGACAUUAGCCCACAAGUAACAAGUGUUGUUGCUUGCAAAGCACUUGGGACUUAUAUUGUUGUGAUCCACCAUGAAACUUUACAAACUUGUGUUGUAUGCAGGCUGCUACCACUGAAUUGGAAACUCAACUGAAUGAGGCCAAGACCCCGCUGGCGGCUCAGGAAACUGAGACCAAAAAGGCUGAAUCAAAAUUCCAGUUUAGUGUGUCUGAAGCAGAAAAACUGAAGACCAGCUUUACUGCGGAUAAAUAGGCUUGGGCUAAGGAAAAGAUUGCCCUGAUACAGCAUGCUGAGAAGGCAGAGGCGGCUCUUGAGGAAGCUACCACUGAACUCACCGGUUUAAAACACCGUGUGUCUCAGAUGGUUUCUUCUAUCUUCGGUAAGUGCCCUUGUUAUUUAUCCAGAGUAAGUAUUUGUCGUCAUAAUGUAAGCCGCCACUUAACCAAUCUUUGAACUUUUUUAGGUCCCAGGAGCAGCAACCUUAGCCAAGACACACUGGUGAAGCUCAAGGUGGUUUAUACUCUCGUUGAGCAAUUAUACACUAGAGCUCAGCGGACUCUCGCUACUAUCUCCCCAACGAAUCAAGGACCAAAUCUGUUAAGUGAUGUUUUGAAAAAACUAUCCAUCUUACCCACCAGGUUUCAAGAAAUCAAAUGGUCUUGUGCUAGAACCAGAGCUGUAACAGCCUUGAGCCGUGCCAAAGCAUGGGUACCCAAACUAGACCUGGCAGAUGUAGCUAGUGGGUAUCCUAGUCUGAAGGAAGAUGGAACCUCUUUUGACCAGCAAGACUUUGCUGCCUGUGUCAAAGAGAUUCGUCCGCGUGCAACAAUCAUCGCUGAAGAGACCAAUCUCACCAAGUACCAGCUAGCUUACAAUGCAGAUAAUCAGAAGAUGCAGACUCCUUCUAUAAAGUGAUGGAUUUAAUUCCGCCGAUUCGUAAGCACACUUUCGCCCCUGAUAUUGACCCGUUUGAUCUGAUUGACAAUGAAGCUGAAUUCGUUGCCUUGCUGGCUUUGGCCGGUCCAAACCCAACUUCCAGACGGUGGAGGAGGAAGAUGAACCGGCAAGGGAUGAAUUGCAACCUUCAAACCAGCCAGGCCAAGAUUCAUGAACCGAGGCCGGUUUAUCAUCUGCUUUCUACAAGACUUAAAAAACAAUUAUCCUUUUGGGCACCAAACGCCUUGUAAUAGGCUAGCUUUAAACUCUUAUUCUGCUAUGCCAUCAUGCAUAUUUUGCUGUGCAUGCCAUUGUUCAUCCGCCAUGUUAAGAUAUGCCAUGUAUGCUUUAUGAUAUUAGCAAUUUUGAAUCUGUUCCUACAUACAACAGGUGAAAAGUGUCCUGGCGGUUUACCGCCGGACGGGUUAUAAUGCCCGAUAUAAACCAUAGGAAACUAUCACAGUUUAUAACCAAGGCUGAACUAAAUGAUAACCAUAUAUGAUUGAAAGUAUGUCAUACCUAUGAUAUUUGAUCACGUUGUUGGUUUACCAAGCCAGUGCGGUAAGGGUGAUAACCCAAAUUUCGAGCACUGGUAAUUAUCAGAGAUUGCCGGUUUAUAAACAAAGUCGGACCGGGUUAAUAAGCACCAGAUAUUAUCUUAUCUCAAACUGGCGACUUAUAGUCAAAAGCCAUGUCGGGUUAAUAAACACCGGAUAGUAUCUCAUCUCAUACUGGCGACUUAUAGUCAAAACCAGGCCGGGUUAAUAAACACCAGUGAAUUAUAAUCACAAAGCUUUAUAAGCCUCAUCAAAUAAACCUCGAAAAGAAAGAAUCUAUCGAAUAAAAAACAAACGAAAAAUGAGGCUUUUCAUGGGCUGCCAGGCUGGAAAUCAAGUGCUUUCACGGGCCGCACAACCACUGAGUUAAUCCUAUAUACAAACCUUAUAAGAUGGACCUCACAUAACCAAUCAUCGUUUUAACUUUGACAAGUUCAGUGUCUGCAUAAGAUUGAUUUGUCAAACAUUCGGCGGGUCAUUCCAGGAUUACCUGGGCGGAGUGGCUUACUUAAAAAGGCAGGAUAACCCAGGGUUUUAGGUGAAUACACCUGGCUUCCAAGCCUGGCUUUUAAGCCUAUUACAAGGGUUAUACAAACUCUUUGUUCUUUAGAACAAAAGAGCCCCCAAGCAAUAUUUUGAGCUGUGCUCAAGGGGCACCUUGUUUGAGUUGUGCUUUUGCAGCAGACUCUCUUUGGUCCCUUUAACUUGGAUAAAAGCCCCCAAGCUUUUUUUGUGGCUAAUAAGCCGGAUCAAAGGGUAAUCAUAACUUCGCUCUAUAAAGCAAAAUCCCCCAAGUGACCAAAAACUCAGUAUUUAAAAGAAAAGGCGACAAAGGCCCUGCUUUAGCAGGGAUGCCGGUUUAUUAUGUUGAUCAUAAUAUAUACAUUGUCAAAAAUAUGUACAUUAGAAGAGCCAGUGGCUCAAGUGUAGUAAGGCCGAAGAUGAGCAAUAUUCCACGGCCGGCGGGUCUCUUCCUCCGAUGUCCGUGAGUCCUUGUGGUCUCGAACAUCGAUAAGGCAAUAUGACAUGUUGUUCAGAUUCUUGCUGGCCACAAAGGGUCCUUCCCAAGGUGGGGAUAACUUGUGCAUAUCAGUCUGAUCCUGGAUAAGCCGGAGCACCAGAUCGCCUUAUUGGAAAGUUAUGGUUUUAACCCAACGACUGUGAUAACGGCACAGAUCUUGCUGGUAAAUCGCCGAACGAGCCAACGCAAUGUCACGCUCCUCAUCCAAUAGGUCAAGUGCUUCAUGACGUGCUUUUUCAUUGUCAUCUUCAACAUAAGCCGCCACACGAGGUGAGUCAUGACGGAUGUCACUAGGGAGAACCGCCUCUGCUCCGUAAACCAUGAAGAAAGGUGUGUAUCCCGUAGAUCUGUUAGGGGUGGUAUUAAUGCUCCAUAACACGGAAGGUAACUCCUCCACCCAACAACUCGGCAUCCUCGGCAGGGGAACCAUAAGUCGAGGCUUGAUGCCUUUCAAGAUCUCUUGAUUGGCUCUCUCAGCUUGACCAUUAGAUUGGGGGUGAGCCACUGACGAUACAUCAAGUCGGAUAUGCUCACAUUGACAAAAUUCUUCCAUAGCACCCUUAGAGAGAUUAGUGCCAUUGCCUGUUAUGAUGUUGUGUGGAAAGCCAAAACGGAAGAUUACCUUCUUCAUGAAUUGAACCAUCGUUGCUGCAUCACACUUACUGACUGGCUCUGCCACUACCCACUGAGUGAACUUAUCAACCGCCACCAAAAGGUGGGUCUUCUUAUCCUUGGAUCUUUUGAAAAGUCCAACCAUAUCAAGCCCCCAAACUACAAACGGCCAAGUAAUUGGAAUUAUCCUCAAUUAUUGAGCCGGCACAUUAAGUUUUGUCAUCUUUGGUUCGAGAUCCAUAAGAUGCCCUCAUGAUUUAUUCAUAAGGUGGCUUAAUUCUAGUUCUAGGAAAGUGUUCCAUACCCUUCCUCAAAGGAAAUUAGAACUUAAUGUUGCCUUCUUUCAUAUCAAUCACGGCACCGAUAGUGCGUAAAAACGAUCUACCAAGAAUAAUUGGACAAGACGGAUUGCAGUCAAUAUCAAGAACGAUAAAAUCUAUGGGCACAUAAUUCCUAUUUGCAAGAAUAAUAACAUCAUUAAUUCUUCCCAUAGGAUUUUUAAUAGUACAAUCCGCCCAGUGCAAAUUCAGAGAACACGAUUCAAUAUCGGUAAGACCAAGCACAUCACAUAAAGAUUUUAAAAUUGUAGAAACACUAGAACCCAAGUCACACAAAGCAAAACACUCAUGAUUUUUAAUCUUGACUUUGAUGGUAGGUUCCCAUUCAUCAUGCAAUUUUCUAGGAAUUGAAACUUCUAAUUUCAAUUUUUCUUCAAAGGCUUUCAUCAUAGCAUCAACAAUAUGUUUAGUAAAAGCUUUAUUUUGUUCAUAAGCAUGGGGUGAAUUUAUCAUGGAUUGCAACAAAGAAAUACAAUCAAUCAAAAAGCAACUAUCAUAAUUAAAGUCUUUGUAAUCCAAAAGAGUGGGUACAUCACUAGCUAAAGUUUUGACCUCUCCAAACCCACUUUCAUCAAUUUUAUCAACAAGAUUUUCACCCUCCAAAAUAUUGGACGCCUUCUACCUAAAUUUGACUCUUCUCCAGUCCCUUUUUCAUCAAUCUUAACUUUAUUAAACAAAGUAUCAAUAGAAGAACCACCAAUCGUUUUAAGUUUUUCAUCACUUUUGCGAAAGAAAUCACUAGAAAACGCUUUUUCUAAAAAUUCUCUUUUAGCUUGAAGCAUAGCGGUUCUUUUCUUACUUUCAUCCAUAGAAACAUAAAGAGCUUUAAUAAAUUCAUCUAAUUUAGGCACAAAAAUUUUCAUCUUGAGAUUUUCCACAUCAUGAGCAAUUCUAUAAAAACUUCUAGACAAAUCAUCAAUCUUACUCAACUUUUCUUCUAUGGAAGUGUUGAAAACUUUUUGAGUGUUGAUAAAUUCUUCAAUAUUAUUCUCAAGAUCAGAGGUGUUCCUAUUAUUAUUAUAAGAUUGAUUUCCAUAGAAUUACCAUAAUUAUUAUAGGAAUUACUAGGAAAAGGCCUAGGAUUAAAAUUACCUCUAUAAGCAUUGUUGUUGAAAUUAUUUUGAGAGAUAAAAUUCACAUCUAUGCCAUCACUAUUUUGCUCAAUCAAAGUAGACAAAGGCAUAUUAUUAAGAUCAAUAGGAGCACUUCUACUAGCAACCAAUUGCACAAGAGCAUCAAUUUUUUCCCUCAAAGAAGAAAAUUCUUCAACCGAAUUAACUUUUUUACUAGUAGGAGCCCUUUCGGUAUGCCAUUGCGAAUAAUUUGCCAUAAUAUUAUCAAGAAAUUUGGUGGCUUCAUCCAAAGUAAUUUCCAUAAAAGUACCACCCGCGGCGGAAUCUAAAAGAUUACGAGAAACAAAAUUCAAACCCGCAUAAAAAAAUUGUAUGAUCAUCCAAAGAUUUAACCCAUGAGUUGGGCAAUUCCUUAGCAUCAUUUUCAUCCUUUCCCAAGAUUGUGCAACAUGCUCAUGUUCAAGUUGUAUGAAAUUCAUGAUCUGGGUUCUAAGGGAAAUAUUUUUUGCUGGAGGAAAAUACUUAGUGAUAAAAGCAUCUUUGGACUUAUUCCAAGAAUCAAUACUAUUGCGAGGCAAAGAAGAGAACCAAUUUUUUGCAGAAUUGCGCAAAGAAAACGGAAAUAAUUUCAUCUUGACCACAUCAUUGUCCACAUCUUUUUUCUUUUGCAUAUCGCAUAAUUCCACGAAGGUAUUAAGAUGGGACGCGGCAUCCUCAUUCGGAGUACUGGGAAAUUGGUCUUUCAUAAUAAGAUUUAGCAAAGCAGUAUUAAUAUCAUAAGUCUCCGCACUAGUGGCGGGAGGAGCAAGCGGAGUGCCAAUAAAAUCAUUGUUGUUGGUAUUUGAGAAAUCACAUAACUUGGUGUUCUCUUGAGUCAUGAUGACUACACAACAAGAUUGCACUCAAAAACAGAUCCGGCAAGAAAAAGGCGAUCAGAAAAGAGAGGUGAAUAAAACGGCAAAUUUUUGUGAAGUGGGGGAGAGAAAACGAGAGGAAAAUGGCAAAUGAUGUAAAUUGCGAGGAGAUCAGAUUUUUGAUUAGGAACCUGGUAUAUGUUGAAGAUCCUCCCCGGCAACGACGCCAGAAAUGGCAAGCGGCCGGGAGACUAUCUUGACUUGAUCUUCGCUGGCAACGGCGCUAGAAAUUCCUUUUGAUGUCGCUUGAAGCUACGUUGGUAUUUUCCUAAAGAGGAAGGGAUGAUGCAGCAUAGCGGCGGUAGGUAUUUUCCUCGGAUAUGAAACCAAGGUUAUCGAACCAGUAGGAGAACCAAGCAACACAAUGUAAACAGCCCCUGCACACAAAUAACAAAUCCUCGCGACCCGACAUGUUAAAGGGGUUGUCAAUCUCUUUCGGGUAAUGGUGCCACAAAUUGGUGUGUUAAUGGAAGAAAGUUGUAAAAGAUUGGAUAAAUAGAUCGCAAAUAAAAUAAAUUGCAGCAAGUUUUUUUGGGGGUUUUGGUUUAGUAGAUCUGAAAAUAAAAGCAAAUAAAAAUAGAUUGCAAAGGCAAAUAUAUGAGAAAGAAGACCCGGGGGCCGUAGGUUUCACUAGUGGCUUCUCUCGAGAAAAAUAGCAAACGGUGGGUGCACAAAUUACUGUUGGGCAAUUGAUAGAACUUCAAAUAAUUAUGACGAUAACCAGGCAAUGAUCAUUAUAUAGGCAUCACGUCCAAGAUUAGUAGACCGACUCCUGCGUGCAUCUACUACUAUUACUCCACACAUUGACCACUAUCCAGCAUGCAUCUAGUGCAUUAAGUUCAUGGAGAAACGGAGUAAUGCAAUAAGAAUGAUGACAUGAUGUACACAAGAUCUAUCUAUGUAGAGAUAGACCCCAUCGUUUUAUCCUUAGUAGCAAUGAUACAUACGUGUCGUUUCCCUUUCUGUCACUGGGAUCAAGCACCGUAAGAUCGAACCCACUACAAAGCACCUCUUCCCAUUGCAAGAUAGAUAGAUCAAGUUGGCCAAACAAAACCCAAAUAUCAGAGAAGAAAUAUGAGGCUAUAAUCAAUCAUGCAUAUAAGAGAUCAAAGAAACUCAAAUAACUUUCAUGGAUAUAAAAACAUAGAUCUGAUCAUAAACUCAAAGUUCAUCGAUCCCAACAAACACACCGCAAAAGAGUUACAUCAUAUGGAUCUCCAAGAGACUAUUGUAUUGAGAAUCAAGAGAGAGAGAGAUGAAGCCAUCUAGCUACUAACUACGGACCCGAAGGUCUACAAAGAACUACUCACGCAUCAUCGGAGAGGCACAAAUGGAGGUGGUGAACCCCAUCCAAGAUGGUGUCUAGAUUGGAUCUGGUAGUUCUGGACUCUGCGGCGACUGGAUGAAUAUUUCGUCGACUCCCCUAGGGUUCUGGGAUUUUGGGGGUAUUUAUAGAGCAAAUAGGCGGUCCAAGGGGCACCUGAGGUGGGCGCAACCCACCAUAGCGCGCUUGGGCCUCCUGGUGCCCUGAUGGGUUGUGCCCCCCUCGGGGCACCCCCAGGCACGACCAGGGCCCGUUGUGUUCCUUUUGGCUCAUAAAAAUUCUCCGUAAAGUUUCAUGGCAUUUGGACUCUGUCUGAUAUUGAUUUUCUGCGGUGUAAAAAACACGGAAAAAACAGGAACUGGCACUUGGCACUAUGUCAAUAGGUUAGUACCAAAAAAGAUAUAAAAUGAUUAUAAAACAUCCAAGAUUGAUAAUAUAACAACAUGGAACAAUAAAAAAUUAUAGAUACGUUGGAGACGUAUCACCAUGAAGACUUGAUAUUCAUGCGAGGAUUAUGAAGCGUGAAGACUUCUGUUUUCGUGGUUUCGUUUUCUCUUUCUUGAGCCAUAGGAAACACCGUACGGUUAAAGGGGUCGAGGUAAAACUAAGGAAAAGUUUCCAAGUGAUGCUCAUCUCAAAAUCCUACACCUACCCUAUCCUUUUGAGUGAAGACAUUGGAAAUAUCAUACAGUUCAGUCAAUUUCUUCAGUGACAGAGACGAAGUUCUUCUGUUUUGACUGAGGAGUUAGGAAUUUUCCAGUGCAGAUUGCCUACAAGUGAGGAACAUGAUAGCCCUGAGGAAUUUGAUACUCAAAUUUCUGACCGUUGUUGUGCUACGCGCUGGCUGUCCCAAAAUAUCUACCCACCUAACGGUCAUAUCAUUGAAGGGCAUUUAUGUCUUAUCAUGUCGGGCUGCUCCCUAGGCUAUAAAUAGCCGUCCCCUACAACCACUAGUUGGUUGGCUGCUCCGAGAGAAACUGACACUUUUCAUUGAGAGCAUCCCAUCCUCCGAGGACUUUGAGUGAAAAUCAUCAAGUGAGGAAAAACCCAAACCCAAACACCUACAAACCCAAAGUGAUUGAGCAUCACUGAAGAGAUUGUUCCUAUGUGGAACCGACACUUGUUACCUUUGAGGACUGUGCAUCCUCCAGAUGAUUAGGCGUCAUGGUCUAGAGCAUCCAAGAGGAAAUUGUGGAUCGUCGAGUGACCGAGUUUGUGAAGGUUUGGAAGUCACCUGAAGACUUACCACGAGUGAUUGGGCGAGGUCUGUGUAACCUUAGCUCAAGGAGAAUACGGUGAGGACUGUGUGUCCUUAGGUUUAAUUACCUAGCCACUCCAACUAGAUGUACGAUUUCCACAUCAGUUGGAACUGGUCUACCAAAUCAUUGUCUUCACCAAGCUACCGGUUUUAUUUCCUCAACCCUUUCAUUUCCUCAUUCAUGUGUUGACGAACUUGAUCGCUACUGUUUGAAGACUUUGACUGAAGACUUUCUCAAUUUCCUCAGUCAUAAUUCUUCGGUCACUUUGUCUUCAGCCUGCUUAUCCUAUUUAUAUGCUUCUUGUACUCAGUGCUUGUUUUCAUUUCAUCAUGAUGACUAUGCUACUGCUCUGUUACGCUUGCACCUGAGUACUUAUUCCGCUGCUAAGUAGUUCAUUGCUUAGGAAUUUCCUCACCAAGAAAAAUUCCUCAGUGUCGAAUUUGUAAAAAAAACGCCUAUUCACCCUCCUCUAGUCGAUAUAACACACUUUCAAUCUUGGUGUCCAGUUUUCAAUGCGGUCGACGUGGAUGAGGCGGUCGUACCGCGCCGCGCUCGGAGGUGGAGCAUCCCUGUGGCGAAAAGCCGUGCAUCUCUUCAAUGCGCUCAACGCCGCGGGGAGAUUCCAAUAGGUGUGUCUGGUGGGGAUGAACGCCAUGUCCCACACCCAGACCCAGCACACAAAGGUCUUGGUGUGGCUGCGCUCCAGCGUGCGGCUGUUGAGGCGAUCGGCACCCACCUUGUCGCCGAACACCUCAUGCGCCCCUCGAUGGACGAGUACUGCAUCGACAUGUGCUUGAUGACGCAGCAGACGUGUAGGUUGAAGGUGGCGAAGCCGGUGUGGUCGUCCUCGCGCCACGGCAGGAUGGUGAAGUUGGCGUUGUCAACGCGCGGAGUGCCGCGAUGCACGGCAUUGGCGUGGUGAGCCGGCUGGGUGAAGAUGACUAGGAAGUCCUCGGGGUAGUGCGCCAUCACCCGCAUCUGGUGGGGCGGGACGCAGAGCUGGGCCUCGAGAGCACGCCCAAAAGCCAUGGGCGACGUGGCCGCCACUCCCUCGAAUGCGCAUAGCAUGACCGCGUGCUGCAUGAGGAAGAAGACGGCCCGUUCCACCUCUAGCGUGGAGACACCCACCUUGUGGCUAGUGCAUGGGCGGUGUGCAGGGUCGGCCAGGCUAAGUUCUUCCAUCGGAGGAGCGGGUGAAGCUGGGGGCAGAGGCGGUGGCGGCGGCAGGGGCGGGAAGUGCAGACGGGAGGCACUCGGAGGGCAUGAUGCAAGCGGUCCUAAUCUAGCUGUAGCAGGGCCGCCCGGGCCAUUGGAUGGAUUUUGAGGACACUCACGGGCGAAAUGCCCAGGAUGCUCGCAAAUGAUGCAGUGGAGCGGGUCACGACAAUCUUUCCGGUGGUGGCGUUUGCUGAGGCAUCGAAAUCAGUGGCCUUGGAACCGGCUUAAGAAGGCUUCACAGCCAUCAACCGCAUUGAACGCCAGCCGACGGUCCGAGCAAGGAGGCGGAGGGAGCUAUGGACCGGUAGAUCAGAAAUGCGCCCGUGGUUCUUCUUGGAGGAGACCUCCGUCCACCCAUCAUCCAUCCCCGAAGAGGAAAGGUUGACUGGGAGGGACGAGGCAACGAUGAUGGACUAGAGGCGACGUGGGGAGGCUCUGGAGUAUCCACCGUACCAGCUACUGGAUCUACGAUGAUGGAUUGAAGGUGAAGAGACAUCUGCACCACCGGAUCGACCACACUAGCUGACGCCCCAUCCGCUGAGCAUUCACCCCGAAGCAGCAGCCGCGACGGGAAAAGCGGAUCUAGGGAGGCUGGAGAGCAACAUCCGAGGUGGGCGGUGAGGCCCCGUACGCACCAGGGGGAGAAGCCCGUCCCCCCAUCCCGUUCGCCGAUCCACAGCAGGAUCCGAAGCGCAGGGAGCGCGGCGCGCCCAUGCCGCUAGGAGCUAAGGGGCAGAGAGGUGGCUGCCGCGGCUGCAGCGGCCUAUGACACAGAGCGGGAGGUGUAAGUGCAUCUAGUGCCACCCCUAGUUGGUUUUGGAGUAUUGACGACAAACCUAGUUGAGGGACUAAUGUGUUUGUGAGAAUUGCAGGAUAACACAGGUAGAAGUCCCUCAUUGAUUCGGUUUUACUACCAGAGAUGACCCCUAAAAAUGUAUGAAGACAUUGAAGCCAAAGGUGGUAUAUGAAGAUAUUCACAUUGAAGACUAUGACAAAAGAAGACCUGUUAUGAAGCCUAUGGGGCUCGAAGACUUAGAUCUUUCGUAGUUCUUUUUCUUUUGUGUUGAGUCAUAGGAACCACAGCACUGUUAAGUGGGGUCCAGGAGAACCAGUCAGAAUGACUGAAGUGAUGCCUAAACCAAAAACCUAUGUCUUCGAGUGAAGACAAUGAGAGCGAAUCUUGUCCAGAGCUGGACAAGUCAGCUUUGCUUGUAGCCCAAGUAAAGUUGCCAUGAGAGUUUGAAAUCUGACCAUUGAGACACGUGUCAGUUCCUUAGUGACCCAGGGUCAUUUCGGACAAAUCAGGUCGGGUUGCCAAGUGGCUAUAAAUAGCCCACCCCCUACAACCAUAAAUGGUUGGAUGCUCAGAUUUCAGUGCACGGCUUUUGUCGUUUGAGAGCAACCCACCUCGAAGCCUUUGAGAGAAAAUUCCUAGCGAGGAGAAAAGCCCUAACCACCCAGAGCCAGAGAACAUUGGGCAUCACUUAAGUCUUCUUGUCUGUGUGAUCUGAAGACUUAUUACACUUGAGGACUGUGAAUCCUCCAGACGGUUAGGCGUCGCGUUCAGAGCAUCCAAGAGACAUUGUGGAUUGCCAGUGAACGAAGUCUGUGAAGGUUUGGAAGUCUACCUUGAAGACUUACCAGAGUGAUUGGGCGAGGACUAAGUGACCUUAGCUCAAGGAGAAUACGGUGAGGACUUGGUGUCCUGAGCUGCAUGUUCAGGACUGGGUGUCCGGGACUGUGUGUCCUAAGGUUUAAAUACCUAGCCGCUCCAACCAGACGUACAGUUGUCACAGCAACUGGAACUAGUCCAACAUAUCAUUGUCUUCAACGAGUCACUGGUUUCAUCUUCACUUCCUUUUACUUACUGUUACUCAUUGUGAAGCCAUUGCAUGCUUGCUCUAUCUUUUGUCUUCACAAUGUAACUGUAUAAUUUGUUUGGCUUCAUAACUUCUUCCUACUUGAUCCUAAUUACACUACAGCUAUUUGUCACUAUGCUUUCACUCUGUUGAUACUUGACCAUGGCUUGCCUAGUGUAAUCUAACUUCCGCUGCAUAGUAAUAGGUAUAUCUUUACUGUUUGUCUUCAUAACUUCCACAUUUUGAAGACUUUCAUAAAACUUGCCUAUUCACCCCCCCCUCUAGUCGAUAUAACGCAUUUUCAAUUGGUAUCAGAGCAAGGUGCUCCCUUGUUCUGUGUGAUUUUGUUUAACCACCUGGAGUUUUAGCUAUGUCGACUGCAGGGAUAAUCAAAGUCUCCGUUGCGUGCCCCGUCUUCGAUGGAACUGAAUAUCCCUACUGGAAGAAUAAGAUGCGCAUGCAUCUUGAAGCUAUUGACGUCGACCUAUGGUAUGUCGUCGAGAAUGGCGUUCCCAAGGCUGGAGAAGGUGUCACUGCUGCUGAUGUCAAGAAGUUCACUCAAUUGGACUCUACUGCCAAAAAUAUCAUCUGUGGUCAUCUGACAAAAGGACAAUAUGGCCGUGUGAGUGCCUUGAAGACAUCCAAGCUGGUCUGGGACUGGCUCUCCAAGGUCAAUGAAGGCAUCUUAACCCAGAGAGAUCAAAGAAUCAGUGUUCUCCGCAACCUCUUCAACCACUUCAAGCGAAAUGACAAUGAGAAUGUCCAGCACACAUUUGACCGGCUCACUGACAUCACAAAUGAGCUUCAAGCCCUCGGUGCCACUGAGAUCACCAAACAUGAAAUCGUCAAGACGCUGCUGAGAUCACUUGAUAGUUCGUUUGACAUCCUAGCCCUGAUGAUUCAAGAACGUCCUGAUUUCAAGACACUCGAUCCGUCUGACAUACUUGAGAGGCUCAACACACAUGAGUUUCAGCUUUCUGAGAAAAGAGAUAUCUAUGGUCCAAACUAUGGGUGAACUCGUGCCUUGAAGGCAAAAGCUGUUUCCUCAUCUGAAGAAGAAUCUGACAGCAGUUCUGAUGAUCCUGAAGACAUUGGAAGGGAACUUGCAAUGCUAGUGAAGAAGUUCCAAAAAUUCACCAAGAAGAAAGGCUUCAGAAAAUCUUCACGAUCAAGCUCAAGGAAUGAUGAAGCUUCUGCUCAUGACUACAAGAAGAAAACAUGUCACAAGUGCAAGAAAAUUGGACACUUCAUCUCUGAGUGUCCACAGUGGGACAAUGAGAACAGAAGGAAGAAGAAGAGCAAGGAAUAUGAUUCUGACGACAAGAAGAAAAAGAAAUACUCAAAGUCUUCUUCCAAGUCUUCCUCAAAGUCUUCAUCACACAAGAAGAGCUCAUCUGGCAAGGCACGUGCGUUUGUUGGCAAGGAAAUGGAUUCAGAGGAGGAGUCCGCUUCUGAGGAGGCAGAGGUGGAAUCUGAGGAGGAGUCUGAUUCUAGCAUUGCGAGUCUGGCUACAGCAUACGUCGCCAAGUCCAUCUUCAACACUGAAGACAAUGACUUCAUCACCGACACUGAUGCAAAUGACAAGAACGACUCCACUCCUACCUACUUCUUCAUGGCACGCGGUGCCAAGGUAAACACACGCACUACUCGCUAUCAAACAUCUAGUGACGAUGACUCUGACUGUGAUUCAAAACCCAGCUACAAAACACUUGCUAAAAUUGCAACUGAACAACAGAAAGCUAUGGAACAUAUUCAAAAACUGUUAGACAGAAGCGAUGAUCUGUUGGGUGCUGAAAUGACUCGAUCUGAAUCCUUAAUUGAAGACAUAAAAAAUCUUCACGUUAAGUAUCAGGAACUUGAAGAUCGCCUUGAUACUCUCUCAACAACUCAUGAAAAGCUUUCCUAUGAUUAUCUUCAAAGGAAGUAAGAACUUGAGAAAUUGAGAGCGGCUCAUGAAGAUCUUCAAAAGGAAAACGAAUCACUUCACGCCGAACAGAUCAGUUCCGCUCAGGAAGGAUUUGAACCACCAUGUCUUAAAUGCAUUGAGCAUGAUAAUGCUACUUCUGUUGCUGAAUGUUCCACUGCUACUGCUAUUGCAAUAUCUUCAACUGUUGAUGUGGUAACUAACCCCUCUACUGAGGAUACCACUGCUAUUGCUGAUGAGAAUGCUAGGUUGAAGACAUUGCUUGAAACAGGGAUGUACAAAAGUCUUAAAGGACAUCAGACAUUAUGUGAUGUCCUCAAGAAGCAGAUUCUGAACCGAAACCCUAGGAAAGAGGGUGUUGGGUUCGUAAGGAAAAUAAAUGCAGAUGGCUCUUACUGGAAACCUGAGCAGUACCCCAAAACCACAUGGGUUGCUGCAAAGGAACCUUCAGCAGAUCCAUCCAAUUUAUCUUGCUUCACAUGUGCUAACCCCAUUAGUAUUGAUGAAUCCUUUGAUGCAAACUAUAAACUGUUUAAGAAUCAGAAUGGUGAAGUGUUUGCCAGGUACAUUGGUACUAACUGCAGGAAUGGACCGCCUAUGAAGAAGAUCUGGGUUCCGAAAAAGUGUCUGGAAAAUCUUCCUAUGAAUGUCUUCAUGACACCUCACUUGAAGAAGACAAACCUCAGACCAAAGGCUUCAUAAGGUCCAAAGGCUUCAUACAAACAAAGGACUCACCUGAGUCACACUAACGCAAAUGUUUUGCAGGGAAACCAUACUCAGGCAUAUGAAUAUGAGAGCGGUUCAUCGAACCAUCAUGUUCAUAUGACCAAAAAUUAUUCUGCUUAUUCCUAUGAGUAUUAUUGUCCACCUGCAAGACUGUUUGCUAAGGCUUAAAAGCCAAAAUUCUCAGAUGCUGCACUUAGACUUAUUGCUUCUAAGCCACCCUUGAAGAUGUGGGUGGUUAAGAAAGCUUAACUCUCUUUUGCAGGGAAAGGUCUCCAGCAGAAAAACAAAAUCUUCUGACGCUAUUGCUGGGGACCUUAAAAAUCUUGUAGGGCGCAAGAUAAAAUGCCCAAAUGGCAUCAUUAUGUACUUCGUUCCUGAAUCGCAUGCUACUCUCCCUAUUAGUCCUAAUCUAGAUCUAAGUUUUCAUAACCCACUGGUUCGUCAAAUGUUUUUGCUUCACAAUUCUCUUCAUGAAGCCUAUCCCCCUAACUGCACAGUAGGGUACGACACCAGCGUCUUCAAAGUCUUCAGAAUGGAUUAUUGACAGUGGGUGUACAAAUCACAUGACUGGCAAAAGAAGCCUUCUUAUGGACUCAACCUUACGUCCAUCCGACAAGAGCCACAUCACAUUUGCUGACACUGGUAAAAGUAAGGUAUUGGGUCUAGGUAGAGUUGCAAUCUCAAAGGAUCAACACAUGGAUAAAGUCAUGCUUGUUGAAUCCCUUGGCUUCAACUUAAUGUUUGUCUCAAUGCUUUGCGAUUUAAAUAUGAUCGUAAUGUUUGGAAAAUAUCGUUGCCUAGUACUAAUGGAAUCUGACAAGUCUCUAGUGUUUGAAGGGUAUCGAAAAGAUGAUCUGUACGUGGUAGAUUUCUCAGCAGGGCCACAACUUGCAGUAUGUCUUCUUGCAAAAGCUUCAGAAUGCUGGCUUUGGCAUCGGAGGCUUGGGCAUGCUGGCAUGAGGAACCUCCACACCCUUGCAAAGAAGAAGCAUGUCAUAGGCAUCGAGGGCGUCAAGUUCAAGAAAGAUCACUUAUGCGGUGCCUGUGAAGCAGGGAAGAUGACAAGGGCAAAACAUCCUUCGAAGACAAUCAUGACUACUACUCAACCCUUCGAACUGCUCCACAUGGAUCUUUUCGGCCCCACUCACUACUCAACUUUUACUACUACUGCCUGCCUCUAUGGCUUCGUCAUUGUUGAUGAUUACUCUAGAUAUACUUGGGUGCACAUAAUCCUUUACAAGACUGAAGUGCAGGAUGUCUUCAGACGCUUCUCCAAUCAUGCUAUGAACAAUUUUGGCACCAAGAUAAAACACAUCAGAAGUGGCAAUGGCUCUGAAUUCAAGAACACUGGCCUUGAUACAUAUCUUGAUACCUUGGGCAUCACACAUGAAUUCUCAGCUCCGUACACGCCACAGCAGAAUGGCGUCGUCGAACGCAAGAACAGAACACUCAUUGAGAUGGCCAGAACAAUGCUAGAUGAAUACAAGACUCCAAGAAAAUUCUGGACUGAAGCCAUUGACACUGCAUGCCAUACAAUCAAUCGUGUUUAUCUUCACAAGCUUCUGAACAAGACAUCUUAUGAACUCCUAACUGGCAAGAAGCCAAAUGUCAGUUACUUCAGAGUAUUUGGCGCAAGGUGCUGGAUCAAGGACCCACACCACACCUCAAAGUUUGCACCAAAAGCACAUGAGGGCUUUAUGCUUGGAUAUGGAAAGGAUUCACACUCCUACAGAGUCUUCAAUCUCUUUCAUUACAAAGUGGUUGAAACAGUGGAUGUGCGGUUCGAUGAGACAAAUGGUUCACAAAGAGAGCAACUGCCAAAUGUGCUAGAUGAGAUUCCAGCUAGUGAAUCAAUCAAGCUAAUGGGAACUAGAGAGAUUAUACCUUCUGAAGCUCAUCCUGAAGAAGAACUUAUCAUCUCAGCACCUGAUCAACAUGAAGACAAUGCUCAGCCUGAAGACAUUCCUCCCAACAACAACACAGAUCAGCAAGAGCAAAGUCUUCGCCCUGUACAUCCUCGUGUUGCCAAUGAAGUGCAGAUUGACAGAAUAAUUGACAGCAUCAAUGCACCUGGUCCACUCACUCGUUCAAGGGCAACUCAGCUAGCAAAUUUUUGUGGGCACUUCGCAUUCGUCUCAAUAUCAGAACCCAAGAAAGUUGAAGAAGCCUUCAUGGAAUCUGAAUGGAUUCAAGAUGUGCAAGAAGAGCUUCAACAGUUUGAGCUGAAUAAUGUAUGGGAACUGGUUAAGCGCCUUGAUCCACGGAAGCACAACAUAAUAGGCACCAAAUGGAUAUACCGCAACAAACAAGAUGAGCAUGGUCAAGUUGUCAGAAACAAAGCUCGUCUCGUUGCUUAAGGAUAUACUCAAGUGGAAGGCAUUGACUUCGAUGAAACAUUUGCUCCCGUGGCUAGGCUUGAAGCCAUACGCAUUCUGCUGGCCUAUGCAAAUCAUCAUAACAUACUUCUAUAUCAAAUGGAUGUGAAAAGUGCCUUUCUCAAUGGCAAGAUUGAAAAAGAAGUGUAUGUUGCACAACCGCCUGGCUUUGAAAAUCCAAAACAUCCUGACAUGGUAUACAAGCUCAACAAAGCAUUGUAUGGCCUCAAACAAGCCCCUAGGGCCUGGUAUGACACACUCAAAUACUUCCUGAAGAGCAAAGGCUUCAUACCUGGUUUCCUGGAUCCCACUCUUUUCAUGAAGACAUAUGAUGGUGAACUGUUUGUGUGCCAAAUAUAUGUGGAUGACAUUAUCUUCGGCUGCACCAAUCAGAAGUACAGUGAAGAGUUUGGAUAUAUGAUGCAAGAGCAAUAUCAGAUGUCCAUGAUGGGGGAGCUGAAGUUCUUCCUUGGUCUUCAAAUACGACAACAACGCAAUGGCAUCUUCAUAUCUCAAGAGAAGUAUCUCAAAGAUUGCCUGAAGAAGUUCGGUAUGCAAGACUGCAAAGGCUUCACAACACCAAUGCCAGCCAAACAUCAUCUAGGUCCUGACGACAAUGGUAAAGAGUUCGAUCAAAAGGUAUACCGCUCCAUGAUUGGUUCUUUGCUUUAUUUAUGUGCAUCUAGGCCAUAUAUUAUGCUUAGUGUUUGCAUGUGUGCUCGAUUUCAAGCGGCACCAAAGGAGUCGCAUCACUUAGCUGUGAAGCGAAUUCUUCGAUAUUUGGCUCACACCCCAACUCUAGGAUUAUGGUAUCCAAAGGGCUCAGAGUUUGAUUUGGUUGGAUUUUCGGAUGCUAAUUAUGCUGGUGACAAAGUUGAUCGCAAGUCUACAUCAGGCACAUGUCACUUUCUGGGACGAUCACUUGUAUGCUGGUCUUCAAAGAAGCAGAACUAUGUAUCUCUCUCCACUGCUGAAUCUGAAUACAUUGCUGCUGGAUCCUGCUGCGCUCAGCUUCUGUGGAUGAAGCAAACACUCAAAGACUAUGGUAUUCAUCUGAAGCAAGUCCCACUUUACUGCGACAACGAAAGCGCCAUCAAGAUUGCCAACAACCCAGUUCAGCACUCGAAGACAAAGCACAUUGAAAUUCGUCAUCACUUUCUCAGAGAUCAUGUUGUGAAGGAAGACAUUGAUAUCAUACACGUCAACACUGAAGAGCAAUUGGCAGAUAUCUUCACCAAGCCCUUGGAUGAGAAGAGGUUUUGCAAGUUACAGUGUGAGCUAAAUAUCCUGGAAUCCUCAAAUGUCCUGUGAUCAGGCACACAUCCUAACCCUUAUGCAUAUUGAUGACUUAGAUGUGCAACGCACAAAGUAAAGUAUAUCUUCAAUCAAUGAAGACAUACAUUCUAAGUGUGAAUAUAAUGUGGAAUUUGACUUCGGAGCGCCACGAUAAUUGUGCGCCGUGUCUGGGUCUAAUACUUCCUGUACGGUGGGUAACGCCACCACCAAACGUUCUAUUUUGAAGUGUUUCACUCAUGGCGUUACCUUGCAAUAUCUUCACAUUUGGUUUGGCUUCGAACUCAACAUGUCUUCAUGAUUAUCUUCACUACAUUGAUUAUAUAGAUGUAUACAUACUAGUGUUCUGUCCUCUACAGCAUUCACUUAUAGCUAUGUCUUCUUGGUUGAAUCUUUUGAACUAAGUGAAUGUGAUCGGACCCUAAUCUCUCUAUGCUUUCUAUCUCAAAUUCUAUCUCUCCAAGUCAUAUGCAUUCUAUUGAAACUGUCGAAUGUCUUCACUGCGUCCUUGUCAGCUGAAGAUAUAGAGACAACCAUAAAGUCCAUUUUCAAUGCCCAUUCCUCCACAUAAAAUCCGGAGAAGCAGGAACGACCGCCCGACAAUCCAGGCGUGCGUGGGACGUGGACCAGACCCAAAACUUCCGCAAACUGGCCACGCGUUCCUCAGAUGCGAAUCGCCAGGGGGACCUGUGUAAUAGCACAGUGCCGCCCCUGAGCCUAUAAAUUCACACUUACCGCGGUCAUUAUCUCCUUCUUCCACCCUCGCACGAACCCUAGCGCCACCGCUAGCACUCGACGACGCCGGCGACGAAGCGCUUCGCUGCCGCAACCUCUCCGACGCCGUCCUCGCGCCGACCGCGGACAUCGUUCUCUCCGCCGUCGCCGUAGGUGUCUUCUGUCGCCAAGUUAGGGCACGGAGGACUGAACUGCUCGGCAUCAUCUCCCACUUCCGUCUAGCAGUUCCAAGUGUGGUAAAUAAAACUUCUUUUUACAGCCCCUUUUGAUCUCAUGGUUCUGUCACUUUCUACCAUAAGAAGUUUAUCUUCACACAAGAUAUAUCUCUCAAUCUGCAUCUCAUAACAUGCCUAGUAUAUUCACUUGUGCUUCAUGAAGUAGUUAGAUUCCUCACUUGUACUGAUCUGUGGGUUCGUACAAAUCUGGAACCAACUUCUUAUCUAUGAGUGAAUGUCUUCGCACGAUGAGGUCAAUGCCUUCUAAACUGAUUAAUCUUCAAAACCUUCUGAGAAUGCAUAUGACCUCUUCCCCUUCCCUCGCACCUUAAUGUUGUCACAGGUACAUGUCCGUGGGAGAAUCCUUCGGUUCUCAUAGUCUGCAUUCAUUUGCAGAAUUCCUACAGCAACACAUAAAUUCUCCUGAAGCCAGUUCCCGUUGGUCCAGCAAAAGAAAGCCUUUGAAGCCUUUGAGAGUUUUGAAGCCUUUCAAGUUAAAGUCUAUGGCUUCAGAAGCAGCAGCAAGGAAAGGGGGCAGACAGCGACGCGAAGGAACUUCCAAAGAUCUGCCUGAAGACCUGGCAGAAAUGUAUAAAACAGAUCCAGAAGAGAAUUAUGGGCAGCGCAAGACCCAAAUCCAAUGGAUUCGACGCUAUUAGGCAGAACAAUGGUUCAAAUACCGCUUCGUCACCCAGGAGUAUGCUGAGAAAUGUGCCAUCAAGAGACCAUGGGGGGACAUCCUUUACAAGAAUCUCAUACGCAGGACCAGAGAUGAAGCCACUGCUCAAGGCUUCUACCCAUGCAUGGUCCGAGGACCACAGCCUGAUGAUGCGCAUCCGUCGUAACUCCUCUGGUGUCGUGACGACAAUCUGUUCAAGCGCAACUUCCAGUUUUCCCAACAAUCAGCGAAGCAGAACAAGAAGAAAUUUGGGUUAGACUUCAACCCUGGUCCCUUAGCUCCAAGGGCAGAUGACACACGCUACGCAGAACCCAAUAUCAUUGGUCUGUUUGCCAACCUUGAGGGCCUCAUCACCCACAUCUUAGUCCAAGGGACUGGCAUGAAUGACCCUCCAGCUGACUCUGAGUCUGAUGAAGCUCCUGCUGUACCGAAGCCACAGCAGUCAAAGAAGCCAAAAGCUUCAAAGUCGGCCCCUUCAUCAAAAAUCUCAAGGGCGAAGCCAUUGGCAACUGCACCUCCUGAAGACAGUGUGCAGUCUGAAGACGUAUCCCGCGUCUCCAAGACCCAGAAGGCCAAGGUGCCUCAGCCACACACCGGCAAAGAGCUCACAACUGCUGCCAUUUUGCGCAGCGAAGCCAUUGAUCUGUCAAGUGAUGAAGAUCUUGGAGAUGACGCUCUAGAGCAGCUCAUCAAGAGCAAAGAAGAAGCUGAGAUCUUCAACAAUUUUCCUCUCUUUGAUGUCGCCAUCAUCCACAACUUCAUCGACGAAUGGUUUGCCACACCGAACAUAAGCUUCGAAGAUCUGCAGCUGCCUGUUGGCCUCAGCGUCGCCUUCCAAGGCGCAAUUGCUUCAGAACUUGCCAUUGCCCAGCGCAUUGUUGAACUGAAGCAGAAAAUUGAUCAUGAAAAGGCUCAGUUCAAGAAGAAUAUGGCCAAGCUCAGCAUGCAAGAAGUGAAGAUCUUCAAGACCAUGUUGCAUGAGCUCAAGGAAAAUUUUCUGAAAAAGCGUGCAGAAGCUCAGGGCUCACGUGAGCGGAUGAAGUCUCUGGCAGAACGAUGUGUGCAAGCCUACAAUGAGGCCGAGAAGCGCAAGGCACUUGGGCGUCCUGGCAUCGACCCCAAGAUGGCCGCGAAGAAGAAGAAGAAACCUGCUAUGGCUGAACCAGAGGCAUCAAGGCAAGAAGCAGUUCCAAUUGUCUUCCCAACUGCAACGACUGGCUCGAAGCCAAAGAGCCGAUCAACAGCUUCAGAGCUCAAGAAGACAAGAACUGCUGAGGCUGAAGCCAGGAAGAGGAAAAGAUCUGAAGCCUCUCCUACUGCCCCCAGCAAGAAGAAGCGAAAAAUCAAGAAAUCUCGGGCUGCUCCCACAGAGCCCUUGAUAGUUGAACCUAUCUCUAUGGUUCACCCCAACGCAGAACGACAACUGACAGUUCAUGAGCCUGCUUCCACAGAGGCUCUUGAAGCUGAAGACAUACCAGCAGCCGACCCCAUUGCUGCUGAAGACAUUGGUCAUCAGGACAAUGUACAAGAUGAUGCAGCCCUUCCUCAGUAUGAACAAAGCGAACUCAUCAGCAUUGGUCGUCCUUUGACGCCAAUUGCACAAGAUGCGUCAUGGGCAGAUCGCCCUCAAGAGGAAGAAGACAAUGAGGCCCAGCCCACUCCAACACCACAGGCAUCGUCUGCAUUCCGCAGGCUUCGCAAAGGUCCAAGGCCUCAAGUCUAUGCUGAAGACAUUCCGGCUGCAUCAGCCGAAGAAGAAGCACCACAAGAGCCCACUCCAAUGCUCCACCAAGAAGCAGCUCUCCAGGAGAACGUGCUUGUGACUGACCCUACAGCUAGUCAAGCGGAGGCUGAAAAUGUUGAGGCUGCCACAACCAACACUGAAGCCAAUGUGGAGCCCUCCCCACCAAAAGCUUCAGCAGACAGCGAAGCUACUGAUCCAGACACUUCUGUUCCUGAGUCUGCUGCAGGUCCUCAAUUUGAUUACCAUGUUGAGCACAGGCCUCACGUCCAGAAGCCAGUCCCAAGGCUGCCAAGGUUCCCAGGUCCUGCAUCAGCACCUGGCUCCUUUGACAUCAAUAGCUUCAAGGCAGACAAUACGUUCUUCAACAGCUCCAAGAACCCCUAUUCAAGGGAAAGGAUUUCAUCAAAUAGGUUCUGGAGCUAUCCUCAGUGCAGCUACUAUUCAUGCAUCCUAUACAACCAAGGUCGCAUCUUCCCGCACAAGCGCCUUAAUGUUGAAGCCAUUGCUGGUCUGCCCUGCUUAGAGGAAGCGCUGGAUUGCUUCAAGCAAGUGGGUCUGCUGCAGUUUAUAACUGAUGAAGAGCACUGGAAUGAAGAGCUUCUGUUGCAAUUCUAUGCCACCCUACAAAUCAAGGGAUACAACAGAGAUCCGAAGACUUGGGCCCUGGAGUGGAUGACCGGCAAUGUCCAUCACGAAGCCAAUGCAUUCGAUGUCAUUGAGCUCACCGGCCUGCCCACUCCUGGCGAACUCUUCGAGGAAGGUUGUCCACUACACACUGAAGCUCUUGAGAGCAUAUUCCAGAGACCUGAACCAAAUAUGAGUCAGAUGCUCUCCAUGAUGAAGCCACUGCCUCUCGAUGCUCCUUAUCCAACAGAGUUAUUCAUUGAAGACUUUGAGUACCUGCCCAGAACAAUCUAUCACAUUAUCCGGCGGACUCUCUGGCCUAUUAAAGGGCACUCUCCAAAUGCCAAGAUUGAGGGUGCAAUGAAGACUCUGAUAUUCUGUAUCCUUCAUGGCAAAUGCUUCAACGCACAGGAUUUCUUCAUACGCCAACUCGCUGCAUUAGGCUCAGAUCUGUUUGGUUUAAAGUUCUAUGCUCCUUGGGUAAUGAGACUGAUCAAGCUUCACUCUGCGAUCUCAUAUCAGCCCUCAGCCCGCAACCAUCGGAUCUUCUUGCCAGAUGUGGAUACCUCUGUUGAAGCUAUAUAUCCUGAGCCUGCCAAGCAACCUUUGAGUCUUCAGAAUGCAGACCACCAGAGCUUCACUCAAAAUGAUGAAGGUGUUGAAGCCAUCUCCAAGGUGUAUCCUUUGGCUGGCACUACACGUGCGCCACACCCUGCUUCAACUGAAGCCACUGAUAGUGUAACUGCUUCAAGACCCAAGAAGCGCGCUCGUGUUCUCAAUGACCGAGAGCUUCUUGUGGCCCUUCAUCAAAAACAAGAUAGGCAUCACGACUGGCUAAAGCGUCAGAUGAAAAGCCUCUUGGUGGAUGUUAAUCGUCUUCGAAAUCUUGCCACCAAGAAUGCUUUCGUCACUCAUGAAACCUGUCGUCGUACAUGGAAAGGGCUAUCAAUGAUGUGUACUGAUACUGAACUUGAAGAGGAUGGCUUCACUGAGCGAUUCAAGUUUGACACCACACCUCCUAGAAGGGCUGUGAUGCGCAACACACCAUCACUUGAAGAUUCUGAGUUUUCUUCAUCUGCUGCCACAGUCACUGCCAGAAUCAUUGAUGAAGAAGACGAUGCUACAUCACCGCCACCUGCUUCAGCACCUCCAAGCUCCUCUGCACCGCCAAACACCUCCAACGACCCUGCUGCUCCUGGAAACGAGUAGACACUCUAUGUCUUCAAACCUUUUUGGUCCUUGCUGACAAAAGGGGGAGAAGCAUAUGUGUUGAUAGUCUUCAAACGGGUCCAUAUGGGCGGGUGCUUUAUGUUUUGCUAUAUUUUGCUUCGUGCUUACAACUCUCGUUUUUGCUUCAUUUGGUUCUUUGAGUUUCUUUGAGUUGUAACACUAAAACUCGAUGGUCGUCUGCUACUUGUUUGCCACCCUGUUUGCGAAGAUAAAUUCCACAUGUGCGACGAUAAAUUCCGCACUUAUCUCAUUCUGCAGACGUCCAUUUUCCAUUAUGCAUGUCAUUAUCUUCAUAUACUUUCACAUGCAUAGUGGAUUGUCAUCAUAAGCUGAAGUGGAUCUCCUCAAGUACAACCUGCCAUGUGCAUUUGCAUGCCAAAAGCAAAUUAACUUAUAUGCACAUCUUCAGGGGGAGCCCUUGCAACUUAUGAAUACAAUUCCUUAUCCUUUACAAUUUCACAGACUAUAUUCCUCGUUGAAAACUUCAACUAGUUUGUCAUCAAUCACCAAAAAGGGGGAGAUUGUAAGUGCAUCUAGUGCCACCCCUAGUUGGUUUUGGAGUAUUGACGACAAACCUAGUUGAGGGACUAAUGUGUUUAUGAGAAUUGCAGGAUAACACAGGUAGAAGUCCCUCAUUGAUUCGGUUUUACUACCAGAGAUGACCCCUAAAAAUGUAUGAAGACAUUGAAGCCAAAGGUGGUAUAUGAAGAUAUUCACAUUGAAGACUAUGACAAAAGAAGACACGUUAUGAAGUCUAUGGAGCUCGAAGACUUAGAUCUUUCGUAGUUCUUUUUCUUUUGUGUUGAGUCAUAGGAACCACCGCACUGUUAAGUGGGGUCCAGGAGAACCAGUCAGAAUGACUGAAGUGAUGCCUAAACCAAAAACCUAUGUCUUCGAGUGAAGACAAUGAGAGCGAAUCUUGUCCAGAGCCGGACAAGUCAGCUUUGCUUGUAGCCCAAGUAAAGUUGCCAUGAGAGUUUGAAAUCUGACCGUUGAGACACAUGUCAGUUCCUUAGUGACCCAGGGUCAUUUCGGACAAAUCAGGUCGGGUUGCCAAGUGGCUAUAAAUAGCCCACUCCCUACAACCAUAAACGGUUGGAUGCUCAGAUUUCAGUGCACGGCUUUUGUCGUUUGAGAGCAACCCACCUCGAAGCCUUUGAGAGAAAAUUCCUAGCGAGGAGAAAAUCCCUAACCACCCAGAGCCAGAGAACAUUAGGCAUCACUUAAGUCUUCUUGUCUGUGUGAUCUGAAGACUUAUUACACUUGAGGACUGUGAAUCCUCCAGACGAUUAGGCGUCGCGUUCAGAGCAUCUAAGAGACAUUGUGGAUUGCCAGUGAACGAAGUCUGUGAAGGUUUGGGAGUCUACCUUGAAGACUUACCAGAGUGAUUGGGCGAGGACUAAGUGACCUUAGCUCAAGGAGAAUACGGUGAGGACUUGGUGUCCUGAGCUGCGUGUUCAGGACUGGGUGUCCAGGACUGUGUGUCCUAAGGUUUAAAUACCUAGCCGCUCCAACCAGACGUACAGUUGUCACAGCAACUGGAACUGGUCCAACAUAUCAUUGUCUUCAACGAGUCACUGGUUUCAUCUUCACUUCCUUUUACUUACUGUUACUCAUUGUGAAGCCAUUGCAUGCUUGCUCUAUCUUUUGUCUUCACAACGUAACUGUAUAAUUUGUUUGGCUUCAUAACUUCUUCCUACUUGAUCCUAAUUACACUACAGCUAUUUGUCACUAUGCUUUCACUCUGUUGAUACUUGACCAUGGCUUGCCUAGUGUAAUCUAACUUCCGCUGCAUAGUAAUAGGUAUAUCUUUACUAUUUGUCUUCAUAACUUCCACGUUUUGAAGACUUUCAUAAAAAUCGCCUAUUCACCCCCCUCUAGUCGAUAUAACGCACUUUCAGGAGGGGGGGCUCAGGCCCGAGUUUUCGCGCCCAUGACUAAUGAGAAGAUGAUGGCGAGGUUCGCGCGGGAGCACCUGAAGUACAUCCAAUACGAGCAGGAGUGGUAUUGGGAGAGGGUCAUAGAGAAGAAGAAGAUGAAGAACGACGACGAGGCAUGACCUUCCUCUUCAAAGGUGGUGGUCAACGUCGAGUUAUCCGAAGACAACAUUGAUUGGAGCGACCUUGAGAGUGAGUGAUGGUGAGGGUUCUGACAUCCGAGUGGGACAACGGGGACAACAGAUAAUGUGUAGUAUUUGAUAAUUUAAUUAGUGUGCGCAAGCUCUAGUAAUUAGUUUAGUAUGUGUAGUAGCAGGUGCUAUGGAUGUAACCGUGAUAGAGAUUUCCUUAGCAGGAAGCCUACAUCGUAGCAAACAGGGGUUAUCCCGACACCCCAGCUCACCAAAGCCGCCUGGCGGGUCCUCCUAUGACUGGUUGCGAGGCCACUUUCAGUCGUCGGGGCAAUGCUUAACCAAGCCACAUCCUAUGCACACCGUCUCGUUGGUGCAAUCAUUCUUGUGGUGGCCUUCCUUCAUGCAACUGAAGAAUCAUCCAUACACCAUGGAGGGCAUGGGCGGUGACGGCGGUUGUUGGGCAAGUCUCUGUUGCUUCAAGCAUAGCCGCCGGCGGCGACACCAGUUGGCCUUCCAAGAGAGUUGGGGUUGCACCCAAGGCACCUCGCCCUCAUCCACCUUCGGAUCCGACAAGGGAGUUGAGGUCGCUUUGGCGUUAACCGCGACGGUGGCCGAAGAGCCCGAUUGGUUGGAGGACCAGGAUAGGCCAUGGUCCUCGCGGGGCUCUGUUGGCGUGAGGAAAACUGACUCUGUGCUAGGAGGAGUGAUGGUGCGGACAGGAAGGACCAACCAUGGCCAAGGCGAAGUGGCGCCGGUUCCAAAGAGGCAGCCGGCGAGGGAGGCUGUGGACACGAGGAUUGGAGUAGGUGAAAGCGUUGGGGCUCAAAAGUGAGGAGUAGUCCUAGAAGCCCGAAACAAUGGUAUGCAACCUAAGGACCCUUUAGGGCUCUCACCAAACCUGUAUAAAUGACAACUCUUGGGAGUGGUCAUAGAACCCGUACACUUUGGUAACUCUUGAGGCGAUCGCCAAAACCCGUACAAAUUGCUUGGGCGAUCUCCAUAACCUAAUUGGAGACCCCGACGCUUGCUUGGAGCUUUACACUACAACGAUUGAGCUCCGAACACACCAAUCGUCUAGGGCACCAAAGCACCCAAGAAGAACAAGCUUUAGGGUGCCCAAACACCCAAGAGUAAUAAGCUUCUCACCUUUUCACUUUCACAAAUCACCGUGGAGAACUCAAACCAAUGCAACUAAUGCAAUGGCAAGGGCACACAGAGUGCCCAAGUUCCUCACUCUCAAAUCCCACCAAAGCAACGAAAGCUAUGGAAGAAAAUGAGAGGAAGAAUAAGAAGAAGAACACCAAGAACUCCAAGAUCUAGAUCCAAGGGGUUCCCCUCACAUAGAGGAGAAAGUGAUUGGUGGAAAUAUCGAUCUAGAUCUCCUCUCUCUUUUCCCUCAAGAACUAGUAAGAAUCAUUGGAGGGAUUGAUAGAUAGCAAGCUCGAAGAAGGUUAACAAUGGGGAAGAACACGAGCUCAAAAGAUAAAAUGCAAUGGGGAGAAAGACCUCCUUUUUAGGCCUCUCCAAAUCCAACCGUUACGCACUCAGUCUGCGCACAAGUGGUAGUACCGCUCCGCUCGGGCGAGCGGUACUUCCGCUGACAAGGUAGUUUUAGCCAUAACGUGCAACUGAGAAACUCAAGAAGGCGUAGUGUCACCGGAGCGGUGCUAUCGCUCCCACCAGCGGUACUACCGCUAGGUGUUGCAUGUAUAGUGAAAUCACGGUAGUAGAGUAGGCAGCAUGGUACUACCGCCCACUACUGCCACUCUACUUCCGCGCAUAGAUAAAACGUAUCCAGAGGCUAAAAUAUAAGCAAAGGUUUCUGCAGUAGUAGAAGGCCGGAAGUACCGCGCUCUACUACCGCUGACUACCGCUGAGGUGACAAAGUAUCCAGAACCCAAGAAUAAGCGGAAGUGCCCGUGACGCUGGAACCGGAGAAGUAUACCGCGCAAGCGAUACUACUGUAGACCAGAGCGGUACUACCUCUAGGGAGGAACAAAAAGGCCAAGUAAACAAGAUGGAUGCAUGAAAGCCUGAACUGCCAUAACUUCUACAAAUGAGCUCCGAUUUGAGCAAACUCAAACUUGUUGGAUAGUAAGAAGUGGCAGGUGAGUAUGCCUAAGAUAGAGAGAUAUGAAACCUCUAUGAAAGAAGAACAGAUAAAAACUCCAACAUCAAAAACAUCAUAGAAGAUGCAUAUAUGAACUCUGUUUUCAAUGAACUCGAGCUUAACAUGAAGAUGACAAUAAGCUCCAAAACUCACAACGAGAGACGCCAAACAAGAACCAGAAAAGGCGAUGCAAGGAUGCAAUGGUUUGAUCUCUCUACGAACGAUACGAUCAAGCUACUCACUUGAGAGCCCCCCUUGAUAGUACGAUAAUCGAUCUUAUAACCCGGUCUCCCAACUACCACCAUGAGAUCGGUAAAAUAGAAAACCUAUCAAGGGCAAACCUUUGCCUUGCACAUAGUCCACUUGAGCUAGAUGACAACGAUCUUGACUUCCUCAAGUUGGACCACCUUUCUUUAUUGCAUUGGCUCGGUGAAGAUUAGUUGAUUGCUCCCUCAUACUCCGCUAUGGGUGAGCCACUCUUCGGCACAUCUUCACAAUUCCAUUGUCACCACAAUGGAUGGCAAGCUCCAAGCAUGAUCUCUUCGUGAUGCUCCACUUGAACUUGCACACCGCAAUCUUGAUGGCGAUCACCACUUGAUGUCAUCCUCCAUGGGUUGUAUGAGAUCUUCCUCUUGACGCAAGCCCAUGGAAACAUACCUAACCCCACAUAGAACUCUCACGUAGAUCAUGGGUUAGUACACAAAGCAUAAUGGAUAAUGCUUACCAUACCAUGGGAUCACUCGAUCCAUCUCGGUACAUCUUGUGCGCUUUGUGUGUUGGUCAACUUGAUUCACUCAUUGACUUAGUCUGAAUCAACCUUGUAUCAUGUCUUCUACAUGACCAAUCUUUGGAUAGUUCUUUGAAUAGCACUUUGGUCAUCACAUAAACUCCUUGAAACCAACACAUGGACUUCAAGAAAAGCCCAUGGACAAAUCCUUCAAAUAUAACUCAAGGCAACCAUUAGUCCAUAGAGACUGUCAUCAAUUACCAAAACCAAACAUGUGGGCACCGCAUGUUCUUUCAACGGUCUCGCCCACGGCAGCCACGAUACCCGUGCCCCCUUCCUCCCUUGCGUGCUGGCCUGGAGCAACUCGCCACUCCUCGGUGAGCUGGCUUGGAGCGGCGAGUUGCUGAACCAUGCGCCGGCUUGGAGCUUCCGCCUCCACGAGCUGGCUUGCUAUGGCCUGAAGUGUCAAGGAGGUGGGGUAGAUAGUUGCCUGGCUUGUAUCCAGCGGGCACGACGGGUCACCCACCUGGCUUUUAUGCCAGAGAACUCAUCUUUGUGCUCGCCGGAUGCCAUGGAGAGUGGAGAAUCUGGUGCAAGGAGGAGAUGGGAGCGGAGGUGUGGUUCGAUUUUUGCCCAACACCUGGCAUCGUUUAUACAGCUGGUGGACACCCGAAGCCAACCGAUGUUGUGUUUAAUGACGUGCGGCUCGCGAACGAACGUGUGGCCGGAGUAGGUUUCUCGGCGCAUGCACAAGUUUAAUGGAGAAAGGCGGGCAUACUGUAGCCGUUUAAAUGCGGUGAUGAGGCAUGUCAGCCGGGCCUGCAGUGGGCGGCGCUCUCUCGGCCGGCGCACCGCUUCAAUGCUGGUAGUGAGAAGUUGUGUCCGCUCUAGGCCGGCGCCAUGCGGAGCGACCGCUCUACAACGACAUGAAUGUGGACAGCUGGCGCCGGGCAGAAAGCACGUGGGCGUGGAUAGAAGGUUUAUGGUAGGCCAGGGUAGUCAGUAGCGGGUGUGACAUCGAUCUGAACGCCCGCAAAACCCCCCACCAUGUCUCCAUUCUGUGGGAAAAAAACACGUCCGGACCGGUCUGCUGACUGGUGCAGGAUCGUUAAAUGGCAAAAGGCGUCCGGACCGCGCGGUCCGAACGGUUACUCGUGGUUUGAAUGUCAACGUUGGAGAUGCCCUAAUAUCAUAAGUUCUUUUUUUUGACAUCACCUUUUUUUUGACAUCACCUAAUAUCACAAGGUUCAUUGCACACGCAUGUUUCUUGUAGUUCUUUUUUUAGAAUCCUUUUUACUACUACUAGUAGGAGUAGUUUUUAAAAGGUAUACUCAUAGGAAAGAAAAUCCCGGAAAGGUUGGAUCAGAAAUGGUUAUCUCGAAACCCCCAAACCCUUUUUGCUAACGACUUUAUUGUUUAGAUCGUCCCAUCCAUCCACCACUUUGCUGGCUCCGUCUAUACAAUAGCAACACAUCAGCACCCGCCCCGCGUCCACAUCUCCCCCUUCACAUCCAUCGACCCAGAUCUCACGCGCCGCCCAAGCCAGCGACGAUGAGGCCCUCGGUGAUGAGAUCCGCCGCCCAGCUCCUCCGCCGCCGCAACUACUCCUCCGCGUCCGGGCAGCAGGCGCGGAAGGUGGCCAUCCUCGGCGCGGCCGGCGGCAUCGGGCAGCCGCUGUCUCUCCUCAUGAAGCUGAACCCCCUCGUCUCCUCCCUCUCCCUCUACGAUAUCGCGGCCACCCCGGGCGUCGCUGCCGACGUUUCCCACAUCAACUCCCCUGCCCUGGUACCCCACGCCCGACAUCGCCCUCCUCGCGCUGCUCAGUUCGGUCGGAUCUAACACAUGGUUCGGGCUUUCGCAGGUGAAGGGUUUCAUGGCGGAUGAUCAGCUCGCGGAGGCGUUGGAUGGGGCCGACCUGGUGAUCAUCCCGGCCGGCGUCCCGAGGAAGCCCGGCAUGACCAGGGACGACCUCUUCAACAUUAACGCCGGCAUCGUUAAGAACCUCUGCACCGCCAUCGCCAAGUACUGCCCGAAUGUAAGAUUCUCAACUCUCUUCAAUUUUAGAUCUGUUGCUCGCGUGGUUGAUUGUUCUGGCUACUCUGGGUGCGUGGUCUCGUUACAGAUCUAUCUAGUUCCUAUUCAAGACCUGGACAUUGCGUAAUUCUGAUUCGAUGUUUGGAAAUUGUAAACGGGUGUGGUUUGAUUAUCACCACUAUGACCAAUACUUAUCUGCUGAAUAGGCACGAACAUUUUGCUCUAUCACGUGUGUCUUGUUUAGGCGCUUGCAGUUUUGUAUCUCCUGUUCGAUGGUGUGGUUCCUUGGUCUAUUCAUUUUGUUUGUUGCAAUGUUACUUGCAUUCGAAUGUUUGUGUAUUAGCCUGGACAAAUGAAAACUAAGUCAUUGUUACUCUGGAUUGCCUCGCUGUUUUCUCUUGAAAGUUACAUUUUCUUAUGUUUAUAACUCUUCAGUGGAAUAUAUAUAUAUCAUCUGUCCUACAUGCUUGUCAGUUAUUAUCAUAUCUUCUAUAUUUUUAUGCCCAUUCCUCAACCUGUUGACUGAGGAGCCAUAUGGCCCAUUCCUUCAAAUUUUCUAACCUGUCUGUUAGCUCCAACCUCCAAUACAUAAUGUAUCCAUUUUCAGUGUAUGUUGUGUUAGGAAAUCGUUAUAUGAUACAUUUAAAAACUGAUGUUCCUCCUUUGUUACUUCAUUUUGUUUGUAUGCAUCUUUCUAUGAAUUUGAUGUGUUUCUGUAUUGCAGGCUCUUGUCAACAUGAUCAGCAACCCUGUGAAUUCAACCGUUCCGAUUGCUGCUGAAGUUUUCAAGAAGGCUGGAACCUAUGAUGAGAAGAGAUUGUUUGGUGUGACCACUCUUGAUGUUGUUCGUGCCAGGACUUUCUAUGCUGGGAAGGCUAAUGUAGAUGUUAAUAGUAAGUGGUGACAGUAUAUGAUCUAGCUGACUGGUAGCAAAUGAAAGAAGAGUAUGGUUGCUGUAUUUUUGUCCUUAACUGGAGUGUUCUUUGGCAGCUGUGGACGUUCCUGUUGUUGGUGGUCAUGCUGGUAUUACCAUCUUGCCACUUCUCACAGGUAUUGACUUCUGUCACGUAAUAAAUGAUACAGCACUAUCGGAAAAACUAUUCCACACUAUAGCGCAUAAAACCAGAAAUGGGGACAGAACUGGUAUGUUUGUUAGAUUCUUAUUCACUGUAUUAUGCUAGGACUUCCAUGGUGAAAUCACGCUGAGUAAAGAAAUUAAGUUUUUCUUGACAGAUAAUGUUCAUCUACUUGAAAUGGGAAGUGAUCAUGUCUAUAACAAAAGAUCAAUCAUAUUCUAGUAUUCUUGCUCAUUAGUGAAUUCAUUUGUGUGGACAACUGGACAUAUGAGUGUGUAGCUAGUUUAGUGUAAUGUAAACACCAUAUUUACCAAAAUUAUGGAAGUGAAUAUGGUCUAUCUAGGUUUAUCUUUCUGGUUACUGUAAUUGUGAAGUAGUUGAAUAGUGUACAUUUGUGCUAUCACCCUAACCCUAAUAACUCAACGGAAGGAAACUCUUUUUUAACAGGCAACUCCUUCAACUAAUGCAUUGUCUGCUGAAGAAAUCAAGGCUCUCACCAAGAGGACACAGGAGGGUGGCACAGAAGUCGUUGAGGCAAAGGCUGGAAAGGGAUCUGCAACCUUGUCCAUGGCGUAAGUAAAAAGAAGAUGAAAAAACCAUGCUAACUGAGGAUUGUGUGCCACUUCUCUAGCAAUUUAGUGCCAUGUUUUUACUUGUUUUGCUAAUAAAUUUGCUCCACCUUUGUAGGUAUGCUGGUGCAGUUUUUGGAGAUGCAUGCUUGAAGGGUCUGAACGGAGUUCCUGACAUUGUUGAAUGCUCCUACGUGCAAUCAACUGUGACCGAGCUGCCAUUCUUUGCUUCCAAGGUACAUGCUUAUUUUGCUAUGUGUGUUGUUUACUGCAGUUGUUUAUAUGGUUUCAUUAUGUAAAUCUAGAUGGUUCCAAAUUUCAUGUAGUAUCAAAGCCAUUUUUCUCUAGAUUUAUGCAGUGGUUGCUUGUCAUGCAUAUGACAUUAUAUUGCAAUUUCUUUUAUGAUGUUAUGCCUGUUGAAAAUAGGGUGGCUAAGCUUUGUUUCCUGACUGGCUGGGUUAUUAAAUCCAUUUUGAUCAUUUGGGUUUUUGUGGUGUAUUUAAUAGUAAUUGCUGUUGGACUUUUAUGGCACUGUUAUCUUUGACAUUUUUAAUCUGCCUAGUUUGGAUAUGACCUUAGAAUUGAUUGCAAGUACUGCUGCAAAAAACUAGUCUUUGACACGCUUUUUGUAUAUUAGGCAAUACUCCAUUAGGCCAUUUCCCCCUUUGCACACUGAUCAACUUGCUAUUUUUGCCAUGUUAUAUUUUGAUUGAGACAAAAACUCUUUGAAACGAGGCUCAGCAUAUGCUCAAGUAUUCUUACUGUGCAUUGAAUCUUCUAGAGUAUUCUCCACGCUGAAUUAUGUUCAAGUGAACCUAUCUCUCCUUUGUGUGAUGCUUAUUGCCUAAGGCAAUGUGAUGGACUUGUUCGCCGUGUGGUCUUGCUGUUGUUUGUUCACUUUACAAACUGUUGACGCUGGUCAUAGAAUGGAAUUUCAUGAUCCACUGAUGUAACACAGGUGAGGCUUGGAAAGAAUGGAGUCGAGGAAGUGCUCGGGUUGGGUCAGCUGACGCAGUUUGAGAAGGAUGGGUUGGAAGCUCUCAAGGGCGAGCUCAAAUCUUCAAUUGAGAAGGGUGUCGCGUUCACAAAUGCAAGUUAGUUAGGCCAUUUUGCAGAUUAUAGCAAACCCAGGUCUUGUUGAGGGGUCUGUUGGUUUGGUCCAGUGCUUUUUCUGCCCAUCAUGUGGGCAUUGAAGAUUUGAGCUUUGCAAUAAAAUUUCCGGCGGCGUAAUGCCACACAUAACAUAACUUGUACGAGAGGAAGCUAGUUUUGUGUCGAGCUUUGAACUGAUAAUGAACAAUUGCUGAUGCGUGGAAAGUCACUUGUUGUUCAACCGGUCUGCUUGCAAGUCUGUUGAAUAUUGAUGAUUUUUGUUGUGCUUUCAGUUAGUUCCAGGAUUUUUUACUUGCCAAGAUAAUCUCUUGUCAGUCAUUUGAUGCUGCAUCGUUCUGUAAGUGGUCAUGAUACCUUUAUGCUCUAGUACUGUUAAUCAAUUGUGGGUAUUUGAUUCGCCACUCAAUGGAAGCAAAGUAUUUCUGUUUCAAUCG